ACACUUUGACUAUCGCAAUGCACUUUAACAUACUUCUAUUUAAUUUCUAGUUCACCAAGCAGUCCUUGAAGCCAAAUUGUCUUUUCUAUAGCUUUUGUGAUUGUCAUAUACUCCACUUCUAUAGUAGAUAAGGUAACUAUUGAAUGCAAAGUAGACUUCCAACAAACUAGUGCCUUUGCAAGAUUAAACACAUAAUCAAUAGUUGACCAUCAUUUUUCUAUAUCACCAGCAUAGUCUUAAUCACAAUAUCCAACCACACCCUAAUUAUCUUCUUGCUCAAACAUCAAUCCAAUGUCCAUUGUAUUAUGGAUAUAUCACAAAGUCCAUUUCACAGCUUGCCAAUGCUCCUUUCUUGGAUCAUGCAUAGACUUGCUCGCUAAAUUUUCUUUUCCAGCAACCUUGAAUCUCUCUAGCUGAGUCAUAUAGAUUUCAUCUUCCAAGUAUCCAUGUAGAAAAACAAUUUUUACAUCCAACUGAACAAGUUCCAAAUUCAACUGUGCCACUAAAGUAAAAAAAAUUCUAAUGGAGGAGUGCUUCACAACUGGAGAAAAUACCUCAUUGUAAUUAAUUCUCUCCUAGGUGUAACCUUUUGCCACCAAUCUUGCUUUGUAGCACACCUCAUCUUGGCUAGGAAAUCUUUCUUUAUUUGCAAACACCCACUUGCACCUAAUUGUCUUCUUUCCCUACGGCAGAUUAGCAAGCUUCCAAGUAUGAUACUUAUGAAGGGGUUGGAUUUCUUCAUUCAUGGAAAUCCUCCACUUUUCUUCUUCAAAGCUAAAUUGCUUCAUCAAAAGUAGUAGGGAUGUUAUUAGCUACAAUUAAGAAUGCAUAAGCCAUCAUAUUAGCUAAGCGGACAAGCUUUUUAAUUAUUCUUGUUGGCUUAUUAUUUGCAAUUGAUUUAGGUUGUUAUGGAAGUUCUUAAGUCUGAACCUCCUCUUCAUUAGAGUCUCCUUCUUCCACUGGAUCCUCCCUACUAGAGUCUCAUUCUUUCAUUGAAUCCUCUCUACUAGAGUCUCCUUCUAGCAUAAAAGACUCAUUAACUUCAUUUUUUAGAAUCAUCAUUCUUUCAAACUCCACUUGCUUAUGAGUAUCAUUUGAAUUCUUCCACUGAAAACAUGGUCGAAUCAUCAAAAGUGACAUCGCUAUUAAAGAUAAUUUUCUUUGUUUCUAGACACCAUAGGUAAAAACCCUUUAUGCUAGAAGUGAUCCUUAAGAACGCUGCUUUCUUAACUCUUGGAUUCAACUUUGAUUUCUUAACAUGAUAGUAUGCAGCGAAACCAAACACAUGUAAGGAAUCAUAAUCUGUAGUAGGCUUCCCACUCUAUUUUUUUAAUGGUGUUUUUCCUUCAAUUGUGAUGUAUUGUAGACGAUAAAUUAGAUAGAAUGCAUAUGUUAUAGCCUCAGCCCAAAACUCUCUACCUAAUCUAGCAUUGGAUAGCAUACAUCGAACUUUCUCUUGCAAUGUUCGAUUCAUGUGUUCUACCACCCCAUUCUAUUGUGGUGUAGAUUUGACAGUGAAGUGUCUGAUGAUGUCAUCUUCUUUACAAAUCUUUGCAAAUGGAUCACUUCUAUACUCUCCACUAUUAUCUGUGCGAAGGUGCUUGAUCCUUUUGUCCAUUUGAGUUUCCAUAAUCUUUCUCCACUUAAGGAAAAGUCUUAACACUUCAUUUGCCUUCAUUGUAUACAUCUAUACUCUUCAGAAAUAAUCAUUAACAAAAGUUACAUAAUAAUGUUUCCUCUAAAAUAGCUUGUUUUAGAGGGACCCUAGACAUCUGGGUGAACAUAAUCCAAGAUGCCUUUAGUAUCAUAGAUUGUUGUCCCAAACUUCAUCCUUAUCUACUUUCCUUUGAUGUAAUACUCAUAGAAAUCCAACUUACAGGUUCUUACUCCUUUCAAUAAUCCUUAAUUUUUGAGUAAGUUCAGGAUUUUACACCUGCAUGCCCUAAGCGCACAUGCCAUAACUUUCGUGUUUCAAACUCUCAAUUUUCAGUUGAUGUAGCAAUUGUCCCAUUAACUGUACUACUUCGAUAAUGGUACAAGUUAUUAUUCUUGCAAAUCCCCUUCAUUACCACACAUACAUCAGAAAUAAUCUUCAUCAACCCAUCCUUAGCUCUAACUUUAAAACCUUUUGAUUCUAAGGUUUCACAGAAAUGAGAUUCCUCAUCAAAUCUGACACAUAACGACCAUCAUGUAAAGCUAUGAUUGAUUCAUCCUGAUUUCUCAAUCGAAUAUAAGCAAACCCAUAUGUGGUAAGAGGGGUAUUAUUUGUUGUAUAGAUAUCUCCACCCUUUAGUUCUUUAAAAUCGAAGAACCACUCCAAAUGAGGACACAUAUGAUAGCUACAAGCUAAAUCCAACAUCCAUACAUCAGAAUGGUUAGUUACUAAUGUAACAAGUAAGAAAUUUGAAUCUUUAUCCCCACACUCAGCUACAUUUGAAUCUACAAAAGCUUUUCUUUUUUCAAAUUUACCUUUAUUUUUCAACUUUGGGCAAUAAUUCUUCUACUAUUGUUUUUCUCGACAGAAAGCAGACUCAUUUUUUUACUUGGUUUCCCCUUUGACUUGGAUCUCUACUUCUAAACUUUACUCCGAGUGUGUGAAUAACCCCAGACUGCCAAAGCUUCUACAUCUCCGGUUGAAUUUCUUUAUUUUCCUUAUUUAUCAGUUCAUAACUAUAUAAAGCAGCAUACACUUCACUAAGAGAUACAUCAACCUUCCCCUGAAGUAGCAUCGUUUCGAGGAACUCAAACUUCUCAAGAAGUGACCCCAACAACAUCAAAGUCAAAUCUUAAUAUUUAAAGAUUUCAUCCAUGUUCACUAGAUUAAUGACUAAUUGAUUAAAACCGGUGACAUGAUCAUUCAUAGUGGUACCGAAACAUAAGUGAAGCAAAAUAUCCUUUUCUUCAUGUGAGACUUAUUCUAACUAUUUUUUUCCAAAAUUUUUCUUCUAGUGCCAACCAUAAUCUAUUUGCAAAAGUCUUUUUUGAGAAAGCAUACCUUUGCUCUCGAGAAAGGCACGAUUGAAUUGUACAACAUGCCAAACAAUUGAUAAUCUUCCAAUCUUUUCCUUCAUAUCAUUUGGUUUCUUCUCAUCAAUGGAAACAUCUAGACCUUGCUGAAAUAGAGCAUCUAGAACCUCACUUUGCCACAUACCAAAAUGGCCUGUGCCAUUGAAGAUCUCCACUGCUAAUCUCAUAUUUUCCACUAUAGGCCUCAUUGACAUAAACGAUGUUAGAGCUCUUGGAUUGUCCACCAUUUUAGCCAUAAUCAUUCAAUAUGCCCAAGAAAAUCUUUUUUGGAUAUGGAAGAUAAAUUUAAAUUGCAACUUUCAGUUCUGAUACCACUUGUUGUGUGAAUAGGGUAAAAAGAGUAAAGUAUUUUACUAGAAAAUCAUACUAGGUUCAAUUCCUAAAAAAGAUUGAAGGGGUCAUAGACGGUCCUGCUUAAAACUCAACCUCUUACACAAAAUCUCCCUCCAACAUAAUUUAAUAGCACAGUAUAUCAUUACAAGUGUACCCUAUAAAAAAUUGAAAGAGAAACAAUAAAGAACAUCAAUAAUUUAACAAGGUUCAAAAAAUUAUGCCUAUGUCCUCAAACACUACAAAAUAUAUUUCACUACAAAAAUAUAAGUGAAAAAUUAUAAGAGGGAAAAUUUCCUUAUGAAGGAAAUGGAAAAUUUUGGGAUAAUUUAGAUGUGGUCUCGUUUAUAGUUGUACAAGCACUCUACAACAGUAUAUUUUUUUAGAUGUGGGAUUGUUCUAUUUCAACAGGUAUCCAGGUUGAGGACUUAGGGAAAUAUCUCGGGAUUCUACUUUUUCACAAAAAAGUAAGUUAGAACUUUUCAAUUUAUCGUUGAGAAAAUUCAUGAUAAGUUUAAUGGGUGAGAGGCAAGGUCUUUAUCUUUAAUUGGGAUAAUAACCCUUGCAAAAUCGGUCUUACUUGCAUUUCCGAGUUACUUCAUACAAAUUGUGUAUUUACCCAUUAGUGUGUGUAUGAAAUUGGGAAGUAAAAAAUUGACUCUUGUCUGUUGGGAUAAAUGUUAUAUGCUUAUUGAAAAUAGUAGUCUUAGACCGUGGAAGGUCCAAGAUGAAAAUAAAGUGUUUUUUCUUAAAGUGGAUUUCAACAUUAUUUCUUCUGAUAAAGAUUCCUUUUGGGUUCAAGUUCUCAAGAAUAAAUAUGGGGUGAUUAGUAGAUAGCCGACAUCAAUUUCUCGCUCCAAUUGUUUGUUUCUAUGGAGGGCCUUAUCUAAUGUUUGGUCGAAUGUUCUUAAAUGGGUAUAUUGGACUUUUGGUAAUAGGAGAACAAUGAGCUUUUGGAAUGAACCUUGAAUUUCAAACUUAGGAUUGUUGAUGGGUUAUUGUUUCAUAGCUCUAGUGGAAGAUGCCAAUGUGGUGGUUAGAGACAUGGUUCGCGAGGAUGGAAAUUGGAAAUGGGAGAUAUUCUCCAUCAACUUUCCUAUUAAUAUGUUGUCGAUGAUUGCAACUAUCGUUACCUCUUCAGAUGAAGCGGGACAGGAUAUGUUGGCUUGGUGGUUCCUUGGAGGUCUAAACAUAUUCAAGAAGCAAAGUCCAUAAUGGAAUCCUCUUGUUCCAAGAUUUUGCGAUGGAUGAGACCAGGUUUGGGAUAAAUCAAACUCAAUUUUGAUGCAACUAUUUCAGUUAAACGAGAGAAAGCCUCUAUUUGUGGCUUGUUGUGUGAUCAUGAGGGUCGAUAGAUUCGUGGCUACUAUUGAAAUAUAGGAUUUUGUGUUGUUAUCCAAGUUGAGGCUUGAGCAUUAAUCGAAGGUCUUAAGCUAAAAUGAGCUUUGGGUUUUAAGAACAUUAAAGUGGAGGGUGACUACUUACAACUUGUUAACUUGCUACAAAGGAAACAUAAUGAGGAUGCGGAUGACACUUUAUUUCACUAUCUGAGGAAGCUUUGUCAUAGGUCUUGAAUGGUUUUUAUAAGUCAUGUUGCAAGAUGUGUCAAUGGAACACUUGAUGGUUUAGCUAAGUUAUAGAUUUCAGAUUCACCAGAGGCUAUUAUCUUUAUUAACUAUAUAACAUAGCCACUUUGCAAGCUUAUUAGUUGUAUGAUACGACCACGUCGCAAGUUUGUUGCAACAUCUUUUGUCUCUCUUCUCCAUUUUGUUACAAAGGACAUUCUUAUGAUAUUACAUAUUUACACUCACAGUUAUUGUAAAGAAUAAGUUUUUUUAGGAAUACAAUGAUUUAGCAAAUAUUUUCUCUAUAUUCACUCUACCCAAGCAUAGUUAAUAUGGUAUCUAAGCCUAGUUUUUCGACCCUCCAUACCUCAACUUGAUUCUGUUGGACCUUUUUUCUUUAUAGAUAAUGCAUGACUUAGAUGAUAGUCCACCAUCCCUCACUGUUGCUCUCACCUCAGAUUCUCAAUCAUUAUUAUUUUUCUCCACUAAACGUGUCAAUGUUAGAUUGGAUGAGAAAAAUUACCUCAUUUGGAAACAACAAAUCCUGUUUACUAUUCUAGGUCAUAAUCUGAAGCAUUUUCUUGACAGUUCCACCACCCCAUCCCCAAAAUUUUCUAUCACUGCAUCUGGUGAAUCUAUCCCAAAUGAAGCCUAUACUUAGUUUGUCAAACAAGAUUGUGCCCUUGCCUUAUAGCUUCUGUCCACUGUUUGCCCUAAUAUCCUACCACAACUUGUUGUUGCAGAAACCUCAGCCUCCAUCUGGUCCACCUUAACCUGCCUUUUCUCGACUCUGUCCACUACCAAGGUGAUGCACCUUCAUUGUAAGCUUCGCUCUCUCUGCAAAGGUGCGCUCUCCAUACGCGAUUAUCUUUCCCAAAUUAAAGAAGUGUGUGACACCCUAGUCACUUGUGGAAGUUCCAUCUUUGACAUUGAACACAUUGCAACUCUAAACCCUAACACCUGCACCUAUAACAACCCUUCUCAAUGCUAUGAACUUGCAUUUCAUAUCCAUACUCCUUUACGAGUAUUGCCCAUUUGUUCAACCUUCCUCAGAUGCUAUAAGCCCCAACACAGCUAUUUCUUUUUUGACACCUCCCCCAACAAAUGCAUAUUCCCCACCAGUUACCAACACUCUCACUGCUACGGUAUCAUCUCCCAUUACACAGAACUAACUUCUCGAUUUUGGUGCUUCUCAUCACAUCCUAACAACAUCGCCAAUCUCUCAACUCAUAGUCCCUAUAGCAGGUCUAGUAAGGUUACUGUGGGUGAUGGUUUCCCCUUCCAAUUAAUCAUAUUGGCACUUCCGCAGUAUCUUCUUUAUCUCGACCGUUAUUAUUGAAUGAAUUACUACAUGUGCCUACUGUUUUUAACAAUUUACUCUCAGUUUCCAAAUUCGCAAAAGAUAAUUUUGUUUAAUUUGAGUUUCAUCCUGGUUAUUGUCUUGUCAAGGAUAAACGUAAAAACAAAGUUCUCUUGUACGGUGUAGAACAGGAUGGUCUGUAUCAAUUUCUCGCUACACCAACUUGUCCUCAACUAAUGCAAACUACUAUUAUGGAUGCUAUUCAUUCUACUUUACCUUCCUUACCUAUUGAAUUUUGGUUAUGGCACAGACAUCUUGGUCAUUCCUCAGUCAAGGUGCUAAAUAAAUUCAUGAAGAAAUGCAAAAAAUAUCAGUUUGUACGACAAAAAAUUCCUUUAUGUGAGGCUUGUUGCAUGGGGAAGAGCCAUCGUUUACCUUUUUUCAGCUCCACCACCACUUACACUGAGCCUUUUUAGUUAGUCGAGCUUGACUUAUGGAGACCAGCUAAUGAACCUUCAUCGGGUUAUCAUUAUUACUUGCCCUAUAUUGAUGCCUUUUCAAGGAACUGUUAGUUGUAUUUACUAAAAUCAAAAGAUGAAGCCAUUGUUGCCUUUGAUCUUUUUAAGAAACUCAUCUAUAAUUAAUUUUCUACUACUAUUACUGCUUUUCAAAUUGAUUGGGGAGGUGAAUUUUGAAAUUUCAUUUUAUGUUGGGCUAACUUUGGUAUCCAACAUCAUGUUACUUUCUUUCAUACAUCUCAAUAGAAUGGGAUUGUCAAGUGGAAACAUAGGCAUAUCGUUGAGACGGCUAUUACCUUAUUAGCUUAGGCAAAUCUACCCUUCCAAUUUUAGACAAAUGCAUUUCUUAGUGUUGUCUAUCUUAUAAAUUGGCUUCCAACCAAUGUUCUUGGUGGAAUCUCAUUGCAUGAGAAAAUUUAUGGACGACCACCAAAUUAUGAGUUCUUAUGCAUCUUUGGAUCUCAAUGCUUCCCUCACCUUCGUCCAUUUAUGCCGCACAAGUUGAAUUUUCGUUCCAAAGCUUUCAUUUUUCUAAGAUAAAGUCUAAUGCAUUAUGGAUAUAAGUGCCUCGACAAAUACUCUGGUAAGUUCUAGAUCUCCAAACAUGUAGUAUUUAAUGAACAUGUUUUCCCAUUUGCAGCUAGCCAGUCAUCCUUAGUGACCAAUACUCUUAUUGAGUUUGAAUCCCCUCCUCUCUUUGUGGUUUCCUCCCCUUGGUUGAGCUCUUCUACCACUCAGUUUGGGUCUUUACCACCAUCUCCCUUGCCAAUGAUGCAUGUUUCCCCUUCUAAAGCUAUUAGUCACUCCAAUGCUCUAGAAGACUCUUCUGAUGCUAUCAUUCAAAGUUCAUCUUCUCCAUAUGAGGCACCUCUUGAUUCACUUCGCACACAUGAUGAUACUCUUGAAGAUACUAACACCACCAAUAAAUGUCCCACCACCAAUGUGCACCCCAUGAUUACAAGCAGCAAAAACAACAUCUAUAAACCUAAGCUUUAUUCUGCCAUUCUUGAGAACCAGUGAACAUCGAAGAAGCUUUGACGGAUUCAAAAUGGAGAGAAGCAGUCAUGACAGAAUACAACCCUCUCAUUGCAAACAACACAUGGUCUUUAAUUGAAUUUCCACUUGAUUGCAAACCUAUAGGGUGCAAAUGGCUCUUCAAGUUGAAGAAAAACCUAGACGGUACAAUAGCAUGGUAUAAGUCAAGACUUGUUGGCAAAGGCUUCUUUCAAGUCCCGGGGUAUGAUUUUCGUGAAACCUAUAGUCCAGUAGUUAAAUUUUCUACUGUUAACAUGUUUCCUGCUUUAGCAGCAUAUAAUUGUUGGAAUCUAAGACAUAUUGAUAUCAACAAUGCAUUCCUAAAAGGAGAUUUAUCUGAGGAUAUCUAUAUGACUCAACCCCUUGGUUUUGAACAAUAUCGUGAUGACGACAAGGCUCUAGUUUACAAACUUCAUAAAGCCUUAUAUGGCUUACAUUAAGCACCAAGAAACUGGUUUUACAAACUACAACAAUUUCUGCUUACUAUUGGUUUCACUCAUUCUAAAGCAAACCCCUUACUAUUUAUUCUUAAAGAUGGGGGAAAUAUUACCUAUAUAAUUGUGUAUGUUGAUGAUAUACUACUAAUGGGAAGCUCACAAGAGACAAUCGAAAAUAUAGUUGAUCAAUUUCACAAAUAAUUUCCGUUGAAGAAUUUAGGUGUUAGAACGCCGGCACCCUUACAGCACAGCGAAAAAUAAAUCAUCCGGUAAUCCUAACCAUGGAUCCAUGUGUGGAACGAAUCAGGGUGAAAUAAAGGUUUCUAAAUUACCGAAUCUUUAUUCUGAGUAGACAGCGACACCUCGACAAUGAGUAAUCUGAUCUGCUGUCGAACCAAGCCGCAAUCUAUCGUGACUUCGGCCUCUACGUAAUCCACCCAGUUGACAAUGAACGGAAGGAAUCCCCAAAACUGUUUUGGAAAAGACUUUACUUUGACGGCUGCUAGCCCCACCAAGCAAAUAAAAAUAGUAUUUUAUAUCCAUUUUUAGGGUUUCUAGAAAUUAAAUAAAUAUAACAAUGUUUUUAGACCGAAAAUUAUAAUUACAUUAAUUAUAAUAAUGAUUUCGGUAAACUAUAUAUUUAUUUGAAUUUAUAUACGAACCAAAUUCAUGUUCUCAUUAUGCGUAUAACAACCUUGUACAUAUAAUGUAUUCGAUAUUUGAUUACCCAAUAUAAUUAAUUUAAUUCAAGCGACAACUAAACACAAUACCAACUAUGUUUUAUUCCGUUCAUUUCAACUAUAAGGUGUGACCGUAUAAGUUCUUGUAACGUUAGCAGUAAUACUAGAACGAUUCCAAUGUUACAAACAAUGAGUGGCACCUAGCAAUGCACCAUUGCUACCUAAGUUACAAGAAAUCAUGAUUCGACAUAACAUUUUUAUGAUUAACCUUUCAUGCAAUAAUCCUUAAGUCCUUUAUCUCUGGAUUGGACACAAGUCAUGGAAUAGUCACACUUGCAUAGUCCAUUCCAUGUUCCUUGAUAUCUUAAGUAGACUAUGAUAUACAAAUAAGUAUGACAUCUCAUAUCAGCUUAUUUGAGCAUGGCCAUGCAUUUCUAGUCUCACUCAAUCAAGUGGCUUAAGAUAUUACUCCCAUUAUGUAGGAGGGACUUAUCCUAUAUCGAUCAACCAUAUCCCUCUACAUAGAUCGUGGUAUAUCCAACAUCAGCCUUUAUAGAACAACCAGUUACGAUGUACGUUUGACUGUAUCAAAAUAUACAACUCACGAUGUUGGGAUUAUGAUGGUCUCAAGUCUGGGGAUCAAAUACAUAUUAAUCACUAUGAAUAAUGUUGUGACAAUUACAUAAUAAUCCAAGAAACAUACUCAUAACAGGUCAGUCCAAUAUGUUGUUCUCUAACACACAUAUUUAUGCAUCGAUUUUGACAUUCCAUAUCAAUGACAACUCUUUAUUAUCAAUCAACUACAUGUUAGUCUUAAUGCAUUAUUGUUGUCCUAGCCAACAAUAAUACUUGACUAAGGACCUUUUAAGAAUAAUCAUAUUAUUCUCAGGACAUUAUUAUAAAACAGUUUAUUUAUACACUCAGAAAAGAAACUGAAAUAAUAAUGGUAACGCCUUAUAUUAAUGAACAUGAUAAAUCAAGUAUGUUAUUACAACCAUCUCAUGAUUGAUCUUUGGGCAUACUUUAGCACUAGGUAGUCUUGAGUAUUUUCUAGGGAUUGAAGUUCAAUCUAUUGGUAAUGGUUUCUCCAUCAAUUAAAAGGAAUACACCUUGGAAUUGCUUGCUCAAACUGACGUGAUGAAUUGUCAACCUACAACAACACCAAUGGCAAUCGACAAUAAACUAGCUAAAGAUGAUGGCAAUGCUCUUAGCAAUCCUCAACACUAUAAAAGCAUAGUAAGGUCACUACAGUAUCUCUGUCACACAAGGCCGAGCAUAUCGUAUACUGUCAACAAGGUUGCUCAGUAUAUGCAAAAUCCUAGAGAUUUUCACUAGGUUUCUGUCAAGUGAAUUCUUCGCUACUUGAGAGGUAUUCUAGAUUAUGGAUUGAUGUUCACCUCUGGUACAAUGGUGAACCUCAUAGCAUACACCAAUGCCGACUGGGGAAGCAGUGCUGAUGAUUGAAGAUCAACAUCGGGUCAUUUCAUUUUACUAGGACCCAACAUCAUCUCAUAGAGUUCCAAGAAACUAAGGCCUACCUCUCAAUCAACGGUGGAAGCAGAAUACAGAAGCCUUGCUAAUACGGCCUCAUAAAUCAUAUGGUUACAGUCCCUGUUAUUGGAUUUCCAAAUCAAUUUAAUUGAACCACCUAAGAUUUGGUGUGACAACUCAAGCACUGUUGCCAUGGCUGCCAACCCUGCUCUUUAUUCGUAAACAAAGCAUGUUGAUUUGAAUCUUCACUUUGUUAGCGAAAAGGUGCUCAACAAUCAAAUUCAUGUUGGAUAUGUUCUAGCAAAACGUCAAGCUGCUGAUGUUUUCACUAAACCUCUCCUGACCAAGGCAUUUCAAGAAUCAUAAGAGAAGUUGUGUGUCAUCUCCUACGAUGAUGCUACCACUCUGCUUAACAAAGAAAAGACAGAAAACAUGGUUAAUAUCAACUAUAUAGCAUAACCACGUUGCAAGCCUAUUAGCUAUAUGAUACAUCCAUGUCGCAAGUCUGAUGCAAAGUCCUUUGUCUCUAUUCUUCAUUCUAUUACAAAGGACAUUCUUAUGAUAUUAUAUAUUCACACUCACUAUAAUUGUAAAGAAUAAGUUUUUUAGCAAUACAAUGAUUUAACAAAUAUUUUCUUUAUAUUCACUCUACCUGAGCAUAGUUAACAAUGUUCAAGCACCCCUACAAAGUGGUUUGCCUUGUAGAGGCCAACAAAGAAGGAAACUUUAAUGUUUAAAGUGAGGACUUAUUUUCUUUAUAAAAAAAAUUCUUUAUUUUCAUAAAAUAAAGAGAUAAAAAUAUAUAAUUAGAUGUUAAGAAGCAUCAAAAGUCUUAUUACGUUGAAAGCCGCCAGGCCGUCCAAAUUAAUUUUUUUUCUUGAAAAUGGAAUAAAAAAUCUAACUAAAUAUUUCAAAAUAGUAAUAAAUUAAAUGGUCCAAAUAAAUGAUAAUAAAUACAUAGAAAUUAAGUUCCUUUAGGCUAAAAAAGUAAACUCAAAUUUUUGACUCAAUUGAUGUCUUUGUAAGGGAAAUUUCGACCAAAAUACUUGGAAUUUUGCUUAUUAAAUUCGUCUUCGUUCAUUGUAUUGAAUCAAAUUUCAAAUUUGACGUUAUUCUAUCUCUCCUACAAGAUAAAUUUUCAUAAAAUUUGAAUUCCAUCACAAUAUUUAAAAUUUCAUUUUUUAAAUUAGUAGUACACCAUAUUUUUUAAAAUCAAGAUUAUUGUGGUGUUCGUCAUUACUAACCCGCUACCUAUUUAUUUGUCUGGGAUUGAUUCGAUCUUCUUUACUUCAGUAGUGAUCACCAACAUAGUUCGCUUACAUGAGUUCGCAUCAUCAUGCAAGCGAACCCACACUUAGGGAACACAUGUUAAUCUUAAAAUAGGGUAUGUGUUCGCAUACAUUGGGACUUACAUAGGACAUCACAUCCAGAAAUCGUAUCAUAUAAAUAGAAAAUUAACCUUGAGAGAUAGAUUCACAAAAACACUCAACAAAAUUCAAAUUUAAGUCUUAAUCUAAAUUGUCACUAUCUCUUAAAAAAUGGGUUUGUCAAGCAUUUUAUAAAUUUCCAUUCUUUAAUUACCCUUUAAACCUUGACCUCCUUUUUGUACUGCAAUUUGGUCUUAACAAGUGGAAAAUCGUACAAAUAAGUGUAGUUUUUUCCAUUUCGUGUGACCAGGAAAAAACAAUAGAAUUUACAAAUUUCUUGCAGCGUACCACUUAAAACACUAUGUUUUUGGACCACACAAUAAUGCUAAUUAGUCUAUUUUAAUCUAUUAGGAAGUUUCAUAGAAGGAGAAUUGGAAGGAUUUUGAAAUUUAGUCACGUCUAGUUGAUAACUCUAUUAAGGAUUUAAAAAUAAUAAUAUUAAAAUCCAAUUGACAAGAUGACAAAAGAAGUAAAUUAUUUGGAUUUUAAUAUUCAAAUAAGAUAAAUAGAGAUAAUUAAUUUCUAAAAUUAAAAACAAAGACACUAAAUAUCAUAGGCAUGGAGAGUUAAAAGAUCAAAAGUUAUAGACUAUUAAUAGUGCAUUAUUGUUUUUCUCUUUUUAGUAAAAUCAAAUAAAUUAAUUUUUAUCAUAUUUUAUAUUUUUUGGUGAAUUAUAAGCGGAGAAUAAAGUCUUAACAGUAACGAAACUAGGUCAAUUCGAACUCAAGCCACACCUGAAGAGGUGAACAAGAUCUUAUUAGAAAAGACAAAAUUCUAGCUACCCUAAUUGAGAUUUUAACAUAAAUUUUUUUAAUUUUAAUUUUAAUUUUAUUUGGAACUAUUUGACUUGUAUAAAUGAAAAAUUACACGCAUAACACAAAAUUAUAACUUUUUAGCACACAAUUGGGUUUUUGCAAUCUCAAUUAAAAUGGUGACUAAGACCACAUAUUUGGAAUAAUGUGAAGUAGUUGUUGAUUAUAAUUUAUAAUAAAUUGAUUAAGUUAACUUUAUCAAAUUGCCCCCUAAAAAGUCAACAAUUAAUUAUUUAUUCAUUUUAAGUUAUCUUAUAAGCAAAAGUAAUUAGCUAACAACAAACCAUUAAAUUAAGCCACCCUUACUUGUAGAGCAUGCCUAGACUAGAUAUCUUCUAAUUCUUUAAGUCACUAUAGCAAAUCAAAUGAAUAUAUGUCGGUGCAUAUCAAUAAUUUAAUUUUGCUUUUUGCUGUACAUUCUAAAUAUUCGUUAAUUUAUGAACUAUUCAUAUCAUUUCCAACAUUUUUUUUCCUUUACUAAUUCAUGAAUGAGACCUUCAUCUAAGCACAUCAGAUUCACAUAUACAAAAGAGGUAAGUCCAUUAUUUUUCUUAUUUUUAUUUUAUUAAAAACAUCUAAUUAUAUAAUUUUUUUAAAAAACUGAAUUGGAGGUCCAAAAUCGACUUAUUCAUAUGCAAUGCUACACUUUAGUUUUAAGAAAGAUUUCAACUCCAAAUCCCAACUUGAUUUGACCUAACAAUAUGUAUUUUACGAUUCAUAUAUUAUAAUUGAAUUUAAAUAAAAAUAUUAUUUUAAUCAAUUUGAAUCUAUUCUAGGUCAAUUUUAACCCGUCUAAAGAUUGGACAGGACCAAGUUGCUUGGUCCAUGCCUACUUCAAUAUGAGUUUAUUCUGAUUAUAUUUAAAAAAUAAUUUAAAUAUUUAAUAUAGUAAAUAUUUAAAAUAUGAACUUAAAUAUUUAAUAGUGUAAAUAUUAAGAGAAUUAUAUAUUUGGAUAACUAGUUAAUACUUAAUAUGAAUUCAAUUAGUUGAAGUAUUAAAUUCCAUCAUAUACAAUAAUUUUUUGGAGAAUAUUUGAUGUACUCUCAGUGCAUAAAUUUCAUAUACCAUCGAUGAAUAAUAAUAAUAUGACAUUUCAUCAUUAAAUAAAAUAAAAAAUAGUAGAGGAAUUAUGGAUAAUACUAAUAAUUUUUAACAUAAUUAAAUAAUUAUAAUUCAUUAUAAAUAAAGGCUAAAACCCUAAACUCUAAGCUUGGGAUGUUAAACCCUUAAAUCGAAUAUCCUAAACUCAAAAGUUAUUAAUAUUUAUUUAUAACAGUUACAAAUAAAAUUAUCAGUAUUUUUUUAGAUUCUUCAUAUUUUUUGUUUAAUUUAAUAACAAGAUGUCAUAAUUCAAUAAUGGUGCAUGAGACUUUACAUUAACGGUACAUCAAAUAUUAUUUCUUUUAAUAUAAAAAAUAAAUUUAAAACAAGUUUUUUCAAGUUGUAUCCUAAUCCAAAGAAUUUUAUAUAUAUCAAAUCAUAUAAACUACAUAUUGUUGAUUCAAUUUAUUUUAUCAACAAAUUUUUUUUGUUAAAUUGUACCCUGUUAAGAGAAAUUUACUUGAAUCCUAUCUCGAAUUUCAACAAAAAUAGGCUCAAAUCAUAAAAUCAUAAAAUUAAUGAAAAUACAUGUGAUUAUACGGAAAGAACAAAAAAAAUCUCAAACUUGAUUUUUCUUACUUUUCUAGAAUGCCUAAGGAGAAAGUUGUGAUUCCAAUAUUGAUGUAUAUAUUAAGCAAGAAAUUUCCAAAAUAAUAAGGAAUUUUCAAAGCCAAGUAUAACCUAUGUUUUUUUUCUUGGUAUUUAUGUAUUAAUUUAUAAUUUUCCCUUGAAACAAGGAAAUAAAUAUUUCAUAAGUUUUUGCAAAUCAAUUUGAAGACAAUUAAGUAAACAAAGACUUGGAAGUUAGAGCAACAACACUUAGAUAAGAUUUAUCUGUACGCCACGGCAAGUUUGGAAAUUUGUUCUCUCAAUUUUAUUCUAGAAAUUUAGACUUUGAAUUGGGAAAACAAAAUCCAUUUCCGUUUUCUAUUGGCAUGUAACAUGCACGUCUAGCAAUUCAGCAACCAUUUAAAAAUUUAAUUUCCUGUGGAUUGAGUCUUAAUUCAAUUGGUAUAGGUAUUAUUAUUAAUGUAGGAGAACGUGAAUUUGAGUGUGCUGAAGCGUAUUAUCCUCCUAUUUAUGGGUUGAGGAAUUACUAUAGAUAGUUCUAAGUAUUGUCUCAAAAAGAACAAAUAUGAUUAGAACGAAAUUGAUUUACCUAAUACAAAAGUUUAAAAGUAUUGAUCAACUUGACAAAUUUUCAAUCUUUGGGAUUUUAUUUGACAAAUUGAUGCUUACGGAUUUAUUUGUCAAUUAUUGUAAUAAAUGUGAUGAAGUUAUUAUAUUCUCAAUUAUUAUUUCUAAUAUUCCAAAAAGAAAUAAGAUAAACUAUAAAAAUAGUCACUCUUGUUUGCUUAAGAUUACAUUUUAGUCACUUAUGUUUGAAAUGUUAUGUUUUAGUCACUUAUGUUGUUAUGAAGUGGUCAUUCUACCGUUAAGCUCCAUUAUCUCCCUAACGGCGGUCUUACGUGGCAGUCCAAAUGGGUUUUAAAUGCCAACUUGGAUGUCCCACGUGGUAAUCUAAAUUAAAUUUAUUUAAUUAAAAACCUAUUUUUAUCCCAGCAAUUGGACAUCCAAGUUGGAAUUUAAAACCCAUUUUGACUUCCACGUAAAACCACCAUUAGGGAGGUAACGGAGUUUAACGGUAGAGUAACCACUUCGUAACAAAACGAUAACUUAAAUUACUAAAAUGUAACAUUUUAAAAAUAAAUGGCUAAAAUAUAAUGAGGCAAAUAAAAGUGACUACUUUUGUAGGUUACCCAAAAGAAAUAUUAUUAAAUGAUGCGACCUAAUUUGAAAAUGGAUAAAAUUUACCUAAUUUUAUAACAAAAGCCCAUUUUCAACCUUCUUCUUUUUAUGAAAAUUAAUUUCUAAAUUACAUUUAAUUACACUUUUAACUUGUGUUUGGGCAAAGUUUAAAGUCUACGUCCUUAUUUUGUUAAAACCAAAGAAAACACCUUUUCAACUAAAAGAGUAAACUCAAAAAAGUAAUUAUUUAUUAACUAAAGCCACUAAUUAAACAUUCUUAAUAAAAUAAUUAAAAUAAAUUAAGGGAUUUUGGGUUAAGUAAUCGUCAGCUACAAAGUUGACUAGCCGCCACCAUCUUUUCUUCAACCACCUUUCAUUCUCCUCCUUUGUCAUUUCUUUAAUUUAGAAAUAUUUUAUGUUUUUUUUAAAUAAUUACUUUUUAAAGGAUUGAAUGUACAUUUUAUUCGAUAUCAACUAAUAAUAACGUGACACGUGACAUAUUCUUACUGAAUAUCACACAUUUUUUUAAUAAAAUGAAAAAUAUUAAUAGUUUAGAUACUACUUUUAACCUAAACAAUUUUAAAUACCUAAGUGAAAAAAUUAAUACAGUUUGAAGUCAAUUUUGUAGUUAAACCAAGUGUGAAGCUAGAAUUUUUUUCCUGAAAGGAUUGAGAUUAAAUUGUAUAUUUUUAUAAGAUAAAUUUUAAGACGAGAUUAAAAUUUUAUCAUUUGGGUUUAUUUAUUUACUGAAAAUUUUAUAAAUUAUUAGGAGUUAAAUAAUUGUUUUUAGGGGGUCCGACCUUUGCUUGCCCCCACCUUCUCCCCUAGUUAAACCCUUAUCAAACCAAAUGUUAUAUAAUAUAUAAUUAAAAUUCUCUAAAUGGUUUAGUAAUUCAAAAUUUAACAAAUUACAUGGUAUAACCAAAAAAAAUCAGCUUCAAAUCCACUUUUUAAGUGUGCAAAAGCAAUCAAGCAAAAGAAACAAAGGACCACUUUAGCCGACAAGAGAAAAGCUUAAGGAUUUCGUCGCUAAAAGGUAUUCGGGGGUAUUUGACACGUAAGUGGUGUAAGUCCAAAAGUAAUACGUGGUUUUCAAGUAAUGCCCAUAAAAUUCAAUGACGCCGUCACUAAUAAUUGUAGAUUGUUUGACCCGACUUUCUUUUUAGGCAAACAGAAGAUUCUUGUGAAAUUCAAUUAAUUGUUUUUUCUCUUUAUAAAAAAAUUAGUUCUGUUUUUGUAUUUUCAUUUUUUUUUCUUUGCAAUUUCGUCGGUGAAAGAUCUAAUAAGCAAUGACGAAACGGUGGAAAUAAAUUAUAUUUUCCCCUACUAUUCCAAUCUACAUUUUAACUAUCUUGACUCUAGAAAGUUAGUGGAAAAUUAUAUUUAAAUUUCCAUUUUCAUUUAGAUAUCUAAAAAUAUCCAUAAUCCCUAUUUAAUGUUUAAAUAAAAGGAUAAAUGUAUUUUAAAACAUUCGAAUUUAUGCCCUUCUACACUAACAAUAAUACUGAUAUCAACCGUACUAAAACUUCACCAACUUUUAUUUUAAAUAUUUAAGAAUAUAAAAAUUACUGGACCAAUGGUGGAGUGACAAAUAACUUAUGUUCAAAUCGGCAUUGAUUUUAAGUUUGAUCAUCAGAUAAUCUUUUGUAAAUAUAUAUAAGUCGAGCAUCUUGAACAAUUUUUUUCUAUAAAUUUGAAUUUUUCACUAGAAUUUCGAAUGUAAAUAUAUAAAUACACUAAAUUAAAAUGAAUUAAAUCUUUUCAAAAGUCAGAUUAUUCAUUCGAUCGUAAAGAUGUGAUUUAUAUAAUAAGUCGAGCUUUGAAUAAAUUUUUUAAAAUUAUUUUUGUCAAUUGAAUAAUAUUUUAUUUGUGAAAGACUUUUGAGUAAUGUGAUAAGGAUGCACUUGCAUUUGCAUUAUCCAAAGAAUUAAGAAAAGAAGUAAAAGAAAGAAAAAGCCUAAACUAAAAAGUGUGAAAACAUAUAAAGGUUAUCCCUCUUAUCUCAACCAUGUAACUCAUGACCUUACUUGGUUCGCAUACAAAAGAACCUACAAUAAGUAAAACCAUUCUACCAACUAUCAACUGCCACCUAAUAUUCAAUUGACUAUAAAUUCCACGUGGAAAUAUUUAUUGGGUAUGACCAGUCACAACAUUUUGCUGAGAAAGUUAGACUCUUCUAGACAAUUGAAGACUCUAACUUGUAGGAAAAGGCUUGCAACUCGUUCGACUCAGCAACUCGGUCAUGCUGACGCAUGCACGAGUUGAACUGAUUUCACACUCAAAACUCACAACACGCUAAUACCAUAUUUCAAUUAAAGUGACAAAAACUUGAUAUAGAUAAAAAAAAAUGACUAAAACAAGGGAUACAAACGUCAUUCCAGAAGGUCAACUAUAAAAGUCAAAAACUUCCAUCUCUAUAAUUUCCUAUCAAACCAAUCUAUAAAUAAAAAUCCCAUUUUACUUCUUAUUUGAAUAGAUCAUCAAAUACCCCCAAAACAACUUCCAUUUUCACACCAUACCCCCAAAAAGCACUAUGAAGAGAAGCUUUCCUAAUGAAAUUGAGAACAAUUUGGCUUUGGCAAAUUGUUUGAUGCUCCUUUCACAAGGAAGAAACCAAUAUGAUCAUAUCAUCUUCGACGAUAACAACAACAAUAACCCUACUAGGGUUUUCGAGUGCAAAACAUGUAACCGACAGUUCGCUUCGUUCCAAGCUCUAGGUGGUCAUCGAGCGAGCCACAAGAAACCCAAGUUGCUCGAUAGCGGAUCAACGGAGAACCAACCACCAGCGAAGCCUAAGACACAUGAGUGUUCGAUCUGCGGGCUGGAGUUCUCAAUCGGACAAGCCUUGGGAGGACAUAUGAGGAGGCACAGGGGUGGUUCGAGUGAAAACCAGCACCAACAUGGACCUUUGAGUUCUUCGACGUCAUCUCAAGAGACCGUAAGGACACCGAUUGUGAAGAAACCGAAUAGCAGAAGGGUUUUAUGUUUGGAUUUGAACUUGACUCCAUUAGAGAAUGAUUUAGAAUUGAUUAAGCUUGGCAAAGCAGCUCCACCAAUUGAUUGUUUCUUCUAAACUCUUACUUUCUGAUUAGCUAUAUGAUUUUGAUUUUGUUUUUAAAUUUUCUAGAGGGGGUUCAUGUAUAUAUUUGUUCAUUAAUUUACAGAUAGAGAUGUAUAAUGAAUAUAGAGAUAUAUAUCAUUAUAUUUUUCUUUUAUUCUAAAUUAACAUAUUUUCUGAUUAUAAUUUCUUUUUGGUGAAUUUGUUUACAUCAACAUGACUCUUUAACCAGAAGACAAACAUAACUUGUUUGUUCAGUUCUUUUCAUGUUUCAUGAGUUUUUCUUUUUUGGCUUGAUAUUUUAUUUAGGUAAAAUUGCAUGUAUUAUUCAUUUUAGGCGAAUCCUUCUAGAUCAUUUUUAGUAUUUUCUGGAAAUAUGUAUUUUUUUAAUCCCAAGAUAAUUUUUUUUUCAAAAGAAAAAAAAAGUAUGCUAUUUGUCUUACUAAAAAUGGCAAAGUGUAUUUGGCAUAUCAUCAUAGGGUGAGUAAAAUUCGAUUCGAUUUGAAAAAAUUAAUUUUUUUUAAUUUCGAGUUAAUCUAAUCGAGUUAUUCAAAUUAUUCAAGUCAACUCGAAUAAGUAAUUCGAGUUUCGAGUUUUGAGUUCGAAUCGAAUUGAAUUUUACAAUUCGAAUAACUCGAAUAAUUCAAAUAACAGAUUGAUAUAAAUACCUUUUGAUCCCUGUCAAGUUUGAAAAUGAGCAAAUUGGUCUCUUUCUCAACAAAAAUUACAAAACAAUUCAAAAUAAUUUUUCAAAAAUUUAAAAUAAUUUUUAAAAUUCAAAAUAUUUAUAAAAAUUCCAAAACUUAUAUUUUUAAAAAAUUAUAAAAAAAUUCAAACAAAAUUCUAAAAAAUAUAUAAAGAAAGUUAAAAAAUUAAACAUUUUCUAGAAUAAUAAUUUUGGGAUCUAAAUAAGUUAAUUAAUGUUUCAAGUUUGCCAUACUAAUGUUUUUUCUUUCUUUGAAAAAGUUUUCUAGUAUAUAUGGUUUCAAAUUUAUGUACUCUAACAUGAAAUUAGUUAUACUGUAAGAAGAUUUUAAUUUGACAUGUUCAAAUUUUUAAUUUAACUUGAACAAUUUCACUCAAUUCAACUUGACUCGAUUCGAAAAUUUUUUUAUUUGAGUUAGGAUGAUAAAAUAGGACUCGUCAACUCGAUUAACUCGAAAUUGUUUCGCUUGAUUCGAUCGAACGCUCACCCCUACAUCACCAUAUGUUUGUAACCAAAAAAAAAAAAAAAAAGCUAGGGCAAAUGCUUUAAUGUAAUUAAUAGAAAAAAGUUAACCUCGAAUUUGAAAUUACAUAUUUCGAAAAUAGAUGAAUUAGAACUAUCAAAUUAUAGUAAAGGGACCUUUUAUGGAAUUUGACCUUUUAUUUAUGGGUAAAAAUGAGAAAUUAUUAGAAGUAACGUUUACAUUUAAUAGAGGAUUAAAUUAGCUGUGAGUUGAUCUAACUUUGCGUUUUCUCUAAUUAAAAGCAAAAUUUGACAUAUUUAAUAUGAUACAUUAAUUAAGCUAUAGUUACUAUUUUAUAGCUUUCCACUUCAAUGAAAAUGAAACUUUUGGAAUAUGCUUUUUGUUUUUCAUCCAAUUCUCGACAAUUAAUAAACUAACCAUUUUUAAAAUUUGCUAUAAAAAUCUCUUGGAAUGGACAAAAUUAUUGGUUUAAUUCAAUAAUUUAUAUAUAGUAACAUUAUUUUUUCUACACUUUUAAUUAAAUAUAGCAAGGUCUCAAAUUAAAUCAUAAAAUUUUUAUAAAUUUAAUACAUAUAAGACUGAUAAAUUAUGGUGCUUCCAAAGUAAGAGUAUAACUCAAGCAAAAGUCUUCUAUAACAUUAAAACUAGAAAAUUUAGGUUAUUAGAGUUUUUUUCCCCCCACCAAUUUGUCGUUUUACAUGAUCUCACCAUUGAAGUUAAGUUUGGGUUUGAUUUUAAAAAAGCUAAGCUAGAUAACCAAAGUCUGGUCUAAGUCUGGUCAGUAAUUUUGGGUGUUACAUGAUGACAUAUAACGAUAAAAAUAAAAGAGUUGUUUAGGAUUUAUUUAAAGAAGAAUUUCAUUAUUAAAUCUUAUGGUAUAAGUUGAUUGAGUCUUACUUCGAUCGACAUGGAUAUUAUUAUCAAUAUAGGAGGACGUGGGUUCGAGUGUGCUAAAGUGCAUUAUCCUCCUAUUUAUGGGUUGAGGAGGGGCUUAUGGGUAGUUUUAGGCAUUGUAUCAAAAAAGCAGAUAUAAUCAGAAACUAUAAUGAGAUUAUUAAAAAAAAAAUCUUAUGAUACAAGCAACUAUUUAAACUUAAACUAUCUCAAUAUUUUGCUUGAAUUCUCUCCCAAUCAAACUUUCGCUGUGAAAGCUCUUUCAACUCUGAAUAUUUAGUUGUUUUAUGCUUGCUUUGAUGAGGAUAAAAUACUUCUUUAAUUAUUUUAUGUGAGUUUUGAUGCGCCAACAUGCUUAACCACAACUCGAGUUUUUAAGGGUGAAUUUUUUUUCCCAUCAUGUUAUUGACAGCAGUUUUGUGCUUCAAUUUGAUGGGAUAAUAAAAAAGAAAGCAUAUCUUUCAUCUUAAUUUGUUCGUAUUCUUCACAAGGUCAAUGGUAAUUGAUAGCAAGCAUAGAGAUUAUACCUGUCCUCUUGUUUAAGAAGUUUUUUGUUAAUGGAGUAAAUUUUAUUCAAAACAAAUUAUUUAAAAUAUAUAUUUAUUGUUUUUAAUUUUAAGGAGUUUUUAAUUCUUCACAAAAAAAUUAAUUUUUUACUGGAAAUAUGAAGAAAAAAAUUUAAUUUUUAAAAUAUGUUUUUGUAAUUAUUUAUAUACUUUUAAAGUGUAAAUACCAAAUUGACAAAAAACUAUAAAUGUUGAAGACUACAAGAGUUAUUUUACCCUUUUUUUAUAACAGCUACAUCACUAAUUCUAAUAGAAAAAUUUAUAGAGGGACCAAGAUUUUUAAAUAGAAAAAGUAUAAGGACUUAAUGUCUCAAAAUUAAAAUAUAGGGACUAAAUUUUAAAUUUUAGAAGAGUACAAGAACCUUUGACAGAUUUAAACCUAUAUUUUUAGUUAAAUCAAUAAUAUCUAUAUAUAUAUAUAUAAACUUUAUAUUCCAUGAAUUUUAGGUGCCUAUAACUUUCUUUUACUUGUCCAUAAAAAUAUAAAAACAUUUAAUUGUAUCAUUAAGUUAUAAUGGGAAAUUAUGAUAGGAAAUUAAAUAAAGUUGUAUGAUUCGUUAGCAGAAAUUAAUAUUAAAACCAAGAAUAGACAAAAUAAAUAAGAAAAUUAAUAUGGAGAUUGAUUUUAUUUUUGCUACUAAACUAGCAAAAUUUCAAGCUGUCCCCUAAUUUAAAUCUGACUGCCUUACAACACCCUUAAAUAAAAUAGCACAAAUUGGCAGAGGGGAAAUGCUUACUUGGAGAGGGGGUGAAAAUGGCGUUGGAGAAGCAUCAUACGGAAAAUUUACAGAAUUUAGAUAAAGACUUAAGGGAGGAACUUGAGAGCAUUCUCAAGAAGAACUCUUUUGGAAGCAAAAAUCUUGUUGUGACUAGUAGACAAAGGGGGACUGUAAUACUAAGUAUUUUCAUAGUAAAGCUAUCAAGAGACGAAGGAUUAAUCACAUCAAGGCUCUGCGUUUAGAUGGGUUAUAUUGGUGUUACGAUGAGGAUGUUCUUAAAUCUAUAGCCAUUCUUCAGAAGCUCUUCACUUUGAAUGACUAUUGUGGCGGGGUCCUUUGUAUUAAGAGUCAUUUUCCUAUGCUUGACCCAACAACUAUUGAUGCUCUUAAGCGUCCUGUCAGUAAUGAUGACAUUAAACGGGCGCUCUUUGACAUGGCUCCUCUCAAGGCUCUAAGGAUAGAUGGUUUUCAUGCACAUAUUUAUUAGAGUGAGUGGAAGCAUGUGGGUGCCUCAAUUUCUAACAUGAUUUUUGAAGUUUUCAAUGGUGGAUCUUUGGACCCUUAUUGGUAGAUCACUUAUUGUUUUGAUUCCAACAGGGGUGAGUGUUGAAAUUGGCCAACCAUGCUGCUGUUUGAAGUGCAUGCAGCUUGAUGACAUGCUGCAGCACGUAUACUUGCUGUAACAGCAAGGUUUUCUCUUUAGUUUCUUUGUUAAGCUACUUAGUUGAAAAUGAACUAAGUUGGUAUUGUUCUGAUGUUUUUAGGUACUGAUUGACAUAAUCAGCUUGUGUGCAAGUUAAGUUUUACUUGUUUCAAAGUAAAACUAGUGGUAGUAGGUAGUAUUUGGUGAUGUAUUUGACUAUAUAUAUAUGUUGUUUUUCUAGUUGAAUGAAUGAGCUGAAUGAGCUAUCAGCCAUAAGCUCCCUUGCUGCACAUUUGUGAGCAAGUAAAAAUAUUUUUUGCAUCUUGCUUCAUUGUUCUGUGCUCUCUGUUUUCUUCCCUUGCUCCUUCUCAUCCCCAACAAAUGGUAUCAUGAGCCUAAGUCUUAAGGGACCAUUGAUUUUGCUUCCCCUGCUCAACAGCGGCUCAAACUUAUAAGGCCCCCAAAUAAGCUUGAAUAAGCUGAAGGAGGAGUUUCAAGGAAAGGUGUGAGCUUUCCAAAUGUGCAAGCUUAGCAAGAUGUCAAAGCUGCAAGCUUAGCAAAGUGCGAGCCUGUUGAAGACACCUGCUGAAGACAAUAUGCAAAGAUGUGAGUCUGUCAAAGGUGUGAGCUCAGCAACAUGUGGAAGCUCAAUGUGUGUUGUAUAGUUGCAAGCCUGUUGAAGACAGUAAGCAAAGUGUGAGCCUGUCGAAUUGCAAGCCAAAAUGGCAGAAUGAAGGCAAGCAAACUAUACUCAUGAACUGUUUGUGCAAGAAGAAGCAAAGAAACAAGGCAAGAUGUGUUGUCAACCAAGGCUGUGAAGGAGGAGAAGACUCCAUUUGGUGAACAAAUCUUUGGCACAAAAGACUGGGAUAGUCAAGUGUGUAAGUCAGAUUUGUUGUUUGUGAAUGAAGCCAAGGUUGAAAAUGAAUUGGUCAGCUUGAAACAAAACAUCUAAGGGCUGCCAAGUUCAAAACACUUGAUGAAUGAUUGGUAUUUGCAGCAUGGAGUCCAAGGAGGAGUGUUGAAAUUGGCCAACCAUGCUGCUGUUUGAAGUGCAUGCAGCUUGAUGACAUGCUGCAGCACGUAUACUUGCUGUAACAGCAAGGUUUUCUCUUUAGUUUCUUUGUUAAGCUACUUAGUUGAAAAUGAACUAAGUUGGUAUUGUUCUGAUGUUUUUAGGUACUGAUUGACAUAAUCAGCUUGUGUGCAAGUUAAGUUUUACUUGUUUCAAAGUAAAACUAGUGGUAGUAGGUAGUAUUUGGUGAUGUAUUUGACUAUAUAUAUAUGUUGUUUUUCUAGUUGAAUGAAUGAGCUGAAUGAGCUAUCAGCCAUAAGCUCCCUUGCUGCACAUUUGUGAGCAAGUAAAAAUAUUUUUUGCAUCUUGCUUCAUUGUUCUGUGCUCUCUGUUUUCUUCCCUUGCUCCUUCUCAUCCCCAACAGUGAGUCUAGAGUCUGUAUCUCUAUAUUGGUUCAUCAACCUCUGUACUGUUCCAUACAAGAACUUUACUAAAGUUAUAGUCUACAAGUUGAAACUGGUUAUACCAAUGUUGGUUGCCCAAACUUAAUUAAAUUUUGUUCGUAGAGGUAACGUUAUUGAUAAUAUUAUUAUUUCUCAAGAUGUGAUUCAUUCCAUGCAUGCAAGAAAAGGGUGGAAAGGUUGGAUGGCAAUAAAAAUGGACCUUAAAUAAGUUUAUGAUCGAGUUUGUUGGGAUUUCUUAGAAGACUCUUUGUAUGAUGCUAGAAUUCCAAUGAAUCUGAUUAGAGUUAUGCAUUGUGUUACCUCGUUGUCCAUGCAAAUCUUAUGGAAUGGUUCAUAUACAGAAGAUUUCAAACUGACAAGAGGAUGAUUCUGUCAAGCAUGGAUUUUGGAAAUCAAUCAGGUUUAAUAGAGGAUGCCCACAUAUUUCUCACUUAUUCUUCCUAGAUGAUUUAAUCCUUUUCUACGAAGCGGACAAUAAACAAGCAAUGACUGUUAAUAAAGUGCUUAAAAAGACUAGAGUUUUUUUUCUCUACGAAUGUGACCGAAUCAGAAGCAGUUUUGAUUUGCGACCUCAUAAGUUUUCAAAAGGCUACUAAUUUGGGAAGUUAUUUAGGGGUACCACUUUUCUAUAAAAGGAUGAUUAGGAGCAUUAUUAUAGCCCUACCUCAACUUGAACCCAGUUGAGCUCUUUGUUCAGUCGCCUAAAGCCCACUGAAAGGAAUAAUUGGAUAUGAAUUCUCACUCUCCUUUAAAUCCUGAAAGAUACCACUAAAUAGGAGCUUUCUUCCAUACAAAAUCCUAAUACAUUAAGCAUUCAUCCUAAGUCGCUCUAUUUGUUCGACUUUCAACUUUAGAAUGGGUGAACCAGCCUCCUUUAACACCUCCCUUUCCUUCUCCACUUUCGUUGAUGUCAUAUAUCAACAAGCACUUUCCAAUUUGUUGUUGAUGUAGUCUAGCAAAGACUUGGUGGAUAAAAUGUACAAUUACUAUCAAUGGCGGGCUGUAUUACUUUUUCUAAGUUUGUGUUGAAAAUUUACCUCAACUACUGUAACAAAAUAAUCUAGCUGUUUUUAGCCAUUUUUUAUUUGUUGCUGAUUUUUAGAGAUUUUUUUAAAGAUUAUAAAUCUUUUAGUAGCUUAUUUUUAGUCAUUAUUUGUUGAAUUUUUUCCCAUAUAAACAUUAGUUUCCAGUUCAAUGAAACAUACGUUUUCCAUAAAAAUUACUUCUACUUUCCUCUUGCCUUUGUUGUUUUUCUUACAACAAGUUUUUCUCAAAAUGUUGGGUUUUUGACAGCAGCAAAAGAAGAGAACAGAGAGCACAGAACAAUGAAGCAAGAUGCAAGAAAUAUUUUUACUUGCUCACAAAUGAGAGAGCACAGAACAAUGAAGCAAGAUGUAAGAAAUAUUUUUACUUGCUCACAAAUGUGCAGCAAGGGAGCUUAUGGCUAAUAGCUCAUUUUGCUCAUUCAUUCAACUAGAAAAACAAUACAUUUAUAGUCAAAUACAUCACCAAAUACUACCUACUACCACUAAGUAGCCUAGUAACUUGAUAAACAUUGCUUGUAUACAUAAACAAGUCACCUAAACUAGUCAUUCAACACCUAAUGCAUCAAGUUGUCAUCAACUUGUUCAUUUUCAACUAGUUUGAUUACAAUGAAACUAAACAAAAAAACCUUGUUGUUACAGCAAGCAUAAGUGCAGCAUGUUUACAAGUUACAUGCACUUAACCAAAAACAUCACAGCAGCAUGGUUGGCCAAUUUUCAACACUUCUCCUUGGACUCCAUGCUGCAAAUACCAAUCAUUCAUCAAGUUUUAAGCUUGGCAGUCCUUAGAUGCUUUGUUUCAAGCUAGCUCUGCUCAAGCAAUUCAUUUUCAACCUUGGCUUCGUUCUCAACCAAAUCUGACUUACACACUUGACUAUACCAGUUUUUUGUGCCAAAGAUUUGUUCAUCAAAUGGAGUAUUCUCCUCCUUCAUAGCCUUAGUUGACAACACAUCUUGCCUUGUUCCUUUGUUCACUACAAUCCUAUUUCUUCUUGCAUAAACAGUUUGUAAGUAUAGUUUGUUUGCCUUCAUUCUGCCAUUUUGGCUUGCACCCACUUGAUCUUGCGUUUAGAUCGUCUGCCACUUCGGCUUGCAGUUCGACAGGCUCACACUUUGACAGGCUCACACUUUGCUUAUUGUCUUCAGCUGGUGUCUUCAACGGGCUCACAACUAUACAGUGCUCUCACCUUUAGAUGAGCUCGCACCACUUGCUGAGCUCAUAGCUCACACUUCUCGCUAAGCUCGUAGCUUGAGCUUGUGGCUUGCAUAUUUUUACUGAGCUUUCAGCUUGCACAUUGGAAAGCUCACAUACUUUCCUUGAAACUCCUCCUUCAGCUUAUUCAAGCUUGUUUGGGAGUCUCACAGGGUUGAGCUGUUGCUGUCUUCUCUACAAGCAGUCCUUAAUGACAUGCUUGUGCUUUGGCAGCUUCUUUCUUUUCAACAAGCAGCGGAAACAAAAUCAAUGGCCUUCUAAGACUUAGGCUCAUGAUACCAAUUGUUGGGUUUUUGACAGCAGCAAAAGAAGAGAAUAGAGAGCACAGAAUAAUGAAGCAAGAUGCAAGAAAUAUUUUUACUUGCUCACAAAUGUGCACAGACCUACUUGGACCUCUAAAAACUUUGUCAUUCAAUGGGAGUAAGUAUUACAUAGUUUUCAUUAAUGACUAUACUAGGAUGUGUUGGAUUUCUUUCCUCAGAUUCAAGUAAGAGGUUGCUGACAUGUUUUGAAAACUCAAGCGAUGGGCUGAAACUCAAAGUGGUUGUAAGAUUCAAUCUUUAAGGUCUGAUAAUGAAAAUGAGUACACAUCUGAUCAAAUCAAUCUAUUUUAUGAAGAAGCUACUCCAUAUACUCCACAACAUAAUGGAGUUAGUGAGAGGAAGAAUCGUACCAUAAAUGAGAUGAUCAGAUGAUUGUUGUUUGAGAAGUGCUUGCCAAAAGAGUACUGGCUGAAGCUGUACAUACUAUAAUCUUUCUACUUAACAGGCUUCCAACAAAAGCAGUGAAAUGAAAGACACUGUUUGAAGUUUGGUAUGGUUAUAAACCUUCUUUAAAAAAUCUAAAGGUUUUUAGAUGCUUGUGUUUUGUGUCUGUGCCAUAGAUCAAAAGACAUAAGUCAGACAAAAUAGAAAAAGAUAAAAUCUUUUUGGGUUACAACAAAGUUUCCAAACCUUACAAAAAUUUUUAGCCUCGUACAAGGAAAUUUUUAUAAGUAAAAAUGUGCAUAUCAUGGAGGAUGAACAAUGGAAUAGGAAAGAAGUUCGGCCAAUAUCAAUUCCAAAACAAAGUAAAAAGCUCCAGCUGAAGGAAGAUAAACUUGUUGGUGAUGUCCCUAUAAGAGGCACAAGAUCACUUUUUGAUAUCUAUCAAAGAUGCAAUGUAGCCAUUUUUUAGCCAAUAGAUUUUAGGGAAGCAGAAAAUGAUCCCAAAUGUAUAGCUGCAAUGAGAAAAGAAAUCAUCAAGAUUGAGAAGAAUCAGACUUGGAAACUUGUGAAAGAAUAUAAGAUAGAAAAGUCAUUGGAGGUGGAUUUUUAGAACCAAUUUAAGUGUGGAUGGCUUUUUCAACAAGUACAAAGCCAAACUUGUUGUAAAAGGCUAUGCUCAAAUCUUUGGUGUCAAUUUAUUUGAUAUUUUUUCACAUGUUGAUAGAUUAGACCAUCAGGUUAUUACUGGCUAUAGUUGCACAGAAGGAUUGGAAAGUGUUUUCAGCUAGGCAUUAAAUCCGCAUUCUUGAAUAACUUUCUUGAGAAGAAGAUAUAUGUUGAGAAACCUAAAUAUUUUCAAGCAAAAGGCAUGAAAAUGAAGUGUAUCAGCUCAAGAAAGCUUUGUAAGGGCUAAAGCAGGCACCUAGAGCCUGGCACAACAAAAUUGAUGACCAUUUGUUGCAACUAGGUUUUAGAAAUAGCCUUAGUGAAGUUAUUCUCUACAUUCAAGGUGAUGAAAUAAAUUUUAUAUUAUUUCACUAUAUGUAGAUGAUUUGCUAGUUACCGGAAGCAAUGAUGAAUUUGUUAAGAAGUUCAAAAGAGAUAUGCAACAUACUUUCGAGAUGGCAAACCUGGGAGAAAUGAUUUAUUUUCUGGAAAUGAAAAUCAAACAAAAGCAAAAUGAAGUGUUCAUCUGUCAAAAGAAAUAUGCAAGUGAGAUUGAAAAAGUUUAGAAUGUAAAAUUGCAAAGAAACAACUACUCUAAUGUGUCAAAAAGAAAAGUUGAGCAAGAAUGAUGAAGCUAAAAGAGUGUAUGAGCCUCUUUACAGAAGGAUGGUUGGCUCUCUCAUGUAUCUUACAAUUACUAGACCUAACAUUUUACAUGUUGUAAGUCUUCUAUCUAGAUUCACUAAUUGUGCAACUAACACCCAUUUAGAGUAGUGAAAAGGGUGAUGAGAUAUGUUAAAGGAAUGCUAAAUUUUGGAAUCAAGUUCUAUGCAAGUCAAAAAUCCUUGCUAUAAUGAUAUUUUGAUAGUGGUUGGGUUGGUUCGCCGGAUGAUAUGAAGAGCACUUCUAGUUAUUGUUUUAAUCUUGGUUCAGGGAUAUUUUCUUGGUGUUCUAAAAAGAAAUAAAUUGUGGCGCAAUCUAAAGUUGAAGCUGAGUUUAUUGCAGCUACAGCUGCUGCAAAUCAAGUAUUAUAGCUUAGGAAAGUGUUAUUCGAUAUGAAUUUAAAGCAAGAAGAGCAUACAGAAGUGUUAGUAGAUAAUCAAGCAGUUAUUACUAUCUCAAUGAUCUUGUUUUCAUGAAAAACCUAACAUUUCAAUAUCAAAUUAUUCUUUUAUAGAGAUGUGCAAAAGGAAGUUCUAGUUGAAUUAAAUUACUACAAAACUGAUCUUCAAUUAGCAGAUAUGUUUACCAAAGCUUUGCCUAAGCAAAUUUGAAUCUCUUAUAUAAAUGCUUGGAACUUGCAAAAACUAGAGUAAGGAGAAGUGUUGAAGAUCUACCUUAGCUACUUUAAAAAAAACCUAGUUAUUUUUAGUCAUUUUCAAUUUGGUGCUGAUUUUAAGAUUUUUUUUUUAGAGAUUAUAAAUGUUUUAGUAGUUUAUUUUUAGUUAUUGAUUGUUAUAUUUUUUCCCUAUAUAAACAUUAUUUUACAAUUUAAUAAAACAUCUUACCUUUGUUUUUCUUUAUAGUAAAUUUUUAAUAGUAUAUAAGAAAAUUAAUAAGAUUGUUAGAAAUUUUUAGGGGGUUCAAUAAAUGGUUAGAGAAAGGACGCUCUUGUUAAAUGGAAGAAUUGUUGCCAACCCGUUGAAAAUGGCGGUCUUGGCAUUCGAAGCCUUAUGGAUCAAAAUAAAGCAUUAUAACUAAUUCUGAUGCUUAUUGGACUAGAAUUUUGAAGAGCAAAUACAAAAUUAUGGAUGGAUGCACUCGUUCGAUAUCAAUAGCCAACUGUUCUUUUCUAUGGAGAUCACUGGAAAAAGUUUGGAAUAUAUUUAGAGAACAAACCUGUUGGUGAACUGGAAAUGGGAAACUGUGCGAUUUUGGAUAGAUGAGUGGGUGUUGGACCUGGAGAGACUUAAGGACCAUUUAAUAAUUUCGCAUACCGACUUUUGAGGAUGUUAGUCUGGCUGAUAUGGUAGAUGAUAAUGACAAUAGGAGGUGGAGUGUUUUUGCUCAUUUGUUGGACUCUUCUGCUUUACUGCACUGCGCAAUUACGUAUCCACAAUGCAACAGUCGGGAGAGGAUUUUGUGUGUGGAUAGGUUCAAACCAGAAACCUUUCACUGUUACUAACGCUUAUAAAAUGAUUGCACAAGCCAAUUUUGAUAUGAAAGAUAAUUUUUGGGAGAGAAUUUGGAAAUUACAAAUUCCUCAACGCGUCAGAUGCUUCCUUUGGUUAACUAUGAGGAAUCGACUCUUAACUAAUCAGGAACGUAGAAGGCGCCAUCUUUGCUUUGUGCCAUAUUUGUGGAGAGGACCAAGAGACCAUCCUACAUGCUUUACGCUACUGUUAUAUUGCAAUGUCUAUCUGAUCAAGACUUGUUUUCGUUGAAGGUAAACAAAGUUUCAUUUCCUUGGAUUUGGCUAACAGGUGGAUGGAUGGAACUGAUAAUAGGUAUGGUUGGAGUGUAGAAUCUAUUUCAUGGCAUUUUCUUUUUCCAAUUAUUUGCUGGUAUAUAUGAAAAAGGCCUAGGAAGUUUAUCUUUGCAGAUCAGUCUUACAAUACAGAGGAGUUAAUUAAGCAAAGUUGGUGUUUGACCAAACAUGCCGCUCAUGUUUCACUAUUGGCAUCGAUUAGAGGAUGAUUCAAAUGAUCAGAAGUGUUGGAUCUUGCCUCCAUCUGGUUGGAUAAAGAUUAAUGCAGAUGGAGCGGUAGCUUCGAAUUUUUCUUAGGCGGGUUGCUGCUGGAAUUCUAAGGGAUGAAUUUGGCAAUUGGAUCGUUGGUUAUUACAGAUAUGGGAGUCGGUUCAGCCUUACAAGCAGAACUUCUAGUAGUUUGGGAGGGUUUGAAUAUUUCAUGGCAAAGAGGUUACAGAAAGGUGGUGGCGGAGAGUGAUAAUGAUGUGGUGGUUUAGCUGAUAUCUGGAAAUUCGAUGGAGCGAUGUUCACCAAGUCUGGUACGGAAUAUUCAGGAGUUUUGUCGGUGUAGUUAGGAAGUUGUUGGGGAUGAAGAGGAGCAAAUGAAGAAAACAGAGAGCACAGAACAAUGAAGCAAGAUACAAGAAAUAUUUGUACUUGCUCACAAAUGUGCAGCAAGGGAGCUUAUGGCUGAUAACUCAUUUGCUCAUUCAUUCAACUAGAAAAAACGAUACAUUUAUAGCCAAAUACAUCACCAAAUACUACCUACUAUAAGUAAUCAUACUUUGAAACAAGUAAAACUUAACUUGCACACAAGCUGAUUAUGUCAAUCAACACCUAAAAACAUCAAAACAAUACCAACUUAGUUCAUUUUCAACUAAGUAGCUUAACAAAGUAACUAAAUAACCUUGCUGUUACAGCAAGCAUACGUGCAUGCAGUAUAACAGUAGCAUGGUUGGCCAAUUUUCAACAGAAGUUGAGGUUCUAAAGAUUUCCCUUGAAUCGAAUAAAGCUACUGAUUUCAUGUCUAAAGUUGGUACAACUCAUGCUGCAGAAGUUAGAUGCUUUGAGAACCCAAUCCCAAGCUGCUGGAAGAUAAUUUGAUCAAUUAAAAGGCAUAAAAAAACAAAACCAAGUAAAAAAAAUUUCAUGCAUUCAAGUCCUAAUCAUACCUCAUGUUCAUCCACAUUCAAACUAUUCAAACUAUCCUUAUAAAUUCAUAUAAUAACCCAAGAUAAAGUUAAACAGAACUAAGAAUAAUGCAUGCCAGACCGUCUUAGCACUUAUGCGUAUUUCUGAUGGAACCUUUACCAUAAAACAGGUGCUUUGGUAUCAAUGUAGGAAUAAUCCUAUCAGACUCUCCACAACAAGAUUUUUUUUCCUCUUCUUAACAGAUUCCUUUGCCAAUUUAAUGGCCUUCACCUUUUGUGCAGAAUCCUUCAAGCUCUCUCCCACUGCUACUUUACUAGCUAGUCGUGACCUUAACCGAAAUGUAGACCUCCCACAGAGCUUUUUGCUUACUUGUUUGCCAUCUAUAUCCAUAGCACCCUAGCACUCCCUUUUCUGACACCUUGACUUGCUACUAGCACGGUUAAUUGCAAGAGGGGGAUCAAGCCCCAAACAAGAUAACUGAUUGCUCAUCCUCUCUGUUGUGAACUUUCUAUCUGUGUCAAACUUUCUUGGUAUAAAGGGUCGACUUUCUCCAGUGCUUUUCUUCAGCCUAUGUUGUUGAAUAAGCAAGCUUUUCUUUUUCCUAAUCUCAGCUAGUGCUUAUUUCUCUUCCAGGGAUCAUUCUUGACCUUCCAUCUCAAAGUCAUCACCUUCCUCCUCUACUUACCGAAGACCCUCUUCACGUUCCAACUCUUCAAGCCUUAACAAAAUAUCAGUGUCAAUAAAGUUGUACAAAUUGUGACCAUCAACAAUUUUAGUCAUUAUAUCCUCUUUCGAUUCAUUAUUUUCCAAGACAUAGUUCUUACUUAAACUAGCAGAAUAAACACCAGUGCCACCAUUUUCAUCCUCCAAAUUCUUUUCAAUUUUCUCCGCAACUUGCUUAACUUUAGCUUCCAAAACUGCUUGAGGUAUGCAAAGAGGUCUUUUCUUCUGAUCAUGUGGUUUCCGUAAUACAACAUGAAACCUAUUAAGGUAGUAGUUCAUCUUUUAUUUUAUUUCAUCUUCAACUCAACCCUUUGAUUUAAUAACCCUUCGUAGGCUGCAUUCUUCACACCAAUCACUCCAUCCUCAAUCAAAGUGCUCAUAAUCAAUAACACCCCUUCACCUCCUUGACCAAUCAAAGUGCUCAUAAUCACUUUGAUUUAAUAACCCUUCGUAGGCUACAUUCUUCACACCAAUCACUCCAUCCUCAAUCAAAGUGCUCAUAAUCAAUAACACCCCUUCACCUCCUUGACCAAUCAAAGUCUUCAUGGCUUCAGCUUUUAUCUCCAUGAUCAAUUUCUUGUCUUCCUCAGAUAUGCCAUCCAAUGGCUACAAAUUAGUCUUAUUGCAAACAAUAUCAAGGGUUUAUGAUGGGCAUCAAAACCACUAAAAAUAAUUUUAUACAAUUAAAAUAACUCUAAACAGUAGUAAAGAGUAGUAAGGUCGAGUCCAUAAGGAUUGAAUAUUAUGAUAAACUUCCGUAUUUUUCUUAUGAACAGAAUUCCAGUUGAGCCAAUAAUCGUGACAAUAGUCAUGUUCACGACUCCAAACGGAUCUGCUGAAAAAUAAAUUAAAUAAAUUAGGGCAGUUUGAAAUUUCUAGAAAUUUAAUAAUUGGGAGAGCAGAAAUAAACAAUUAAAGAAAUUAGAAAUAAAAUAAAAUUAUAAAUUAAAUUUGAAUUUUGUGAAUAGAAAUAAUAAGCCUUAGCCCUAGACUCGGUGAAUCUGGUCUCUGAGUCGAUCCUCGAAAAUGACUUUUCUCCUCCAAACAAUAAGCUGGUUAUAGCAACUAAUAACGUCCUAACCACCAAUUCUUCCUCUCAUAAUUGAUUUUGGUACGCCCUGCAAACCAACCCUUACCAAUUUUUUAAUCACGAUACACGCAUUCGCAAUUCAAGACUUCGGUAGCCUUGCAUUCCGACGAACUCAACUCGGAUUGACGGCCUCAAAUGCAUGGGACGUUUAAAUUCGAUCACUAUCUCCCUUAAUUUGUUCAUGAAAAUCCAAAUAUAGCACGGCUGACUCGUCUUUCCAACUGUACGCCAAAACGACUCCAACUCAACGCACUUUUUGAAUUGAAAUCAAGUUAACUUAAGGGGUGAAUUUGUUAAUCCCGAUAUUCCGGAGAGAUUGUGAAUAUCGAUUUGAAAGAUUUUUAGUGCGUAUACGUUUCUCACGAUUCCUGACCAGAAAGAAUACCGGCCUAAAAGUAAUUUGAAUUUAGUGAAGCAUGAAUUUAAUAAUGCUUUGAUUGGUUAUGAAAUUGGAUUUGGAUGGAAAUAGUGAUAGAUGAUAAGGGGAGGGCUUGGGAAACAAUUAAACCAAAAAUUGAAAUAGAAACAAAGUUGGCAGGAUGCAUGCAGAUCUUUCAUGCAAAAUAAGAAAGAAAAUAAAUCUAUUUCUAUUCAAUUGUCAGGCAAAUCAAGGUGUGUUUUUUCAACUUCACAAUACACCAUAUUUAUAUACAAAUUAUAUGCUAAAAUUAGGCUAAUCCCACCUACCCACAUGAAAUAAAAUAUCAUUUUUUUUCUAAAUUUAGUUUUUACAAGGUCAAAAAUCUGAUUAAUUCUUAAAUAUCCCCAAAUUUUUGAUUUAAUUGUUCAUGCUCCAAUUGAAUUCUUUUCUAUUUGUUUUUACAUUAAAGCAUCCGAAUUUCGUUCCUGGCAAGAUUUAAACAUAAAAUUCACCAAUUAACAGGAAUUAAUUCAAGAACAAGUUGAUUUGAGCACAUAAAAUAUGCAAAAUAAACAUGCUAUCGAUUUAUUCAUAAACUAAGAUUUAAUGUUGUGAAAAAGAGCUGCAUGUUGGGCAAUGUUGUACCCACAUGACCCAGAUACAUCCAGAAAGAACAACACUGCAGCUCGUAGGCUAGCCAAUGCUGUAAUGCUGAACCUCUUGUUUCGAUCUUUGAAAGGCCUGUCCAAAAUUCCAGGGGUAUCAAUUACUUGAUAUCCAAGGUACUUAUAAUCCGUAUGACCCACAAAGAGUGACUUGGCAGUGAAAGCAUAAGGCUGAACAUCCACAUUAGCCCUAGUGAUUUUGUUCAUAAAUGAACUCUUACCAACAAUAGGGUACCCACAAAUCAAGAUGAUUCGAGUAUUUGGAUCAAUAGAUGGCAACCUAGUCAUAUUUUGCCUAAUCUGCUCAAGGUAGGCCAAACUAGGGGCAAUCCUCUUUAUCACAAUACACAUACGACCAAGUGCAGCAACCUUGAGUGACUUUCACCGAUAUAACGAGUCACCAUACUUUAACAGCUUGACAUAAUCUUUAGUAAUCUUGCUAAUGAGAUUCCGAGCAGUAUUUAUCCGGCCGAGAGCAAGCUUGUAGUGAUCCUUGUUAUAAAGGGCAUGAAGAAGAUCGCCAUAAAAUGGAUGGAUAUCAUCAAGGUGAGGUUUGAAUUAACUGAAAAUUUUCCUUGAGGGUUUUGUGUUUUUUUAAUAGCUGACUAGUUUUAAUUGUAUCAUACUAGACUAGAAUUAACUCCCCAACUUCGUUUGGGUUUGUUUAUAAUUUUUUUAUUUCCAAUUAGUUAAUAUUAUAUAUGUAUAUUUGUGUGUGUGUGUGCCCGCGCGCGCGCGUGUAUGUAUUCAUAGGCCAAUUAGCAAAUCCAACCCUCAAAGCCUUUGCAUAACUCAAGUCUCAUAAGCAAAAUCCCUCGUGAAGUGCUAUUAAGGGUAAGGUUUGAGAAAUUUGGAUGGGUUUAGUAACAGUAUAAGAUUAGAAAAAUAGGUUUAGGUAUAAGAAGUUAGAGUAUUUAAAAUAUGGGUUGGGCUCAAAAUUUUGAUUCGUUUUUAAAAUUUAUAAUAUAUUAUAUUAUAUUAUUUUUAUAUACUAUGUAAUUUAUAACACAUAAAAAUUAAAUUUAUGAUAAUAUAUAAUAGUAUAAUGUAAACAUUAGAUUUGGACAACAUUUUAAUCGACCCAUAUUUUUGGUCAACCCGGGAUUGAAAAGGAUAAAAUAAUAUUUUUAAAAUAAUAUAAAAACAUUAUAAUACUAGAUAAUAUAGAUUUCAUUCCGAAAUUUUUUUAAAAUUCUUUAAAAAUUACAAAACUCUCUCAAACAAUGCCUAUGAAAUGAGUGCAAUAAUACAAGGAAAAAUGACAAAGAAGUAACACAACAAAUCUGCACAAAACACUUCCAAAAAAGAAAUUAUUUUAUGGAUCAUUCCUAUCACAUCAUUCAUAGUCCAUUUUUUAACUUGAACACAAAACCCAAAACCUCAAACUUGAAUCUCGAAUCCUAAACCUCAAAACCCAAACCCUAAAUUAAAGUUUAGAGUUUAGGGUUCGAGUUCGAGGUUCGGGUUUAAAGUUCAAGGUUUGAGAUUCGGGGUUUAGUAUUUGAGUUUAGAUUUUAGUUCAAGGUUUGGGGUUCAGAGUAAAAAGAAAAUACCAAAAAUAUGUAUCAAUGACAUGGAAAUAUUAUUGAAAUGUCAUUAAAUAAUUAGAAAAAAAUCAUAGAUGUUGUGAUAGGAAGAAUCCAUAAAAUAAUUUAUCCUUCCAAAAAAUGCAUCUUCACCAUGCAAUCUGCUACCUAUUUAUAGGCUCAAUACGGCAGCCUCUUCUUAUAGUAUACAAGUAGAGAUAAAAACAUCCUUAAGCAAUUAUCAAUUUCGAUUUUAAUAAUUGAUUUUAAAAUUCUUAAACUAUUACACAUUUAACGUUCAAAAAAUAACAUAAAAAUUUAAAUACAAUAUAAAAAAUAAUUUAUCAAAAUUUUUAUACACUCUAAAGUUUGAUAAAUUUAAAACACUAUUAACAACAUAAUAAUUAUAGAUAAAUAAUCUCCAAAACUUAUCUCAAGAUAAAUUAUGAUUAAUCAAGAAACAACACAUAAUUCACCAAGAAAAGAGGCUAAAGGAUAAAUGUAAGCCUUAUUGGAUAAGGCAUGUGGAUAUCAAUCUUCCUUUAGCCAUCAAUUCUGAUCUCAAAGGUUUGAGACAACAUAAAAUACAUCCUAAGAUCCAUUAUGGUAAAAACAUAUGUGAAGGCCUAAGUAAAAAAUGUGAAAAUCAAAAAAUACUUAGGUUGCCCCAAAAGUUUAUAAGUUUAAACAUGUUGUUUAAAUAGGCUAUUUAAACAGGGUGUUUGAAUUAGAAUUGAAACUAUCCUAACAAUCUUCUCUUUUGACUUUUUGACAAAACGUAAGCAAAUGGUACACUCCCCUAUCACCAUGCCACAAACACACAUGAGAUCAAAUAUAAAUUGAAUAAGUAACUCAAGAAAGAUGUUAUAUACAUCAUCAGAAAAAUAGCAGCAUAAAGGUAGAAACAUAGCAGAAAAAUCAUAAAACUAAUAAGCUCCCCCUAAACUUCAGCAUGAAACAGAAAAAUUAAUAGCACCAACCUAUAUAACUAGCAAUAAAUAGCAUUAGAAGGCAGAGAUAGACCAUUAGCAAUAGAUAGCACAAACUCCCCCUUACACCAGUACCAUAGCAACCAAAUCCAUUCGCUCAUCAGCACCAUCCUCCAUUUCACACAGGAGCAUAAAUAAAUAUCUCCAAAGUAGCAAGAACAAGAAAACUUCAUAACAGUAUUCAAAAAUAGCUCAACUCCUCCCCCUAAAAACAAUAAACAUCAACCACAAAAAUAACAGCCCAUCAAACAUCAACAACCAAAAAAGUAACAACACAUCACACUCAAACUCCACUUAUCAAAAACACACCAUACUCCCCCUUGUCAAGGUGUCUUCUCAAUGAUACUUAUCAACUCAACAAGCUGGAGUCCUUCUCAACAAUGCUCUUUUCUCAAAAUGUUAUUUCAUCUGUUCGAUCUUCUAUUCAAGCGUCUAUUCGAACAGGUAUCUCAUUAGGUUCAUCUCCAGGUUUGUUUCAACUAAUGCUUCAUCAGCUUGUUGUGUUAAGGAGUCUAUAAAACGGUCAAUUUGAUCAUCUUGUGCAUCUUGAUUGAGUGGAGGGAGAUUUUCUUUGACAAUUUCAUUGGUCUAAACAUUUAUUACCUCUUCUUCAAAUAUUUCCAUGGAAGAAGAAGAGGUUCCAACCUUUUUCUUUACUGCUCAUUUCACUCAAGCCAUUCUGAACCAAGAAAGCAAGUUUGUAUUUCUUGAAAGUGUAAAGAAAGUUAAUCAAGAGGAAAUAGCAGUUGAGAAAAGAAAAUAAAAGUCACAGGGCAAAAGGUUUUCCCUUUUAUAACUGAAGAGGGGUAUUUAAUGCCAACUCAACCACCGAAAAGCACCCUUAAUGCCGCCCCUAAAAAUUCUCCAUGGGAUAAAAAUUAGCCAACAUGAGAUAAAUUUGGCGCUAAAACCAAUAAAAUAAAUAGGAGCAAAUGUAGGCACUGAUAAGGUAAUGGUUGUGCCCUUCUUUAUACUUUCGAGAGAUUCAUAACAGACUACAAAUGCUCCUCUUAGCACUUCAAAUCUUUUUGCACCAAGACUCUUGAUAAAUUUAUCAGCCAGCUGGUUUUCUACUGAGAUAUAUUGAAGAAUAUCCCUUUUUUAUUCAAUAGGCUUUCGUAUAAAGUGAUGCUUGAUAUCUAGAUGCUUCAUUCGAGAGUGCAACACAGGGUUUUUGGAGGUUUUUUUUUUUUUGCAUUGGUGUAAUCACAAUAUACUGUCAAUACCCUUAUUCGGACAAUUAUCUGGUCACCUGUUUGAAAAUUUGUUGUUUGAAAACUUGUUUGAAGACCAUAGUUAGAUAAGACAGAUGCUUACUUGCAUUUUCAUUGCUUACCAAUCUGUAACAGUUAUCAAAUUACACAUUGUCCACUAGCAUUGAUGACUUCCCAACCUCCUUUCGAAAAAUUUACAUGGUAGCCUUGAUCACAUUGUUGGCUAACACUAAUCAGAUUAGCCUUGUGAACGUUUUGAAGUUUAGGCAACCCCUCACCAUCUAAACAACCUUUUCCAAUGAUUCUCCCUUUUGUACCAUCACUAAAAAGUGACCUUCUCAACAUCACAUUUUAGAACGUCCUUCAAGAAGCUAUUCUCUCAUGUCAUAUGCCUGGAAAAUCAGAUGUCAAAGUACCAAAUCUCCUUAGUCACAGCUUUCAAGUAUGUACCAAAUCUCCAAAUCAUGACUUUAACGGAAUUAGAAUAAGAUUGAGAAAAUAAUUUAAUUAAGUGAAUUAAUUAAAUUUAUUUUAAUUAGUUAAAUAAAAAAUAUUUUGAGAAUAGAAAAUUAGUUAUUGGGUUGGAUAACUUAUAUGAAUUGGUUUAAAGACCAAGAAAAAAAACAUGAUUGUACACAAUAUAUGAGAGGCCUAUCUAGUUUGUGAUUGGCGGCAAUCCCAUAGAAUGAAUUAAUUUUUCCCAUUGGAAAACUAACAGUUUUCAUUAUGUGAAAUUGGUUCGUGAAUUUAGAGCCUACUCUCUAAGUAAACCAAGGAUUCGACAAUAGCAGAAAAAAUUGUGUUGGUAGAAAGCCAUGAAAGACCAUGUCUGCUUUGCCCAAAAUAAAUGUAUUAAUUUGGUGAAAGUUUAUUGCUACAAAUAACCUAAAGGCUCAAUUCUAGAAAACAAUUAAUUUUUUGUUGUGCAACAAAACGUUUUUUAAAUCAAUUUUUUUCUAACGAUACCAACAUAUUCAUCUUUAAAUACGAUGUCAUUAAUUCUUAAUUGCCGCCCUCUGGUCAAGCUCAACAUCCUCAAAGAAUGGGCGUUAGCCGUUUUAAAAAUAGUCUUAGUAGUGAGAUCAUAAAAUUUGUAAUGCCUAAAUCUUUCAAAGUGUCAACAAUCAAAGGGACCAAGAAUAUCGUCGAACACAAGUUCUCAGUUCUUUUUUUAGAGAAAUGACCUUAUCUCUUGCGCCACAACAAAACCAAAUUCUCUGUUGUCAAUUUGUGUUUUUUACCUAUUACGAUAAUAUGCAAAGGUUCAUCAAAUGAAAACAAAGUAUCCAGUAAAUAUAGAUUAUCAUAACCUAAUAAAGAAUCAAAACCAAUCAAAUUUGAAUUAUGAAAAAGAUUAAAAUUAAAAUUUCCAAAUGAACAAGAAUAACUUAAUUUAUCCAAUGAUGUAAUGGAAACCAAGUUUCACCUAAAAGAUUAUACAAGUCUCAUUCAAAUCCAAAUAAAAUCUAGUUCUUAAUAAUAAUAAUCUAAAAGUUCCUAUUGCUUCAACUUUUACCAUAUUACCAUUGCCUAGUAGAUGUAUCUUUCAUCAUCAUUUGACUUUCAGUUGUUCUAGCAACGUUGCAUAGACACACUAAUGUAAGUUGCUAUGCUGAAAUCUAUCCACCAAGUGUGUCUAGGUACAAAAUUCAAAUUAACCUCAGAAUAAACAAAAUUAAGAAGUGCACCUAUAAAAGCACCACAAGAGAAAUAAUCAUCCUUAGUUGAUUUGUUUCUUUUGUGAUGUUGUAAUUAUAGCUUUCUUAUUUUUCUUUGCAUACUUCAUUGAAAUUAGAUUUGUGAAGAACAUAUAAAUUUCAGCAUAUUCAUUCUUAACAAACCUCUUUUCAAAGUCGCUCAUGAAUUCUUUAAUCGUGGUAAUCUUAUCUAGCAUAGUGCCUUUAAAUGUUUUUGGAAUGACAUUCUUCCUGAUCAUCAUACACAUGCAAUUUGAUCUCUCCCACCUUUUUCAUUAGAGGUACUCUCAUAUAUAAGCAAUGGACAAGAAUCAACCUUUAAUGCAAGGUCGAGACCCAUGAUUCUGAUUCUCUUGCCAUAACUUGAAUCAAACAAAACAAUCUCACGUAAGACUUCAAAUAUAAAACAAAAUAAUAAUUAAUUCGAAGAAAAGUAAACCCUAAGAUACCAAUCACUCCAUUAAUAUUUCAUCUUUGGACAAAUAUAUUAACUUGUAAGUGAUAUCUUGAUGUAGUAAUUAAACACUGACAAUAAGCAUUACAUGUUUAUUACAAUAGUUGCGAAUGUAAUGUUGUUAAAUAUUAGCAUUCUUUUGGGCCAAUCAAUAAUAACAUAAGUUACAUGCACACAACCCAAAAAUAUAAAAACAUUAUUGUUAUUUCAAUAUAUUUUUAAAUUUUUAAAUAUAUUUUUAAAACUUAUGAAUUUUUAAAAUUUUUAGAAUUAUCUAAAUAGUAAACCCAUCGAAUCAAAGAUCAUAUUGAUUAAAUUUGAUCAAAUCAAAAAUUAAUUAUUUUACUAGUUCAAUCACCCGUCCAAUUUUAAAUAUCAUAUAAUAAAGUAAUUCAAUCACCCGUACACUUUAAAUUGUGAUAAACCAUAAAACUAAAAAAAAGGUUACAACAAAUAUGAUUAAUAUUAUUUUUUAUAUAUACUUAAUAAAAGUUAGAAAGGGAAUUCCAUUUAUUGAAUUGUAUUUAUUUAAUAAAAUAUGAUUACUAUAUUUUAUAUAAAAUUGAAAUAUUUUAUUGAAAUAGUGUUAGCUAAAUUUUAUUAUUUUUAUUUCUUUACCAAUAAAUUAAUUUUACUAAAAUUUGAGAUAAAAAGAUAUUAUAGAAAAUUAAAUUAGUAAAAAAUGUACUUCAUAAUUUAUAAUUAUUAUAAAUGAAAAUUUAUUAUAAAAAUAAAUAUUAAAUAUAAAAAAUUAAUUCUACAACAAAUUUAAUUAUUAUAAUGACAUAUUUUUAUAAGAGAAAAACAAAUAUUAUAGAAAAGACAUUGAUAUAUUUCCAAGUUUGGACGCUCAUAAAAAAAACAAAAAAAAGGGUCCAAUAAUUUAUUUAUAGGGAAAAAAGUGGUCCUAUUAAUUUACCUCACAUUUGAAAUGUGUUAUAUGUAAUAAUAUUAAUACCUUUAUCAAUUUUGGAGGUUCAUCCUUUCCCAUCUCUAUAAAUUCGCAUCGAGAAAUAAACCAAUACAUCAACACAAUCUAUAUAACCAUGAAAACCACGACAGCUUCAGUGUUUCUUCUUUUCAUCAUCUUCUCAGUCACACCAUCAUCCUUUUUGUUUGGUGUGGCCAACGCUACAAACGAACCUGUGCUCGACACUGAUGGCAACGAAGUCCAAACAGGCACCGAAUACUACGUUGUGUCGGCGAUAUGGGGUGCUGGUGGUGGUGGGCUUGCCCUAGGCUGGCCUAGCGAAAACCCAUGCCCUGAAGUCGUUGCUCAAAGCCGAUCUGGUGACGAUGGUAUUCCGGUGAUAUUUUCUAAUUUGGACUCCAACGAUGGCGUUGUUCGCCUAUCCUCUGACAUAAACAUAGAGUUCAUUCCCCUCAGACCCAGACUUUGCCCAACAACAACGGUGUGGAAGGUCGAUGAUUACGACCAUUCAGCCGGAAAAUGGUGGGUGAUAACCGAUGGGGUUACAGGGAACCCAGGUGCCAACACUUUGACCAGUUGGUUUAGAAUAGAGAAGGGGGGUGCUCUUGGUUACAAAUUGAAGUACUGCCCCGCAGUAUGUGGAACAUGCCCCGCCUUAUGCAACGAAAUUGAGAGGGGCUUUGAUGGAGAAAUGGUACGUUUGGCUCUCUCCACUGGCAAUGGAUGGCCAUUUAUCUUUAAGAAAGUUGGAAAAUCAGCCAUGGAGAUUCAACAAGUUGUUCAUAAUUAGAUUGAAAGCAAUCAUUAUGCAUGAACUAGUAGUUACUACUUAAUAUUAGCUUCAAGUAAAUAAUGCUGAGAGAACUUAUUGUUAAGAUUGCCUUGUUUGAAGCGGCAGCAUGUAUAUAUAUAUAUGCUUGCUCACAAGGUUUGUCUCUCAGAGUCCUCCUCUUUGUAUUCUUUUCAGCUUAAUGAAUAAACUAUUUACUUAUUUACUUCUUUUGUUGCCAUUGAUUCUAGUUGCAUUCGACUCAUUAACUUGGAUACAUUACCUUGUAAUUAACCAAAAACUUAUGUGUGUAUAUAUAUAUAUCAAAACAAAAAAAAAAGAGUGAGAGAGGAAAAUAGACUACCAAGUACCAAGUGAAAAAUGGUGAUACUAAAUUUCCAGAUAUAUGGCGUUGUUUGUGUGUGACAAACACCAAGUAUAAAUAGGUGGAAGUAUGACUACUUAUCAAGAGUGGUAUGGCUCAAAAACUACCCUCAUCGAAUUAUUUCAUCGUACUCAUUCAUUAUCAAUAGGAAGAAGGAUACUUCCAACAAGAAAUAUUUUGAAGGGUUAGUGUUGAGUUAGCUAAAAAUCAAAGUUUAUCAGAAGCUCGAUCUAAAAUUCGCCAAAAGGAAGAUUAUUCAAAGCAAUUUCAAUGGACAAUGGGAAUGGAAUAGUCUUUGAGUGGUUAGGGCACCUUAUCUUUUGAGAUAAAGAAGGGUUGGUCCAUGUUGGAGUUCGUGACUAACCCUUACAACAAUGUCGUUUUCAAAGUUUGAACCUGUGUCAUCCUUUGAACAUGUAAUUUGUCUUACCAUUACACCUAACAUUGUUGGUGAUUUACUUUAUUAUAUUUUUAAUUAAUAAUUAUGAUAUAUAGUAUAUUUAAGAUGGAUUUUCUUAUUCAUGUAUAUCAAUUGAAUAAAAUAUUUGUAUUUAAAAUUUUAACUCGACAUAUCAAAGGUCUGCUACUCUAGCACGUCUCUGAUCUGCUGCUCUAGCAUGUUUUGGUUUUUUUAGGGUUUUUUUUUUGCUUAUUUCUCUUUGUUCUGGCAAUGACAGUUCUUGGGAUAGAGUAUUUCUUCUCAAUCUUGUUGAUUUUGAUUCGUGGCAAUGGAGGAUGAAUUGGCAGAGUUAACAUUGAAAGAUGAGGAAUAGGAGAUUUGGCUAGUACAGAAGGAAACUGAUUUUGCGACAGUGGUUUAAGAUCUUUGUCCGGUUGGAUGCUUUCUCACAACGAGUGUAAUCCACUUACGACAAUGAGAAGCGCGACUGUGAAUCUAUGGUAUCCUCUUAGAGGAGUUUAGAUCUCUAAUUUGGGGGAUAAGAGGUUAUUAUUUCAAUUUUUUCAUAAAAUGGAUAUUGAUAGGGUACUAAAUGGGGAUCCAUGGACUUUCAAUAAUCAUCUUUUGGUGUUUCAUUUUUUGGAGGAUGGUGAGGAUCCAAUGAAGGUACCGCUAAUCUAUACGACUUUUAGGGUACAAGUGCAUGAUUUACCCCCAGGGUUUUUACUGAAUAUAUAGCAAAGAAGUUAGGUAAUUUUAAGGGUAAGGUUUUUAGAUCAAUGGCAAAAGCUUGGGUAAGGGCCUCAAGAAUUUCUUACAUAUACGGGUUUAGAUGGAUGUUAGACGCUCUUUAAAGCAAAAAAAGAAGAUUAUGUUUUCACUUGGGAAGUGUUCCUAUGUCAACUUGAUAUACGAAUGACUAACUCUGUUCUAUUUCUUCUAUGGUUGUUUGGGACACAAUGACUCUUUCUGUUAGGUUAGAAUGACUAAAGGAUUAGAAGUUUUAGAGAUGGGAUGGUAUCUAUCUCUAAAAGCCCAGUCUAGGAGAGUUGCUACGAUAAACAGUGUGUGGCUGCGGGAGGAAGGUGAAGGGGAGAUAAGGGGAAAUACCCUAAGGCAUUUUGAUUUGGGGUAGGGACUGUGGGAGGAUGGAAGGAAAGAAUCUAGGAUGCCCAUAGAUCCUGUGUUGGGGUUAAAUUUGGAGGGUGAUUUGAAUAUAGUGUCGGGUAUGCAAGGGGACUCUUCAAACAUAAAGGAUCAUUUGAAUAUGGAUCACGACUCGGAGAGGUGGAGAUGGGAAAAAAAGACCCAAAAAGGAUAAUAAAAAUCAUAGUGUUUCGAUUGUGAUAGAUUCACUUGUGAUUAGAGAUGAGAGAUCGUUGGGACGAACUCACUUUUUAUCGGCGGCUGCCAGGGGCAAGAUGAUCGGUCGCAAUGAAAAUAAUUAGUUGGAACGUCUGUUGAUUGGGGUGUCCACGAGCUAUAAGAAGGCUUCGACACAUGCUGAAGGUGUAUAAUCCCCAAGUGGUCUUCUUUAUGGAGACAAAAAUUAGUAAUGUGCAAAUGGAGAAUGUGCAUAGAAGGUGUGGAUUUUUAAAUGGUAUUGAUGUUUCUGCCGAUGGUUCAAGAGGAGGUCAUUUUUUAGCUUGGAAGAAAAAUGUUAAAACGAAUUUAAGGAGUCAUUCUAGUAGUCAUGUAUAUGUUGUAUUUUAGGAGACUGAUAAUAGAGGUUUACUGGCUUCUAUUGGACAUCGAAUACGCGUAGCAGAGACAAUUCAUGGAAUUUGUUAAGAAAUCUAGGACGCUCUCAGGAGUUCCCUUGGCUAGUGUGUGAUAAUUUUAAUGAAAUUAUGUACUCUUUUGAAAAGUUAGGGUGCCAAGAGAGGAGAGGAGAAUGGAGGUCUUUCGAGGAGUCUUAGAGGAAUGUUAGUUAAUGGACAUUGGAUACUUUAGGGCUUGGUUUACCUGGGAAAGGGGAAACUUACCGAAAACGAAUAUGAGAGAGCGACUAGAUAGAGGAGUGGUGAAUGUCGAAUGGAUGAACAUGUUUUCUAGUGCAGUGGUUUAGCAUUUACCACAUUCUUUUCCAGAUCAUUGUCCCCUUCUUAAUUAUACGGAGCAGGAGAGUAUUAGGUUGAGGCAGAAAAGGUUUCAGUCUGAGGCAUGGUGGGUAAUGUAAGAAUCUUUUAAGGAGGAGGUUAAACAAACAUGUCAAUCUACUUCGGGUGAUAUGUUGGCUAGGCUAGAAGGUGUGAGGAAGGGCUUGCUGAGAUGGGUGGGUUUUGUUAGAAAUAAAAGAGAGGGCCUUAAGAAGGAACUGACUAGAAAAUUAGAGGAGAUGAUGGGAAAGGAUAGAGAUGAUGAGAAUAUUGUUGAACUAUCUUAAGAUUCUCUUGUCAUAACUUGAAGUUGGUGUCAUUUAAUAUAAGAAUACAAUUAAUGCCUGCAAUAAUGUUGGCAGGUAUAAUCAUUGUUGUAUCAAACAAAACAAUCUCACGUAUGACUUCAAAUAUAAAACAAAAUAAUAAUUAAUUCAAAUAAAGGUAAACCCUAAGAUACCAAUCACUCCAUUAAUAUUUCAUUUUUGGACAAAUAUAUUAAGUUGUAAAUGAUAUCUUGGUGUAGUAAUUAAACAUCGACAAUAAGCGUCACAUGUUUAUUACAACAGUUGCAAAUGUAAUUUUGUUAAAUAUAAGCCUCCAUUUAGACCAGUCAAUAUUAACAUAACUUAAGUUACUUGCACACAACUCCAAAAUUAUAAAAGUCCAAUUGUUAAACCGAUUUGGUUCCUUUAAUAUAGGAAAGCCGAAUUGCAUAAACAAUCAAUGUAUCCCCUAUUUUAUUCAUGUUUAUCACAAUGUUUGGAGUGCUCACUCUUUUAGGGUGUGCUUACCAUUUAGGUUAAAAAGCAUCAUUCAACCCAAACAAUUUUUUAAAACCAAACAUUAAUUUUAAACUAGCAUUUUAGGCCAACCCAAAACUUCUAGCUUUUACCUUUCGGAAAGGUGCUUUUCAAUUAAAAACCUUUUUAUUCCUCAUUAAAUCUUCUUAUUUAUAACAUAAUGUCUAAAAUAGAAAUUUUAUUUUUCUAAAAACACUUAUAGACAACAAUAAUGUUAAGUAUAACUCCUAUUUUUAGUCAAAUUUGAAAAAUAAUCUUUUAGUUAAACUCUGUUUAUUUAUUUCAAUCAAACACUGAUUAGUUUAGAUUAUUUUUUUAUUAUUUGACAUAUGAAUUUAGCCUAUAAAUAGGCUCUUUUACAACCUUAGAAAUAACACCCAUUAGAGAUUAGAACUCAUAACACAUUUAGAGAAUUUUGUGUUUACGUUUUGAGAGUUCUUUGUUUUCGGGUUUUCGGGGUUUAGUUUUAUCUCUAUCUUUUAUACUCUUCGUUCUUUUGCCAUUAUAAUAAAAUUAUCUUUGCCCGUGAUUUUUUAUCCUCUUUGGAGGAGUUUUUCCAUGUUAAAUUUGUCUGUUCAAUUUCUCAAUUUAUUCUGCUAUUUUUGUUACUUGUUGCUUAAUCGGGCCGAUCCCUAACAAGUGGUAUCAGAGCUAGUUCAAAGAUCAGCCCAUUUAGAUAUGGCAACAACAGGGUUUGAAAUUGAGAAGUUCGAUGGUGAGACAAAUUUCAAUCUGUGGCAAGUUCGGAUGAUGGCAAUUCUAGUUCAAUCCGGUUUGAAAAAGGUUGUUACCGGGAAAAAACCUGAGAAUCUAAAUAAAACAGAAUGGGAAGAGCUUGAUGAAAAGGCCUUGUCUGCAAUCUAGUUGUGCCUCGCGAAUACUGUAUUGCAGGAGGUAUUGAUGGAGAAGACCUCAUCCGCCUUGUGGAAAAGGUUAGAAACUUUUUAUGCGACUAAGUCUCUAGCUAACCAUUUAGUGUUGAAACAACAUCUAUUUACGUUUCGCAUGAACGAAGGUAAGCUUCUUAGAGAUCACACAGUCAAUUUAUUACUCUUUUAAAUGAUUUAAAGAACGUUGAGGUUCAUAUUGAUGAUGAAGAUCAAGCUAUGCUAUUAUUAUGCUCUUUACCCCCUUCAUACAAGUCUUUUAGGGAGACCCUGAUUUAUGGCAAAGACAAAAUCUCGUUCGAAGAUGUGAAGGGUCAUUUGUUGAGUAGAGACAAACUCGACAAUGAGCUUCAUUUGGAUACCAAGGCAGAUAGGCAAGUUUCCAUUUUAGUAGCAUCAAAGAAACGAGACAAAAGGUGUCGCUAUUGUAAAAAGUUAGGUCACGUCAAAGCAGAUUGUUAUAAACUGCGAAAUAAAAGAGCUGCUGAGAGUAACGAGGAAGAUGUAGCUGGUGCUAAUUUGGCCGAUGAAAGUGGUGAUGAUUUCUUGUUAGUGUCAACAUGCGAUAACUCCAAACUCACGUCCAAGUGGAUCCUAGAUUCGGGAUGUUCUUUCCACAUGUAUCCCAAUAAAAAAUGGUUCUCUACAUACAGUUCGGUUGAAGGUGGAUUUGUGUGCAUGGGAAACGAUUCAUCUAGUAAGGUAGUUGGUAUUGGAACUGUUAAAAUCAGGACACAUGAAGGGACAAUUAGGACACUCUCAGAUGUCAGGUAUGUACCUGAUUUACGAAAGAAUCUCAUCUCCUUGCAUAUUUUAGACUUGAAAGGAUGCAAAAUCAACAUCGAUUCGAGCGGUAUUAAAGUAUCUCGUGGAGCUUUCGUUUUGUUAAAAGGUAAAAGAACUGACAGUCUUUAUAUUCUGGAAGGUUCUACAGUGACUGGUGAAAUCGGACAUCCUUCAUCCGUUAUAAAGUCGAAGUCAACUCGUUUGGAGCAGAGGCAACUUGGUCAUAAGAGGGAAAAUGUAUGACUGUUUCGUUGAAGAGAGGUUCUCUUUUGGAUGCAGGUUUUGAAAAGUUAAGGCACUAUGUUCGUGAAAAUCAGACCCGAUUAGUUUUGAUUUAGCAGUGUACAAGUCGAAGGCUAGAAGUCUUCUAGUUUCUAAGUACAGAUUCGACUUAGUUAAUUCCCUGCAUAGUUCAAGAUAGGCUCGUGGCGGGCUUUGGCAAAGAUGGCGUUGUGGAAAUGUGAGUCAAGGUGGAGAUUUGUUAAGUGUGACUCCUAUUUUAAGUCAAAUUUGAAAAAUAAUCUUUUAGUUAAACUCUGUUUAUUUAUUUCAGUCAAACACUGAUUAGUUUAGAUUAUUUUUUUAUUAUUUGACAUAUGAAUUUAGCCUAUAAAUAGACUCUUUUACAACCUUAGAAAUAACACCCAUUAGAGAUUAGAACUCAUAACACAAUUAGAGAAUUUUGUGUUUACGUUUUGAGAGUUCUUUGUUUUCGGGUUUUUAGGGUUUAGUUUUAUCUUCAUCUUUUGUACUCUUCGUUCUUUUGCCGUUAUAAUAAAAUUAUAUUUAUCCGUGAUUUUUUAUCCUCUUUAGAGGAGUUUUUUCACGUUAAAUUUGUGUGUUUAAUUUCUCAAUUUAUUCCACUAUUUUUAUUAUUUGUUGCUUAAUAGGGUCGAUCCCUAACAAAUAAUUACUAUCAAUUUUUUCAAAAUCACUUUUCUAUGGCACUGUUAAACUUAAAUGAUAAUCUGGCCUUUAAUCACUCUUUUUUAACAGAGAGCUUAUCUCUUAGCAAUAGUUUGGGCAAACAAAAAUAAUGUAUAUAUGAAAACGAAUAUUGAAUUUGAAUGUACAAUCAAUUUUUUGAACAAUUAAUUAAAAAGAAUGUUUGAAUUCAAAAAUUUUAAAAAUUUUGAUAAAAAAUGUGGAAGCGCAGACUUGUGUGAUGAAUAGUAAUGAUAAUAAUGAUAGAAGUUGUUUUCCUGGCACAAGCAACUUAUGGGAUUCGUCCAUUUGGUUCUAUAUUUCUCCGCUUCCUUGAGUGUUUAAGAGUUAAACGACAAAUUAUUAAGUAGAAAACACCAAACGAAUUGAAUUAUUUUCUUAAGAUGGUGUCGGUAAUGUAUCUGUGGAUACCCAUUUGAAUUUUUAGAAAACUGAAAAAAUAAUUUAUUUUUUCGAUUGAAUCAGCAGCAAGAAAAUAAGAAAAAAGACAACUUUGAGUUUGAGUUUGGAGCUCUGAGAUUUCGUUCGGUGAUUUGAACGGUGAGGUGAUAUGUUUAAAUGCGGGAAAUAAUAUAUAUCGGACUAGCAACAAUAUGAUGGAGUGAAAUAGAGAUUGAAGAAAGAGUAAUUUGAAGCUUUGGUCAUUAUAUUAAAGGAUUUCGAGCCGAUUUUUAGGAAAUCUAAAUCGUAGAAGUGAACAAAUAUUCUUCUUUUGUGCCACAAUCGACACAAAAGGCUAUUGUGAAUGGCAACAUUGACAAUUAUUGAGUACGGUGGCUAAAAUUUUUAAUUAAAAAAAGGAAAUAAAUAAAAUAAAAGGAAAUGAAAACAAAAAGAAAAAUGUGAAAAGAAAGAAAGAAAUAAUAAUAAUAAUAAUAAUAAUAAUAAUAAUAAUAAUAAUAAUAAUAACGUGAACUAUCUUAAGGUUCUCUUGUCAUAACUUGAAAUUGGUGUCAUUUAAUAUAAGAAUACAAUUAAUACAUGCAGUAAUGUCAAGGUAGAAUUGUAGUUGUAUCAAACAAAAUAAUCUCACGAAAAUAAUAAUUAAUUCGAAUAAAGGUAAACCCUAAGUUACUAAUCACUCCAUUUAUAUUUCAUCUUUGGAUAAAUAUAUUAAUUUGUAAAUGACAUCUUUGUGUAGUAAUUAAAUACUGACAAUAAGCAUCGCAUGUUUAUUACAACAGUUGCAAAUGAAAUUUUGUUAAAUAUUAGCCUCCAUUUAGGCCCAUCAAUAUUAACAUAACUUAAGUUAUAUGCAUAAAACCCCAAAAUUAUAAAAAUUUUAUUGUUAUUUAAAUAUAUUUUUAAAUUUUUAAAUACUUUUUGUUUAAAUUUUAUAAUUUUUUAAAUAGUGAACCCGUCGGAUCAAAGAUCAUAUUGAUUAAAUUCAAUCAAAUCAAGAAUUGAUUAUUUCACCAAUUCACUGGCCCAAUUUACAAGAUUAUGUAUUAUGUAUAAUUAUUAUUAUUAUUAUUAUUAUUAUUAUUAUUAUUAUUAUUAUUAUUACGUGUCACUCAUCAUUUGAUUAUGAGAAGAUAAGAAAGAUGAAAACAAAGUGGACCUAAUAAUUAACCUCACAUGUGAAAUGUGUUAUUGAUGCAUCGUUGAGAGCACCAAAAAUAUCCUAUCCCUAUAAAAUAACGAAAAGAAUAGUAAAAGAGAAUUAGGGCCAAAUCUUCAGACUGGAUUUGCACAACUUCUUGUUCCUCGAGAUCCCGGGCAUAGUCGUGCCCAAGAAAAAUGGCGUACCUGAAAAAAAUAAAAAAAAAUAGAAUUAAAAAUAUGGACGAAUUGAGAUUGUGUAACUUGAAAUUGAAAUUGUAAAAAUAAACAGAGUCGUCAAAACAGAUUCUUGGAUUGAGAGAUUCUAGCCUCUAGUUAUCUCGAUCCUCAUUGGUUCAAUCCUAGGCUUUUAGGUGAUCCUUCUCGAACAGAAUAAGCUAGUUAUAGUAGAAGAGGACACCUACGACUACCAACUCUACUUAGAUUUUAGACUUACGAUUUAGAGGAACCUAACUCAAGCCAACCGUCACUUUUGUUGGACCGUCUUAAACUAGAUCAUCAUUUCUUAAUGGCAAAUACCAUGUCAUUUUGUCUAUUGGGCUUAACAACCACUGACACAGUAAGCUAACGAACCGACUGUGUCACCUUCCCAAAACAUACAAAACGGUCGCCUUUGCACAAGAUGAAAAGACUUUUGGAAGGACAUAGACAAAAGCGUUAGUCCCGUAAUGCGGAGAAACGAUGAAUUAAGCGUCAGUCCCGUAAUGCGGAGAAACGAUGAAUACUCACUGAGAAAGCUAAGUGCAGAUUUUAUGCCUCAUGAACCUUUUUUGAGGAAUCAUGACAACCUUUAGCUAGAUGAGUUUAGUGGCUCAUGUUUUUCGGGAAAAAAAAAAGAAAUAAGUUUACUAAAAUGGAAUUUUAUUAAAUAAAUAAAAAGGAACAAAAAGCUAAGAGCUUUAGAGAGAGGGAGUUUUUACAGAAAAGAUUAGUGCAAUUUGUGUCACGCCGUCCCCUAUUUAUAUUACUUAGAAAACCUAGUUUUUUCCUAUUUAAAUUCUAAAAGAUAAAUAAAGAUAAAAGCUGAAAUUAAAUCUAAAUAAUAAUCUUAACAAUAAUCCUAAUAGAAUUCAAUUUAAAUAGAGUCUUGUGUUUAUAAAAUCUCUUAUUUGAAUUGUUGCCCCCAAGUCUUCCACACUUUGUAUUUUUGGCACCAUUUCUUUCCUAUUUUGCAUUUUGACCCAUUUUGUUUCAAAUUCACACUUUUUGCCCCCAAAUUUCCUUUUGGCUUCAAUUUAAUCCCUACCAGAUAAAAACCCAUAAAUAGCUCAAAUUAGUAGGAUUAUAUUCAAAAUAAGUAUGUAAUUAAUACAUAAAAAUAUGUUAUUCCAGAGUAUUAUCAAAUUCCCCCUACUUAGCCCAUGCUUGUCCUUAAGAAUAGUUCCUAUCUACUGUGAAAUUUAGAUUUUACCAUGAAAGAAAUAUUACUCCAAAGUUUUAUAAAAAUUAGGCAUAAUGCAUAUGAAAAAUAAAGAGAACCUUUAGCUUACUUUAAGUAAAACUGGAAAAGUAUUCCAAUUUAAACAUACAAAAAUCAAAACCGACUUGGAUCAUUUCAUGAAAAUUAGGUAAUUUACUAAACUUACCAAGACACCCUAUUUGUUUCCACCCUUAGUCCCCAAAUGCAAUUCAUUAUUAUUACUUAUUUUUCUUUUUUUUUUAAUAAAAUGUUGAACCUUUUGACGCAAAGACAGAUGACAACCAAGCAGCCCACCCUGGUUAUUCAGCCCAACACAUUCCUAAAAAAAUUUUGUUUAAUUCCGGUUAGCAGAGUUUGUAAUACCCCGAAAAUUACUACAGUAAUAAAUUAAGAUAAUAUUCUUGACAUAGUAAAAUAAGGAAAUAAAGUGAUAAAAAGGGUAAUUUUGAGUUAUGUCAACAUUGGGAAGUAUAUUAUGACAUAUUAAUUCAAGAAAGGAUUAAAUUGUAAAAGUGAGAAAAAUUUUAUUGCCCAAGAGUAAAUACUCAAAAUUUGAGGGGUUAAAGUGUAAAUAUGAAAAAUUUGAAAGACCAAUAGUGUAAAUAUUUUAAGGGUGGAAUAAUCUAGAAACUAAGAAAAAUGGAUGAAUUGGGACCAAAUUGACUAGGUGAAGAAUUAUGAGGGACUAAAUCGUAAUUUUACCAAAUUAAGUGAUGACUCAAGGAUGGAAUUUUAAAAGAUCUAAAAGGCAAAAUGGUCAAUUACAAGAAAGAAAAAUCUAGAAAAUAAUGAUGAUGUUGGAGAUAUUUUAGAUUAAUUAAAUAAAUAAAUAUUAGUUUAUUAAUAUUUUAAUUUAAUUUUUAAAUGAGAUUUUAUUAUUUUAUUAUUAUUUUAUUUAAUAUAUAUAUAUGGAAGGAAAGAUGAAGAAUUUUCAUCUUCUUCCUAUGCAACUAACGUAUGAAGAGAAAAGAAAGAAAGAAACUUUCAUUUCUUUACAAUUUGACCCUUUCACCAAAUACUCACCAUUUUCACUUAGAAAUCAAAAGAAUUUCCAUGUCCAUCAAGAGAGAAAGAUAACAAGGAGACUAUGGGGAGUUAUAAUAUCAAGUUAGGUUCAAGAAAUAGAAGCUGGAGGAGAGAAAAAAUCAAGUUAAAGGUUGCAACUAAUAGGACAAGGUAAGAACAUCAAGAUUAAUUCAAUAUAUUUUUAAGUUUGUUAUUAUUGAAAAAGCAUGAAAAUGAUGUUAUAGUAGAGUUUUCUUAAAUAAAGUCUUAUGUUCUUGAUAUAUUAGUGAAGGGAAAUAAGAGAAAGUGAUGGAAAAUAUUAUAGAGAAAAUGAAUAAGGAAGUUAUAAACUUAGUAAUCAAUAUCAUGCAUUAAAACAGUUUUGGACAGCAGCAGUAGUCUAACUUUGAAAAAUCACCAAAAAUUGUGGGAAUCGAAUUAGAGGAUGUAAAAUAUGAAGUUAAAUAUUAUUGAGUCUAGUUUAUCAUAGAAGAAACGGUGUAAGCAAUGGAAGUAUAAAUCAUGAGAUAUAAUAGGUUUUGUGAGACAAGGUCAGAAUGAUUUCGGGUUCCGCUGUUCUAACUUUGGAAAAUUAUAAAAAAUUGGAUAAAACUAAUUAGGGGUUUAAAUUUAUAUUUUUAAAAUCCUUAAUUAGUAUAUUUUCAAGAUAAAUAAACUAGGACAUCAUUAAAAUUCUGUACAAUGAGAUAAUUAAUUUUUAGUGAAGAGAGUUUGGAACAGUCAAACAGUGAAAUAGGGGAAAAUUUAAAGAAUAAACUGUACUUAUUGGUUGAACCAAAAGUUCUGAAAUUUUUAUGGUAAGAAUAUAUGUGAGUCUAGUUUCAAUUAAAAUUAACGGAUCUUAAUUUGGAGCUCUGUAGCUCAAGAUAUAAAUAAUUUUGUGACUAUGACUCAAGUGGACAGCUUUGAAUGAACAAAUAAAUAAAUAGUGAAAUUAUAGAUAAUGUUACAUAUAAGCAUGUUAUAUACAUUAAGAAUGUGGAAUGGAGAGGAGGAGGAGGAAAAAUAUAUGAUUAUUCAACUAGCAUGAGUUUUCAUUAAAAAUGGCCAAUUUGCAUGUUUUAGGUUCAAGGAUUAAAUUGAAUAAAAGUAAUAUUUUAAGGGUAAAUUGGUAAAAAUGUCAAAAAAGUGACCAAAUUUCAUGAAUGAAUUGUUUUAUUAUUUAAAUUAGUAAAUUGAAUGAAAUAUUAAUUUACAUCAAGAUUGGGUGGAAAUUUGAGAAAAAUAGAAAAUUUUCAAAAUGUCCCUGAAUUUUGGUAUUUCUACAAUUUAGCCUGGUAAGUUUGUGUGAACUGUAUUCUGUAUAAUUUUAAUUGAAGUGAAUUCUAUUUGGUAAUGAAUAUUAUAUAUGUGUGUGUUUUAUUAUUGGAAUGGAAUUAUUAUUGGUAAUAUGGAUAUUUGAUGCAUUGAAAUGAUUAUCGGACGCUCAAUUGAGUUGGAAGCUUGUUGGAGAUAUAUCAUAUUAUCCAUUGGUUCUAUCGAUAAUUUUGGAUGAUUUGAUUCGGUUAUAAUGGCAUGUAGAAGUUAAAUUGGUUAACGUUAACUCAUUAAUGUUUUAAUUUUGAUUGGUUAUAAAUACGAAUGUUUGAUGAAAUGAAAUGUUUGUAAAUUAAUUUGUAAACUCCAGUAAUGCUCUAUAACCCUAUUCUGGAGAUGGAUACGGGUUAGGGGUGUUACAGAGUUUUACCUAACACGUUACACAACCUUUUGACGCGAAAUAGGAUGACAACCCAAGCACCCUACCCUGAUUACUCAGUCAGUCACGUUUUAAGCUACACUCAUAACCAUGGAGGCAUAAAAAAAUUUUAUUGUAAUGAAAUAGAAUUUUAAUUUUGGAGGACUAGGAAAAACAAUCAAGUGUCAAAAAUAAGUUUUGGCAACUCCCUAACAGUCAUGAACAUAAAUUUAGCAUACAAUUGUAUUAGGUGUCCUCUUUGCAUUUAGACUUAAUCAAUUAAAAGUAAGAUAGGGCUAACUCCAUUAAUCAUAAUUAUUUUAGCCUAAUAGAAAUAAAACGUCAGAGUCGAAGUCAGAAUCGUCGAACACAACUGCUAGUUGGGCCGAAAGAGCUUGUGGCCAUCGACGAGUCCGGUGUCGAGAGGGGUCGGAAGCCGAAGAUGGUGGUGGCGAUGGUAGGUGUGAAGCAAGCGAUGGGGGAAACGGUGGAGGAAAAGAAAGGGCUAACGGUGGUGGUGAAGUCGAGUGGGAAGGUGCGGUGUCACGUGGAGGAGAGGGGGACUGGGAGGGUGCAGCUUCGGCUAAGUUGACGUGUUGGGGUUUCAAAAAUCAAUGUCAGUGGCUGUUGACGGAAAAAGAAGGUUUGACAAUGGCACGACUUCUAGUCCUAACCAUGGUGGUGGGAAAAAAUCGAUGGUGGGGGUAAGGGAGAAAGCUAACGGCGGCUGGAGGGGUGCUUGGGUGAAAAUAGGGAAAAAUUUAGGGUUUGAAGGUGUAGAAUAAAGGGUGUUUGGUUGUAAAAUGGGUGUUUGGACGUAGGUUUUGGGUAAGUUUAAAGUAAGGUGUUUGGUUGUAGUUGCUUUAUGCAGCAUCUAGGGUUUUUGAGGCAUAACAAAUGACAUGGGGCUCUCUGUCUAUCUUUUGUCCCAACACGGCCCCCACAUUGUUCUCGCUUACAUCGCACAUAAUUUAAAAUGGGUAGUUCUAAUGUGAUGCUUGUACUAUAGGAGCGGAAACCAACUUCUAUUUGAACGUGUCAAAAGCCUUCUUACAUUUUGGGCUGAACUCAAAUUUCUUAUCUUUCUGCAAUAAUUCGUAUAGUGGUUCAACUACCUUUGAGAAGUUCUUUAUAAAGCGCCUGUAAAAUCUUACAUGGCCAAUGAAAAAACAUAUUUCCCUUACAGUUGAGAGAUAUGGCAAAGAAUUUAUAAUGUCAGUUUUGGUCUUAUCAACCUCAAUCCCUUUAGCUGAAACUAUAUGUCCUAGAAUUAAACAUUUAUCUACCAUAAAAUGACACUUUUCAUAAUUCAAGACAAGAUUAAAUUCUAUGCAUCUACUUAAAAUUAUCGUGAGGUUUUUAAGGCAUUCAUCAAAACAGUUCCCAUAUACAAUAAAAUCAUCCAUAAAAACUUCGAUGAUGUUUUCUACAUACUCAGAAAAUAUACUCAUCAUACAUCUUUGGAAGGUGGCUAGUACGUUGCAAAGUCCGAAUGGUAUCCUUCUAUACACAAAUGUGUCGAAUGGGCAUGUAAAAGUGGUUUUUUCUUGGUGGAAGAAACCUGAGUAUCCAUUAAGACAGUAAAAGUAAGUUUUACCAGCUAAAUGCUCAAGCAUUUGAUCUAUAAAAGGAAGAGGGAAAUGGUCUUUUCUAGUAUAAGAAUUCAACUUCCUAUAAUCAAUGCAGACAUGCCACCCAUUUUGCACUUGGGUUGGUACCAGGUCGCCCUCAUCAUUUUUCUUUACUGCCAUGCCUGUUUUCUUAGGCAUGACCUGCACCGGACUUACCCAUCUACUGUCAAUAAUGGGGUAUAUUACGUCAGCAUCUAGAAGCUUAAUUAUUUCAUUUUUACCACAUCCAUCAUAUUCGGGUUCAACCAUCUUUGCACCUUCGCUUUGGUUUCAUGUUUUCCUCCAAGUAGAUCUUCUGUGUGCAUGUCAAAAGGCUUAUCCCUUUUAAGUCAGCAAUGGUCGAGCCAAUCAUCUCUUUAUGGUUUUUUAGUACCUAUAUCAAACUUUCCUCUUCAAGCUUAGAGAGUCUAUAAAAUAACCUAUCCCUAUAAAAUAACGAAACGAAUAGUACAAGGGAAGUAGGGUCAAAUCCUUAAGGACUGGAUUUACACAACUUCUUGUUCCUCGAGAUCUCGGGCACAGUCAUACCCAAGAAAAACGGCAUACCUGAAAAAAUAAAAAAAUAGAAUUAAAAAUAUGGACGAAUUGAGAUUAUAUAAAUUGAAAUUGAAAUUGUAAAAAUAAAUAGAAUUGAAAAAAGGGAUUCUUCGAUUUAAGAGAUUUUAGCCUCCGGUUGUCCCGAUCCUCCUUGGGUUCAAUCCUAGGCUUUUAGGUGAUCCUUCUCAUAACAGAAUAAGUCAGAUAUAGUGGAAGAGGACGCCUACAACCACCAGUUCUACUUAGAUUUUAGACUUGUGUUUAAAUAGAGUCUUGUGUUUAUAAAAUCUCUUCUUUGAACUUUUGCCCCCAAGUCUUCCACACUUUUUAUUUUUGACACCACUUAUUUCCUAUUUCGCAUGUUGGCCCAUUUUGCUUCAAAUUCACGCUUUUUGGCCCCAAAUUUUCUUUUGCCUUCAAUUUAAUCCCUACGAGAUAAAAAACCAUAAACAACUCAAAUUAGUAGGAUCAUACUCAAAAUAAAUAUGUAAUUAAUACAUAAAAAUAUGUUAUUCCAGCAUUUUCAGUUAUAUAUAAGGGUUAAAUCAUAAUUUAGUCCCUAAAGUUGUACCAAAUAAUUUGUUUAGUACUUAAAGAUUGUAUUGCAUCAAUUUGGUACCUGAAGUUCGAAAAUGUUUAUACCCAUUACUCCAAAGCCUAAUUCCAUUAAAAAAAACUAUUUUUUCGAAAUAAAUUCAAAAAUAAAAAUAGAGAAAUAACAAAAAAGUCUCAAUUUAAAAAAAAUUGAAAAAACUUAAAAUUUAUAAAGAAAGUCAGAAAAUAUGAAAAUAUAAUUUUUAAAAAAUACAUAAAAUAAAAAUUAGCGAAAAUUCAAAAAGAAAAACAAAAUUAAAAAUUUAGAAAAACACUGAAGUAAUAUAGAAAUAUAAAUGCCUACAGUACCUAUUAUUAACGUUGAAUUUUCUAACUUUUUCCUAAAAAAUUGCUUUUAGAUUUUAUUUUUUAAAAAUACAUUUUUUUUAAUAAUUUGAGUCUCAUGGCUAUAAAGUUCUUUUAAUUUAGCAAUAUGUCAUAUUUUAUGUUUCUAAAAAUAUUUUAGUCUCCAAAGGUGUAGUCUCGACCAAAAAAACAAACAAGAAUUUGAUUUUUUUUUCCUCUAAGUCUUCAGAAUUUGUGAUUACCGUUUUUAAUAGUAAUGUUGUCACUAAAAUUCUAUUCUGUAUCUACCUUAUUUUACUAUUGCACUUCAUACUUAUUGAUGAUUUAAUUUUAUUAUUAAUAAUUAAUUAUGAUAUAUAUUAUAUUUAAGAUGGAUUUUCUUAUUCAUGGAUAUCAAUUAAAUAAAAUAUUUGCAUUUAAAAUUAAAACUAUGACAUUAAAUUUUUUUUAAUUUAAAUCAAUUUGACUCUUUUAACAUAGGGAAGUCGAAUUGCAUAAACAAUCAAUGUAUUACCUAUUUUAUUCAUGUUUACCACCGUGCUUAAAGAAAUGCUCACUUUUUUAGGGUGUGCUUACCAUUGAGAUUGGAAAACAUCAUUCAACCCAAACAAUGAUUUCAAACCAAACAUUAAUUUUAAACUAGGAUUUUAAGCCAAUCCAAAACUUUUACCUUUUACCUUUUGAAAAAGUACUUUUCAAUUAAAAAUCUUUUUAUUCCUCAUUAAAUCUUCUAUUUUAUAACAUUACGUCUAAAAUAAAUAUUUUAUUUUUCUAAAAUUAUUUAUAGACAACAAUAAUAAACACUAUUAAUUUUUCUAAAAGCACUUUUUCACUGUAAUAUUAAACUUAAAUGAUAAACUUGCCUUUUAACCACUCUUUUCUAACAUAUAGCAUAUCUCUUAGCAACGAUUUGGGACAACAAAAUUAAUGUAUAUAUGAAAACGAAUAUUGAAUUUGGAUGUCCAAUCAAUUUUUUGAAUAAUUAAUUAAAAAUAAUUUUUAAAUUCAAAAAAUCUAAAAGAAUUUGAUAAAAAAAUGUGGAAGGGCACACUUGUAUGAUGAAUAGUAAAGAUAAUAAUGAUAGAAGUUGUUUUCCUGGCACAAGGAACUUAUGGGAUUCGUCCAUUUGGUUUUAUAUUUCUCCACUUGCUUGAGUGUUUAAGAGUUAAAGGACAAACUAUUAUGUAUAAACACCAAACGAAUUGGAAGGCUUUUGUCUUCUUCAAAUUUUACAUUCAAUAUCAUCAUCACAAUCAUGGUAAUUUACUUUCAUGAAUAAACUUUUAUGUCCCAUUUAACCUGAAUUAUUAAAAAUUAUUAAGUCAAUUAUAUUUUUAAGAUGGUGUCGUUGUCCAGCGACAUUGAUUUAAAUUUUUUUUAAAAUUAUUUUAAAAAUGAAAAAAAUUUACUUUUUUGAUUGAUUCAGCAGCAAGAAAAAAAAAAGAAACCUUUUCGGAUUCAAAACUCUAAAAAUCUGUUCAUGAUCUGAACGGUGAGGUGAUGUAUUUAACUGUGAAGAAUAAUUUAUAUUCGACUAGUGACAAUCUGAUAGAGUAAAACAGAGAUUAAAGAAAAAGUAGUUUGAAAUCUUGAUCAUUGUUUUAAAGGAUUUGAAGUCGAAUUCUACAAAAUUUAAAUUGUAGAAGUGAAUGAGGAGAAAAAGCCCCUGUGAAUGGCAACAUAGAUGGUUAUUGAGUAUGGUCGUUAAAAUUUUCAUUUAAAGAAAAAGGAAAUAAAUAAAAUAAAAUGAUAGGAAAACAAAAAUAAAAACGUGAAAAGAAAUAAAGAAAGAAUAAUAAUAAUAAUAAUAAUAAUAAUAAUAAGAGAAUUUUGGGGGCGAUGCUUUUGUACAAAUCUGCAACUACACGUGAAGUGGAAUAAAAAGUUGAGCAUGUCGCUCAGCCUUGCGCUUUCGAGGCGCUCCAUUCAUCACGAAUGGGGCCAGAUUUCUCAAUGAGUGAAAGUGGUACUAAUAAUUUACCUCACAUUUGAAAUGUGUUAUAAAUAUAUAUGUGGAUGAAUUUUUUGCUACCAUGCUAAAAUUGAAGAUUUUAAUUUUGGUGGAUUUUAAGUUUUUAUAUAUUUUAAAAUUUAAAAUUUUAAUCUUAAUUUAAAUGAUAAUCGUUAAAUUUGUUGGGUCAAAUUUUGUUAUUAGUCAAUUACUAUGCAUAAAUUAUGAACUUAAUUCAUGUAUUUCAAUUUGAUCACUUUCAGUCAUUAUAUUUUUCAGUUUUGGAAUUCUGGUACUACUUAAAUAGUAACUAUUAAAUCCAUUUACUAUAAUGAUAUAAGAUUUUUGUGAGUAUUAUGUAAAAUAGCUACUUAUCACAUUUUUAAUGUAUAUAUUUAUUAUAUUGUAUAUACCAUUUCAACUAAAUUCAUUUAAUUUUUAUAAAUUUAUUAUAUAAAUUUAAGUACAAAUAUGUGUCAUUCUCUAAUAACAAUAAUAAUAAUAAGUGGAUGACAUAAGAUGUGUCAAAACAUUUAUCUUCAAUUCUGAUGCAGAAAGGCAGGCGGUCAUUUUUAGUAAAAAUACAUAAAUAUAUCACUAAAUUAUUAGUAGCAUUCUGUUUUCCUUACUAAAUGAUAAUACUCUAGAAUGACAUAUUUUUAUUUAUUAAUUAUAUGUUUAUUUCGAGUAUGAUCCUAUUAAUUUGAGUUAUUUAUAGUUUUUUUAUCUGAUAGAGAUUAAAUUGAAGGCAAAAGGAAAUUUGGGGGCUAAAAGCAUGAAUUUAAAGACAAAAUGGGACAGCAUGCGAAAUAGGAAAAAAGUGGUGCCGAAAAUAUAAAGUGCGAAAGGCUUGAGGCAAAAAUUCAAAGAAGAGAUUUAUGAACAGAAGACUCUAUUUAAAUUUGAAUUUUAUUAAGAUUAUUGUUAAAAUUAUUAUUUAGAUUUAAUUUCAGCUUUUAUCUUUAUUUAUCUUUUAGAAUUUAAGUAGGAACAAACUAGGUUUUUUUUUUUAACUACAAUAAAUAGGGGAUGGAGUGACACAAAUUGACACUCAUCUUUUCUGUAAAAGCUCCCUCUCCCAAAAAGCUCUAGCUUUUUGUUCCUUUUAUUUUUCAAUAAAAUUUCAUUUUAUUAAACUUAUUUCUUUUUUCCAAAAGGCAUGAGCCACUAAACUCAUCUAGCCAAAGGUUGUUGAGAUUCCCCAAAAAGGAUUCAUAAGGCUUAGAAUCCGCAGCUAACAUUUUUAACAAGUAUUCAUUGUUUCUCAGCACUACGGGACUGACGCUUCCAUCCAUGUCGCUUCAAAAGUGAUCUUUUCAUCUUGUGCAAAGGCGGCCACUUUAUAUGUUUUGGGAAGGUUGCACAGUGGGUUCGUUAGCUUACUGCGUCAGUGGUUACCGAACCCAAUAGACAAAAUGGCGUGGCAUUCGCCAUUGAGAAAUGACGAUCUAAUGUAAGACGGUCCCAAAAAAGUGACGGUUAGCUAGAGUCAAGCUCCUCUAUAUCGUAAGUCUAAAUUCUAAGUGGAGCUGGUGGUCGUGGGCGUCUUCUUCCACUAUAACUAGCUUAUUCUGUCAUGAGAAUGAUCAUCUAAAAGCCUAGGAUUGAACCCAAGGAGGAUCGAGAUAACCUGAGGCUGGAAUCUCUCAAUCCAAGAAAUAAAAGUUAGAGGUGGUAGGGACUCAGAGUAACCCACCGUCGAAAAUAGAAGCAAACGACAAAGUUGAGUCUAGGGUUAAUGAAAACCCUACUCACACGCUAGAAAAUGAAAGAAUAGGAGUCAAUCCACCAGAAGAAGUGCUUAAUGCUACGGUUAACGAAAACCCAAAUCUAACACAUCAACCUAUAGCUCAAACGAUUCAGCGGCCGAAGCUCCUGCAGAACAAUCGUUGUUAUGCAUUGCGUAUCCUACUAUGGAUACUAAUUUUGAACUGAAGUCAGGAUUAAUCUAGUUACUGUUGACUUUCCACGGAUUAUAAAAUGAAAAUUCACACAAACAUGUAAAAGAGUUUCAUAUGGUUUGUCUUAGUAUGAAACCUUAGGGCGUAACUGAGGAUCAAAUCAAAUUGCGUGCUUUCCCUUUUUCCUUAGCAGAUUCUACUAAAGAAUGGUUGUUUUAUCUACCUCCUGGAUCUAUUACAACUUGGACUAAUCUUUCUAGUUUGUGUCUCAACAGGUUUUUUCCAAUAUUGUGUGCAGCUGAGUUAAGAAGGGAGAUCAUUGGGAUAAGGUAAAAAGAAGUAGAGUUUCUUUACGACUAUUGGGAGCGAUUUAAGAAGUUGUGUGCAAGUUGCCUACAACAUGGUAUAACCAAACAGUCUCUACCCCAAUACUUUUAUAAAGGCUUGAAGCCCAUAAAAAUGAACAUGGUAGAUGCAGCCAGUAGAGGGACGUUGGUCAAUAUGACUCCCCAACAGGCAAGAGACUUGAUUUCCAUGAUGGCUGCAAAUACUUAGCAAUUUUGAGCCAAUCCUGAACCCACUAGAAGGGUUCACCAGCUAAGUAAGUCAACUUUAGAAGAUAAAGUUGAUAGACUUACUAAUAUCGUGAAUUCUAUUUUUGUACUAAAAAUAGGAACAGCCCGACUGUGCAGAAUUUGUGCAACACCCGAACAUACAAUUGAUGCAUGCCCUAGUUUGUGUGACGAUACUAUAGCCUAUUUAGAUGUUGUGAGAAACUUUUUGGACCGUCCCAAAGGCGAUAUGACCCCUAUGCAAAUACAUAUAAUCCAGGAUGGAAAGACCAUCUUAACUUGAGUUAUGGGCAAACCUGCAGUAUAACCAGCCAUACCAAAACCAAUUUCCACAAUAAAUGCAAGAUUUAGGUACCUCUCUAGAAACCAUGGUCAAUAAAUUAGUAGCUAAUGUAUUUGAUUCCAACAGCAGAUAAAACAACAAACUGUUGAUUUCCAAUAGCAAAUAAAUGGCAAACUCUUGAUUUCCAAAAGGAAACAAAGGAUUUUCAACAUAAAAUCGAGGCGUCUAUAAGAUAGUUGACUACACCAAUUGAGAAAAUAAACUCACAUGGAAAGCUGUCGUCACAAACUGAACCUAACCCAAGACAACACACAAAUGCAGUGACGUUGUGAAAUGGAAAAGUACUAAUAUCGAAUCAUUGUUGGAAUCUUGAUCAAGAUUCUGCACAAAAAAAAGCAAGAGAAUGAUGAACAAGUCCGAACGAAACCUCCAUUACCCAUAAUUCAACCUUCAUUUCCAGGACGAUUGAACCAACAUCGGAGACGUAAAGAGGAAAAAAAGAUCCUCGAAACAUUCAAAAAGGUCGAGAUCAACAUACCAUUAUUGGAUGCCAUCAAACAAAUUCCACGAUAUGCCAAGUUCCUUAAGGAAUCUGCAGUGUUGCAGCGGAGGAUGCCAGUUAAAUGUAAAGAUAAGGGCAUGUUUGCAAUACCAUGCAAAAUAGGCCACUUAGAAAUUAAAAAAAUUAUGUGUGAUUUAGGGGCCACCAUAAAUGUAAUGUCUUUUUCUAUAUAUGAAUCACUUAACGUGGGUUUUUUGAUGAAAACAAGUGUUAUUAUUCAAUUAGCAAAUAGGUCUAUUGUGCAUCCCGAAGGAGUCCUUAAGGACGUAUUAGUGAAAGUCAACAGACUUAUCUUUCCUGUAGACUUUUAUGUGAUAAAAAUGGAAGAGGAUAACGCUCCUGAGUCUUUGGAUAUCUUGUUGGGGUGACCUUUCUUUAGUACUGCAUAUACUAAGAUUGACGUGCGUAGCGAAACCCUCACGAUGGAGUUUGACGGGGAGAUCGUGAAGUUUAACGUUUAUGGCACCAGAUCUGGAAUUAAAACCACUUUCUGAGCAUCUCAAAUGCAUAUUUUUGGAGAAUGAUGAGAUCAUUGUAGACUUAAAAGGGAUCAACCCCUUGACAUGCACACAUAAAAUUUUCUUGGAGGAAAAUACGAAACCAAAGAAAGAGGUGCAAGGAUGAUUGAACCCAAAUAUGGUGGAUGUGGUAAAAAAUGAGAAUUUCCAAGCCUAUACGAAUGAAAAAAAUUAGCUGGAACAUCCCCAAUACUAGUUGGGGCGUCAAGCUAACGACGUUAAAUAAGCGCUUGUUGGGAAGCAACCCAAAUUUAUUUUGUUUUAUUUUAUUUUAUUUAUAUUUAUAGUUAUAGCUAUAUUCUUUAUUUUCUUUAUUUUCUUGCAUGUUAAUAAAUUUUAACUCUCUUCUUAUAUCCAAGAGAAUCGAGGAAUUGAAAAAAAUAGAUUUGGAAACAGGCGAAAAUAGUAACGAAAACGACAUGAGGAGUGUCCUAAACCCUUUCUUUUCAUCAUAUUUAUUAAUAUUAUUUUUCACACCGAGGAAUAUGUGUUUAUGGCUACUCUUCUCAAUAAUGUUGUUUUCAAGGUUUGAACCUGCAUUAUCAUUUGAACAUGUAAUGUGUCUUAUCAUUACACCCAAUAUUGGUGAGUUACUCUAUUCUAUUCUUAAUUAAUUAUUAUGAUAUAUAUUAAGUUUAAGAUGGAUUUUCUUUUUCAUGUUUACCAAUUGAAUCAAAUUUUUGUAUUUAAAAUUUUAACUUGACAUAUCGAAAGUCUGCUACUCUAGCACGUCUCUGGUCUACUACUCUAGCAUGUUUUGGUUUUUCUUUAGGGUUUUUUUGGCUUAUUUCUCUUUGUUCUAGCGACAGCGGUUCUUGGGAGGGAGUGUUUCUUAUCAAUCUAGUUCAUUUUGAUUCAUGGAAAUGGAGGAUGAAAUGGUAGAGUUAACAUUGGAAGAUGAGAAAGAGGAGAUUUUGCAAGUACAAAAGGAAAUUGAUUCUACAACGAUGGGGAGAUUUUGCAAGUACAGAAGGAAAUGGAUUCUACAAUGGUGGUUUAUGAUCUUUUUCUAGUUGGAUGCUUUCUUAUGGUGAGUGUAAUCCAAUUUCUGGCAAUGAGAAGCACGAUGUCAAAUUUAUGGCAUCCUCUGAAAGUAAUAGGUUGAGGUAGAAAAGAUUUUGGUUUGAGGCAUGGUGGCUGAUGAAAGAAUUUUUUGAGGAGGAGGUUAAACGAAUAUGUCAGUCUACUUCAAGUGAUAUGUUGGCUAAGCUAGAAGGUGUGAGGAAAGGCUUGGUGAGAUGGGUGGGUUCUAUUAAAAAUAAAAAGAAGGGCCUUAAGAGGGAUCUGACUAGAAAAUUGGAGGAGAUGAUGGGAAAGGAAGGAGAUGUCAAGAAUAUUGUUGAACUAUUUUAAGAUUCUCUUGUCAUAACUUGAAGUUGGUGUCAUUUAAUAUAAGAAUACAAUUAAUGCAUGCUGUAAUAUUAGCAGGUGUAAUUGUAGUUGUAUCAAAUAAAACAAUCUCACGUAAGAAUUCAAAUAUAAAACAAAAUAAUAAUUAAUUCGAACAAAGGUAAACCCUAAGAUACUAAUCACUCCAUUAAUAUUUCAUUUUUAGACAAAUAUAUUAAUUUGUAAGUGAUAUGUUGAUGUAGUAAUUAAACACUGACAAUAAACGUUACAUGUUUAUUACAACAGUUGCAAAUGUAAAUUUGUAUAACAUUAGUCUCCAUUUAGGUCAGUCAAUAUUAACAUAAUUUAAGUUACGUGCAUACAACCGAAAAAUUAUAAAAAUCUUAAUGUUAUUUAAAUGUAUUUUUAAAUUUUUAAAUAGUUCUUGUUUAAAUUUUAUGAUUUUUUUUAAUUUUCAAUUUUUUUAAAUAGUAAAUCUAUCGUAUCAAAGAUCAGUUUGAUCGAAUUCAAUCAAAUCAAGAAUUGAUUAUUUCACUCGUUCAAUCACCGGUCCAAUUUACAAGAUUAUGUAAUUUAAAGAAUUAUUAUUAUGAAAAAGAAAAGAAAAGGAUAAUACCCAAGGGAGCCUUUUGGACCUCCUUCUUCUUCUUCAAACAUAAAAAUAGAGAAAAUAACAAAAAAAAAAUCACAAUUUUUAAAAAACUGAAAAAAAAAAUUAAAGUUAUAAACAAAAUUCAGAAAUUAUGAAAACAUAAUUUUUAAAUAUUGAAAUAUAAAUGUCUACAUUACCUUUUAUUAACGUUGAAUUUUCUAACUUUUUCCUAAAAAAUUGCUUUUAUAUUUUAUUUAAAAAUGCAUUUUUUUAAUAAUUUUAGUCUCAGGCCUAUAAAAGUUCUUUUAAUUUAGCAAUAUGUCAUAUUAUUAUUAUUAUUAUUAUUAUUAUUAUUAUUAUUAUUAUUAUUAUUAUUAUUAUUAUUAUUAUUAUUAUUAUUAUUAUUAUUAACUUUACAUUGAUUUUCUUAUUCAUGGAUAUCAAUUAAAUAAAAUAUUUGUAUUUAGAAUUUUAAUUAUGAUAUUUAACUCUCUUUUUUUAAUUUGAAUAGAUUUGGUUAAUACUAAUUUGUAUCUAAUUCAAGGAGCAAUAUUAGUUUAUUAUUCUAAUUUGGUAAUUAUCAUAAUAAUUUAUUAAUAUUUUUAAAUACAUAUAAUUAUAAAAUUUAUUAUUGAAAAAUAUGGAACGAAUGAAGAAGUACCUUAAGGAGUAUCUACUCCAUGACCAAUUGUGACAAAUUAGAUUGUUUUCAUAUUUUUGUUAUUAGCAAUUUAUUGAAUAGAAUUUAUGGGCUAUGCUGAUUAAAUGGAUUAUAUCUAACACAUCAAUGAAGAUCAUAUCACUUGUGGAAAUAUAUUUGGAAGAUUGGAUCGAAUUGGAUAACCCUUAUCGAAAUAUUUUAUAUAAUUGAGAGACUUGUAUAGGUUGUCAUACCUAGAAUUGAGAGCACUUAAUUGGUUCAGGUGAGUAACAUUAUUUGUGAAGUGCAUUUGAUUGUUUGUGUUGUGGAUUUAUAUGCUAAAUUCACAGGGUGAAUUUAAUUACUAGGGUCCUAGUCUUCAAAGAUACAAAAAUGAGGAAAUUGUCAAUAGGGUGUAAUAGAUUUAGGGUCACUUGUUAUAAGUGUUUGAAGAUAGUUGAUAUUUCUCACUGAGUUAGGUUCCAUUGACAUAGGGAAGCCGAAUAUAACAUAAACAAGCAAUGUAUCCCUUAUUUUAUUCAUGUUUAUCAUAGUGCUUGAAGGAGUGCUCACUCUCUUAGAAUAUUUACCAUUGAGGUUCAAAAGCAUCGUUCAACCCAAACAAAGAUUUCAAACCAAAACAUACGGUAAAUAAUUAGCUUUUCAAACCAAACAUUAAUUUUAAUCUAAAUUUUUAAUCCAAUCCAAAACUUAUAAUUUUUACCUUUUGAAAAAGUAAUGUUCAAUUAAAAACUUUUUUAACCCUCGUUAAAUCUUCAACUUUACAACAAUGAUAAAUACUAUCGAUUUUUUCAAAAACACUUUUCACGACACUAUUGAACUUAAAUGAUAAACUGGCCCUUAACCACUCUUUUUUAACCUAUAGCUUAUCUCUUAACAACUGUUUGGGUCAACAAAAUUAAUGUAUAUAUGAAAACGAAUAUUGAAUUUGGAUGUCCAAUCAAUUUUUUGAAUAAUUAAUUAAAAAGUUUAUAAAAACACACUAAUAUUUAUUUUACAACUGAGCUUUCCCGUUUUUAUAUAGAGAAGGAGAGCUAAAAUAAGCAGAUAAGAAGGAAUCUGCUUUUACAACACUCAUUAAGAUAAAGGACAUGACUCAGCAAAUUUUUACAAAAGUUAAAAGAAUUUGAUAAAAGAAUGUGGAAGGGCACACUUGUACGAUGAAUAGUAAUGAUAAUAAUGAUAGAAGUUGUUUUCCUAGCACUAGGAACUUAUGGGAUUCGUCCAUUUGGUUCUAUAUUUAUCCACUUGCUUGAGUGUUUAAGAGUUAAAAAGGACAAACUAUUAAGUAGAAAACACCAAACGAAUUGGAAGGCUUUUGUCUUCUUCAAUUAGUAUGACCUAUAUUUCUUAUUAAACUUCGUAUUUUACAUUCAAUAUCAUCAUCAAAAUUAGAGGUAUUCAUAGGCCGGGUCGGGCCGGGUUCGGACUGGGCCUAGAAAAAAAAUUUUGGCCUGCUUCAUGAAUAAACUUUUAUGUCCCAUUUUAAUCUGGAUCAUUAAAAAUUAUUAAUUGAAUUUUUUUUUAAGAUGGUACCGUUAAUGUGUCAAGUGAUACCAAUUUGAAUUUUUAAAAAAAGUUAUUUGAAUUAAUUUGAUUUCAUUCGGUGAUCCAAACAGUGAGGUGCUAUGUUUAACCACGGGGAAUAACAUAUAUCCAAAUGGCGACAAUCUGGUGGAACGAAACAGAGAUAGAAGAAAGAGUAGUUUAAAGCAUUGGUCAUUAUUUUAAAGGAUUUGGAGUCGACUUUUAGAAAAUCUGAAUUAUAGAAGUGAACGAAGAGAAUAUCUCUUUUUUGGUGCCGUAAUCGACAUAAAUGGCAACAUCAGUAGUUAUUGAGUAUAGUGACUAAAAUUUUCAAUUAAAAAAAAAAGGAAUGGAAAGGAAAACAAAAAGAAAAACGUGGAAAGAAAGAAAGAAUAAUAAUAAUAAUAAUAAUAAUAAAUAAAAAUAGAAUUGUGGGGGCGAUGCUUUUGAACAAAUCUUGAUUUAAACUAUAUAAAGAAAUUAUGUGUUAUAUAUAUAAUUAAUUAUGUACUUAUACUUAAUAUAUUAUAUAUCAAAUGUCAUAUUUUUAUAUUCUCGGGAAGUGGUGACAUACGAGUACUUGAUUCGAUUUAUUUCUUUAUCUCCCCAUGAAUUGUAUGUUUGUAACAUUAGGGACAGAAUUUCUUCAAUUCCAACUGACUGGACAUAUUGUGUCGAUUUUUUUUAGUAAUAUACCUAGAAAUACCCGUUGAUUCCCUAUAAACGCUGUUUCGAACACAACUGGUACACUCCAAAAUAAUCGUUAUUCGAACAUCAUUACUCUUGGCCAUGAACCUCCUUUGAGUUUUUAAUUCACCCAACUUUUUUAUUUUCAGAUCAAAAGCGAAGAAGAAAGGAAUAAAAAAAAAAGAAGAAAUCAAAGUUGCUAACUCAAAACCAAAUCCUAGAAAAAUUUGGUUGCAAUCAAUAUAGCAAGUCAAUAUAAAUUUAUAGUAAUAGCNNNNNNNNNNNNNNNNNNNNNNNNNNNNNNNNNNNNNNNNNNNNNNNNNNNNNNNNNNNNNNNNNNNNNNNNNNNNNNNNNNNNNNNNNNNNNNNNNNNNUUAAUUGAAUUUAAAAUAUUCAAUUAAAAUAAAUUAAACUGUAUAAAUUUUAUAAUUUUAAAUUAUUAUUUUUGUAUUAAUUUAAAAACAAAAUAAAUAUUAUAUACAAUGAUUUAGUUACAGCGUGUCAGCUUGAAGUCUAAGACUUUAUAACAUAUAAAUUUAAUAGAUAAUUAAUAACUAAAAAAUUAAAUAGCAAAAGCAUAAUUGCGCCACUUCUCACCAUUUUAAUGUAUGCAACUUAUUAUAUAUUUAUAUAUAUUAUCAUUUUAUUUUAAAUAAUUUAAUUUUUAUAAAUUUAGGGAUAAAUCUCAAAAUUAUACAUGAAUUUUAAUUUAAUAUGCAAUUGCAUACAUAAACUUUAAUUUAGUGCAAUUAUACACGUGAUACUCUAAUUGUGGUUCAAAUACAUACUUAAAAAUUUAAUAAUACAUAUUUAAAUAAAUAAAUAAAUACAUCAAUUUUUUUAUAUUGGAUAAAUAUAAUUAUUCAUGUAUGCAAUAUAUAACAUAAAAUGAUGUUAUAUCAAUUAAUUGUGUUAAUAAUUUUCAAGAAUUGGAUCAAAUCAAAAUUUCAAGUAUAAAAUUGCACAAAAUCAAAGUUAAUGUAUACAAUUGCACAUUAAACCAUAGUUCAUGUAUAUUUUUUACAUAUAUCCCAUAAAUUUAUUACAUAAACUUUUUACGUAUAUCAUAUAUAGAGUUGUCCGUGAACCGAGCCAAGGAAUGCCCGCUCGAAAAAAUGAGAGGGUUUGGGAAAAAAACCCGAAUUUUCAAUAAAAAACCCUGUUAUUUUUGCUGCUAUUUUUCCAUAUUUUGGUGUUGUUUUCUCUCUUUUUGCCGCUAUUUUACUACCAUUUGACUAUUAUGUUACUACUAUUUUUUUAAUGUUUGGAUAUAGUAUAAUAAUUAUUUUAUUGUUAAUUUUGUCACUAUUUUAGAGGCAUUUGCUUGUUAUGUUGUACUUAUUUUAGUUUUUAUUUAAGUAUAAAAUAUUUUUUAAAAUUUAUUUUUAAUUUAUUGAGAAACAUGUAAUUAAAUAUUUUUAGUGUAUUUGUUGUAUUAUAUUUGUUAAAUUUUAUAUAAAAUUAAAAAUAAAAAAAAUGGACCGAGAUGGGAGUUUAACAAAAAUUUAGGCCCAUUUUUCAGGUCGGGCCGACUCAAACCUAACAAUCGGACUUAAAAUUUUGUUAGAGCUCGGUCCAUCCCAUGAACAACUCUAAUUAUAUAUAUAUAUAUAUAUAUAUAUAUAUAUAUAUAUAUAUAUAUAUAUAUAUAUAUAUAUAUGUCANNNNNNNNNNNNNNNNNNNNNNNNNNNNNNNNNNNNNNNNNNNNNNNNNNNNNNNNNNNNNNNNNNNNNNNNNNNNNNNNNNNNNNNNNNNNNNNNNNNNNNNNNNNNNNNNNNNNNNNNNNNNNNNNNNNNNNNNNNNNNNNNNNNNNNNNNNNNNNNNNNNNNNNNNNNNNNNNNNNNNNNNNNNNNNNNNNNNNNNNNNNNNNNNNNNNNNNNNNNNNNNNNNNNNNNNNNNNNNNNNNNNNNNNNNNNNNNNNNNNNNNNNNNNNNNNNNNNNNNNNNNNNNNNNNNNNNNNNNNNNNNNNNNNNNNNNNNNNNNNNNNNNNNNNNNNNNNNNNNNNNNNNNNNNNNNNNNNNNNNNNNNNNNNNNNNNNNNNNNNNNNNNNNNNNNNNNNNNNNNNNNNNNNNNNNNNNNNNNNNNNNNNNNNNNNNNNNNNNNNNNNNNNNNNNNNNNNNNNNNNNNNNNNNNNNNNNNNNNNNNNNNNNNNNNNNNNNNNNNNNNNNNNNNNNNNNNNNNNNNNNNNNNNNNNNNNNNNNNNNNNNNNNNNNNNNNNNNNNNNNNNNNNNNNNNNNNNNNNNNNNNNNNNNNNNNNNNNNNNNNNNNNNNNNNNNNNNNNNNNNNNNNNNNNNNNNNNNNNNNNNNNNNNNNNNNNNNNNNNNNNNNNNNNNNNNNNNNNNNNNNNNNNNNNNNNNNNNNNNNNNNNNNNNNNNNNNNNNNNNNNNNNNNNNNNNNNNNNNNNNNNNNNNNNNNNNNNNNNNNNNNNNNNNNNNNNNNNNNNNNNNNNNNNNNNNNNNNNNNNNNNNNNNNNNNNNNNNNNNNNNNNNNNNNNNNNNNNNNNNNNNNNNNNNNNNNNNNNNNNNNNNNNNNNNNNNNNNNNNNNNNNNNNNNNNNNNNNNNNNNNNNNNNNNNNNNNNNNNNNNNNNNNNNNNNNNNNNNNNNNNNNNNNNNNNNNNNNNNNNNNNNNNNNNNNNNNNNNNNNNNNNNNNNNNNNNNNNNNNNNNNNNNNNNNNNNNNNNNNNNNNNNNNNNNNNNNNNNNNNNNNNNNNNNNNNNNNNNNNNGUCAUUCUCUAAUAAUAAUAAUAACAAUAAUAAGUGGAUAACAUAAAACUAGUAGUAAAGAGUAAGAAGACAAAGAAGAAUUAAGUGGAUAACAUAAAACGUGCGAAAACAUUUAUCUUCAAUUCUGACACAUAAAGCCAACUAGUAUUUUUGGGUAAAGUAUAGAAAUGGUGAUUAAAUUAUUGUUGAUGUUCUAUUUUAAUUUUUAAUUUUUUUAUUUUAGUUAUUAAAUUUUUUGAAAUUAAAUUUUUUGUUAUCAAAUGUUAACAGCAGUUUAAAAUUUAACAGAAAUACUGAUGUGAACUUUCUUAUUGAUUUAAUAAUAAAUUUAGCCUUCUAAUAUUUAUAUAUUCUAUUAAUUUGAUACUAAAUAUAAAAAUUUAACAAAUUUAAUUCUCAAUAUUUACAAAUUUUAUUAUUUUAAUUCAAAUUCUAAAAAAAUUCAAUAAAUUUAACCCUCAACAUUAAAAAAAUUGAUAAAUUUCAAUUUUUAAAAUUUUGUAAAUUCCUGAAAUAUAAAGCAUCAUUCUCCACCUCAUGGGAUUCCAUGUAAAUGGAUUUUCUUGAAUUCUUUACCAAGUUGUCUUGAGUUUAAUUUCUUCUUAUUUAGUUUGUGGAAUGAAUGGUAUAUAUAGUUAGAUGUCACUGCAGCUGACAAUGAAAGGUUUGACAAAGUUGAUAAGUUCAGAGGUUUUGAUGCUGAGCUUCAAAUCAGUCUUGCCUCCACACAAUCAAGAAAUGAACUUUAUAAUUUUUGAUUGAGUCUUAACUCGAUUAACAUGAGUAUUGUUAUUAAUAUAGGAGGAAGUGAGUUCGAGUGCGCUGAAACACAUUAUCUUCUUAUUGAUGAAUUGAGGAGGGGCUAUGAAUAAUUUUAAAUAUUGUAUUAAAAGAGUAGAGAUAAUUGAAACCUACAAUAAUAUUGUUCAAAAAAAUUACCUAAAAACAUGAAAUCUUACUCCCUGAAUUUUCUAAAAACACAAUAUUUCUCCCUGCCUUUGAUGGUGUAUACAUGCAUGGCCAUGUGUGAGCUCCUGCAUUUUAACUAAUCAACACAGAUAAUACCUUCAAUGAGACAUUAAAAUUAACUUCUUCUUUUCUUUUUUUUUCAUAAAAUUUAUAAUUUUGUAUUUCAAUGAAAACAUCUAAAUCUAAGUUGAUCCGAGUCCAAAAAAAUCUGAAGCUGUAAAAAGUUUGAUCUGAGGCUGCUCAUUCGCCACCUCUAAUAACCAUUUGAUAGAGGUUUAAUAAAGAGGAAUUUAGAUUUUAGGAAUUUACAAAAUUUUUAAAAUUAUUAUUUUUUAUUUUGUAAAUGUUGAGGGAUAAAUUUAUUGAAGUUUUUAAAAUUUGAACUGAAAUGUCAAAAUUUGUAAACAUUGAAGGCUAAAUUUGUUUAUUUUUUCUAUUUAAGACCAAACUGAUAGAAUCUGUAAACAUUAGAAGACUAAAUUUAUUAUUAGACCAAUAAAAGAAAUGCCCAAGUUAAUGUUUUCUCAAAUUUCAAACCGCUGUUAAUAUUUAAUGACCCAAAUUUUUUAUUUCAAAUAAUUUGGUGACCAAAAUAGAAAAAAAAUUAAAAGUUUGAUGACCAAAGUAGAACGUGGAAAAUAAUUUAAUGAUAUUUUUAUACUUUAUUUUUUUUAUGAUUAUUUAUACAUAUCAAGUGGAGUUAAUUUAGGGAAAAGAAUCAAUGGUUAAGGUUGUUGUUGAUACUUAUCAGGGUCCAGAUUUUGCUAAUGUAAUUUUCCUUAUCAUAGUUUGUAUCUUAAUUUUGUUACCAAAAAUAUAUUAGUAAUAAAUAAUAUAUGCACGAGAAAUGUACGUAUGAUUGAUUUAAACAAUACAUGUUGGAGUAAUUUACAUAUGGAUUUAAAAUAAAAUUUAAAAAUAAAAUAAAAUUUUAAAAAUCCAAAAGUAUUUUUUCUUUUAAAAAAAUUUAAAAAUAAUUUUUAAAUUAUUUACAUGAUUGAUUUAAAGGAUAUUUUUCUAUUAAUUAUUUUUCUAUUAAAUUUAUUUUACUUUAUGUAUAACAAUUUAAAGGGUUUGUAUAUAUGCUAACUCGCGAGUCAAUUAAAAUUUGUAUUAUAUUCAUUGAAUUUUUUUAAAAUAUAUUUUUUAUUAAUUUAUUUAUUUAUUUGAGACCGAUGAUAAACUUGUAUUUAAAGUUAUUGAUGCACACUAUAAAUUCAUAUAUUGAAAAUGAUAGGUGCUAAAAGUAACAUGUUUUAGUCUCAUUCUUAAUGUGUUUUUGGAUGAUUAUUCGAUAUAAAAUGGUUAAUUUUAUGCUCCUAAACUUUUCAAUUUAUGUUCUACACUUAAUAGAGCAUUUGGGAGCAAAAAAAGCGAAAAACGAGUGAAAAUAAAAAAUCGGAGCAAGUAUCAAAAGCCACACAGGCUGAGCCAUUCUACACGGGUUGGACACACAACCUAGUGAGCCACACGACCGUGUGCUAGACUGUGUGAAAAUCACAAAUUACACUCCAAACGGCGUGAAAACACGUUAAUUUUAAGGUUUUUUAAGCAUUUUAAUACCUAUACAUGACAAAGAUAAGAAGAGGGGAGAGAGCCGUCAAAAAAUAUUAAAGAAAACAACUUGAAAAACACUAUUGAAGCCAACUUUGAAGCAAAUUUUCAUCAAGAUUGAAGAUCUCAUUUUGAUUUCUUUGAAGUUUAUUAUGAGUUUCUUUAUUUAUUGUGGUUAGACUGUCUUUAGGAUGUUUUUAUUUGCUAUCAUGAACUAAUUUUCUAAAUACCUAGGGAGAUGAAUCCUAUCAUGAAUUAUGUUAUUUGAUUUCUAUUUUUACGCAAUAAAGACUUAGAUCUUAUUCUCAAUUAUGUGUGCUUAAUUCUUGGUUUAAUAUUUCUAGGCUAUUAAUCCAUGUUUGAUGUGCUUAAAUCAAAGGAGGAAUAAACCCUAUUUAAGAGUAGAUCUAGCGUAAAUGAGUGAAGUUGCAUGCAAUCCUAGAAAUAGGACAGCAUAAAUCUACUAGAUUAGAGCCAAAUCUAAUAGGGGAAUCCAUAAAUCGAGUUAAAACGAUGAUAGAGGUUUUAAUUAGAAAUAAAUUUCAAUUAAUUAACCUAGAGUCAGUUACUCUUAGUCUUGAAGAGAUAUAUUAGCAUAAUUUAGGGAUUCUUACAGAUCAAUAUACUAAGUGACAAAGUUGCAUAAUAUAGAUUGAUAAUGACAAAUGAAGUCUAGGUGGAUUCUUUCCAGGGUAUUGUCUCGCUUCUUGGUUAUUAUUUGAUUAUUUUCUUGAUUUGUGCUUUGUUGUGUUAUUUAGUUAAUUUUAGUUUCAAUCAAUCACUCCAAUUUAUCAGUUAAAUAAUAGAAAAGACGGUAAUUACUGGUACUUUUACUCUUCAUGAAAACGAUAUCUUUGCUCACUGUAGCUAUACUAUUAAUUGAUAGGUGCACUUGUCUGAAUUAGAUUUUUAGUUGGUUUACGACUGCAAUCAAAAAACUCAUUAAGUUAGCACAAACUAAGUUAAUUAUUCGUUGGUUGCUUCUUCUUUUUUCUGAAGUUUCGAUUUCGUCUUUUAUGUACAAUAAUUUUGAUAUAAAAAAAUCAGAUUCUCGACACUUAAUAUAUACCUUUGAAAUAUAAACAUAUGCAUCAAUUCUUUUAGGUUCCUAACAACUUACUUGUCCAAAAUUCUUGUAUCUUUCAGUUCUCCUGAUUGAAUCAAAAUUUGACUUCGUAAUUAUUUUUGAAGGACCUCAAACUAUCAAUUUAUAGCAUAAAUUUUCAAUAGCUUUCAUUCUUUACAAAUUGGUCCCUAAUUAAUCAACAAUGGUCUUAAAGCUUAAGCUUAGGGUCCCGUUGUUUCACUGAAAAUGGCUUCAGAAAAAUAAUUUCUAGAAAAUGACUUACUUUCAUAGAAAAGUUAAUAUUUUCUAUUGUUUGACAACUUUCUUAAAAACAUUUCAUAAAAACUGUUUUCAAUGAAACAAACAUGCAUUUGAGAUUUUCUUAUCUUUUCAUUAUUUAAUUAAGUUUAUUUUAUAUCUAUAAAUUUAUAUUUUACAUUUUUUUUGCAUAUAAUAAAAAUAUUUUUUUUAAUUCAGGUUCAUUACAAUGUCACUUUUUAGUUACAUGACUACCAAGUGAGUAUUUUUUUUAUUUAAAAAUGUGACAUCAACAAAAUUGACAAAAAUAAAUUAGCAAUGUCAACAAUUAGACUUGAUUUUCAAAUCUAAAAAGUAGAGGGACUAAAUUCUUGAAAAUAAAAGUACGGAGACUAAAUUGAAAAUUUGUGAAGAAUACAUAGACUUAUCACAUUUUUUAACUUUUAUACUACAAAAUAUUUAUCAUUAAUAUAUUUAUAAUUAUAAUAAAGAUUUAUUAUUAAAAUAUUAAUAUUAAAUAUUUUCAAUAAGAAGAAUAUUAUUUAAAGUUAUUGUUUUUAAAAUUUAUUAUUAAAAUAAAAUUGAAAUAUUAAAUAAUUUAUUAAAAUAAUAAAUUUUAUUAAUAAUUAAUUAUAUGACUAAAUAUAAAUGCUUAAAUAUGUAUGUUUAAUAAUAUUGAAAAAUAUAAUAUUUUAUAUUAAUAUUUUAAAUAUUUUUAAAAUAAAAAAUUUAUUUUCAAUAUAAUAAUAUUAAUCUUGCUUUAAAUGAAUUUUUAUAUAAAAAUAAAAUUACCUAUAGAUGAGCUCUUUUCCAGAAAAUGACUUAUACUUUUCAAAAGGAUAAGUCAUUUUAUAGGAAAAAGAGUUCAAUUUUACAUUGACCUGUAAGUCAUUUUCUGUUGACCAAACUGUUUUCUGUAAAACAAACAUAAGAAAAUGCAUAAAAUAUUUUCCGUAAAACCUUUUACAUUUAAACAAACGGACCCUUAAUUCAAGCUUGUUCCAACAUAACCCACUUCACUAUUAGCAUGACUCUUCCUUAUAUUAUGUUUAACCAUUAACCCAUCUCAUGAUUUCUAACAAAAAUUCUCUAAGUUCUCUUUAAUGGAAACUUGUAUUAGCUCCAACAAUAAGAAAUUCUAACCAUUGGGUUGGUUGUAUCAAGUUUCAUAGUUUAAAAAAACUAUAAAAAAAAUUAUUGAGAAAAAAAUUUGUUUACCUUUGAUGGCCUUGAUGUAGAACAACUUGGUUUCUUCUUCUACUUAGUUUAAAGAAUGCAUGAAGAAGAAGAAGAUUUCCCCUCUCCCUCUAUCUUAAAUAUAUAUAUAUAUAUAUAUAUAUAUAUAUAUAUAUAUAACCUAUUAAUCAAAGUAAUUAACUCACUAAUUAACCUUAAUUAGUUAUGAUCUAAUGGCCAUAAACUUAUCAUAAGAAAAUUAGUGGAAAUGUGUGGCAUUGAUAAUGGUUUGCCAAUAAUCAAACUUUGGGCAUGGUAAUAUUGCAAUCAAGUCCUUGGUUUAAUUACACUUUAAGUACUUGCUAAAUUCUCUAAUCAAUUCCCACUAGUUGGGUCACUUGAACAAUUGGGUCCAUGUAUUAUAGUUACAACUUAUCCAAUUUAAUCAAUUAAUGAUUUGACUUUAUAAUUUCAUGUACAACACACAAACUCCUCCGGUAAAUUCUCAAGCUAGCUUUAUUUAAAAAUUUGGCCUCAAAACUAGCUUUCCAAAUGUUCAUGAAAAUUGAGUAGUUACAUUAUGGUAUUUGUUUUGUUCAGCUUAUUUGUCAGGCUCUAUUCCUUUGAACUUAUGUUUGUUGACUUUGGUGUCGCUUAAAUGAAAAUGUGGUGAACAAUCUUAUGGAUAGGAGGAGUGUAUGAUUGAGUAUGUGUAACACCCCUAACCCACAUCCUUCGCCGAAUUAAAGUGACAAAGUGUUACUAUACAAAACAGAACAUUCCACGACAACACAUAAACAAUUAUGCAAAUUAUCAUUAAGUAACCAUAUUAAAAUAUAACGUAAGUAUCCAUUCGACCUUUAAAUCGAGCUUAUAUGGUCUUAAAAUAGCUUGGGAUCAAUCUAGGAUCAAUUUGGAACAAAACAUAAAUUUUAAGAAAAAUCUAAAAAUUUUGGGAAACAUGGGUCACACAACCGUGUGUCUAGGCCGUGUGACAUAUCCCAGACCUUGUGGGCAUUCAAAAUCAGGACACGCAAUCAUGUCCCAACCCGUAUGUCUACCUGUGUGAAUAUUCAAAAUAAGGUCUCACGGUCAUGUAGAGGCCAUGUGCUAAACCGUGUAUAUAUUCAAAUUAUGAACACAUGGCCGUGUCGCAAGCCAUGUGCUAGACCAUGCUCAAAACUAUUUUGAGACACACAGUUGUGUCUUAGGCUGUGUGAAAUUUUCACUUUAAACAACGACACACAGCCGUGUGCCAGUCCGUGUACACCAAAAUGUACCUUAAAAAUCAAAUUUACCAAAACAUGUUUACUUAGGCAUCAAGCAACCUAAUUGCCAUCAGUCAAACUCAUUCAAAACACAAUUAAACAAGUUCAAAACAUCCAUCCUAAGUGCCUAACCAUUGUGCCCUCAUUAACACCAUAAUUCAAUAAUCAAAUCAAUCACAUUUAAACCAAGAUUUAAACAUUCAAAUUAUAAAAUCAUCAUUAACCAUUCAUACCAAAAAACUGAUCAUUUUAAGUCAUAAACACCUAGCAAUAUUCACAUACUUUAUAAAGCUUAAGUACCAAUACCAAAUAAGAUCCAUACACACAUACAUAUCAAACAAAACACAUAUUCACAAGUAUCAUUCAAGAUUUACAACUUUACAUGUAAUUAACAUAAUUUCAAGUCACUUAUUACAUGUCAUACAACCCAAAACAAACACUAAACAAACUACCAAUAGUUUCUCGAAUAGUGUGAUUCUUGAAAUCAAAUUGAUCACCCGAAGCGUCAAAAAUAAAUCUACAAGAAAGCAUUGGAAGAGACACAAGUAAGCUUACUUAAGCUUAGUAAUUUCCACGGAUUUAAACAAUCAACUUACCGAAUAAACUUAUCUAAUAUAGGGUAUAGAAAAGUCAUAAACUAUAAUCAUGUCAUCCAUAAUCAGAUCACGAGUGAGUCUUAAACUUAAAUAUGAAUGAAUCAAUUCAAUCAAUUACAUUAUAUCAAUAAAUUAUACCCGAUGAACGUUGCAAUGGAUUUGGGUACACGGUUAACCAACCAAACACACCAAAUCACUCAAAUGAGCUAACCAUUUGAAAGUACACAUGGGCACCAAGUGCCAAGCCCGUAGGCUAACAUCCCUCCAAAACACACCUUGUCACCAAGUGCCAAGCCCGUAGGCUUUACAUCCGCCCCCGAAACACACCUGAAGCACUGCAAUAUAACGCGAUAGUUCACAACAAAUGUUGAACUUUAGUAUAUUCAAUAAACAUGAAUAAGAUCAGAAUCAUCAUCUCCACAUCCACCAAUCUUGUACAGCGCAUGAUAUAACCUAUUGGCAUGCCAAUUGUAUCCUAUCAUACAUUCAUCGGCUCACAUAUUUGUCAUUUAACAACAUUUAAUACAAUUUCUUUCCCAAAUCAUUUCACUUACCACAAUGCAAUACUUCCAUGUCAUUUAAUAAUUUCAAUCCACAAGUAAUUAAAUAUUUAAAUUAUACUAAAAUUAAACUGUACAAACUCACUAGGGCCAAACUACAGAAACAACAAAAGUUCAGGGACUAAUCAACAACCUUCCCGUUUUCCACAAUUAUCAACUUGAUCUUGAUCUAUAAUAUAAUUUAUUUCAAUUAUUAGCCUCAAUUUUCAUAUUCUAAUCAUUUCAAUACAUAUGAUCUCUUAUUUAUAAAUUUACACAAUUAUCCAAAAUUUUUACACAUUAUUCAAUUUAGUCCCUAUAACCAAAUCAAGCUUAGUUCUACAAUUAAAUUCUCAAUCCAUAGAACUAAAUUUUAACCACAUCCAAAACAAUCCAUAUAUGCUAAAAUUUUCAAGAGUAACAUGUCUAUUUCAAUUAAAUCACUAAACAUCAAAUUUUUGUAAAAAUAAAUUUACAAACUCAAUACAUAUAGUCACCAAGCUUCAACCCAAACUAUUUACUACUACAAAUCUUCGAAAAUUUCAAUACAUAAUUUCUAUACUUUGAUAACUUCACAAAUAAACUCCAAAACUAGCUAAAUUCCAUUAUCAAUAGCUCAAAACUUAAAAUUUAUCAUAAAUAAACCCAGAAAAUACUUACAUGCAUUAAAAACUAACAAAAACCAAGCUCCCAAGCCUUAGAACAAUGGUGUUUCGGCCAAACCUAAGAAAAAUAAAGAAGAUGCCCACUACCCCACUUUUUGUUUUACUUUCCUUUUAUUAUUAUAAUAAUCUUUAUUUAUGAAAUUAUAACAUUAUCAAACACCAAUUUAAUAUUUUUUCUCUCUUUACCUCCCAUAUUAACUAACUAUAUAUGGGCUAAUGGCAACAUAACCCCCCUUAGUUUACUAAUUUAAGCUAUUAUAUUAAAAUAAAUCUAUAAUAAGCAACUUUUCCACCUAUUACAAAUUAAUCCUUUUUCUUUAAUCAAUUCACUAUACGUUAAUUUUUCUAAAUUAACCAAAACUUAAUAUGACACUGAUGACUUUGUAAAUAUUAAAUAAUUAAUAAUUCUAGACUGACACGUCGAAAGUGUAGUCCUAAAACUAUUAUUUUCGACACCACUGGAAAUCGGACUGUUAUAGUAUAGUUCUACCUCUUAGGGGAGACAUAUUCUAGUUUCCUUUGACUUGUUUAGAUGAUAUGUUAAUCAUUAGCUACUGGUUUUGUCAAAAUGCCAAUGGUGAGAUUGUUUGAACUUUGUUCAUGUUCGAACAGUAGAUUAAACAAUGCUUUGAUGCAUUCAAAGAAUUUAUGUUGGCAUGUUUGACUUUAUAAUGAAAUGGCUUAUGAUUUAAUCUCGUUGAGUAGCAAAUGGGGGGGGGUGAUUUUGUGUUAUAACAUGUGAUGAUCAUUAUCUUUCAAUCAACUACCUUGAAGAAGAACGGGAGAAGUUUGAACUUUUGUGGACUUCGUAAUAUUUGAAGCUGCUAAGAUACUUGUUUAUAAAGAAUUUUAUGAUAUAACUAAUCAAAAUAAUUCAUGUCAUAAUUUUUGGAGUUUUAAACUUAUUAAGACUCUAGUAUUGGCCUAUAAAUAGGCAUAAUUACCGCACAUUGAAAAUAGGCUUUUGGAGGGUUUAAGUUGGAUACUUUGGUGAAUUUUUCUUGUGUUUUAUACAAACACUCUUUUUUUUAGUUUUAUUGGGGGAUAUUUGCUUGAUUGUAAGUGAGAUAUUUUGGAGAGAGUGAUUUGUAAUAAUUUAAGUUCAAUAUUGAAGUUGCAAAUAACUACAAGGUAAAGGUAAUUAAUUUGGACUUUAGUCAAUAGUUAAUCGAGACGAAUUGUAAAUAAAAAUUAUUUUUUAAGCGAAACUCUACAGAAUAAAACUAGUGAACUCAAACUGCGUUAACAAAUAUUACAUAUUAUCUUUCCUUACUUUACUCGUUACUUUACCUUAUUUUAAAAAAAAUUUGUCAUAAUGUAUUAUGUUUGAACCUUUCCGAUCGAAAUAAAAAAAUGAGAUUGAAAUUGUGAUAAAGCUAAAAAAAGUUACAACAAAUAUGAUUAAUAUUAUUUUUAUAUAUACUUAAUAAAAGUUAAAAAGGGAAUUACAUUUAUUGAAUAUUAUUUUAUUUAAUAAAAUAUAAUUAAUAUAUUUUAUAUAAAAUUUAAACAUUUUAUUGUUUGUUAGCUAAAUUUUAUUAUUUUUAUUUUCUUUAUGAAUAAAAUUAAUUUUCCUAAAAUUUGAGAUAAAAAAAUGUUAUAUAGAAAAUUAAAUUUGUAAAAAGUGCAGUUCAUACUUUAUAAUUAUUAUAAAUGAAAAAAUAUUAUGAAAGAUAAAUAUUAAACAUAAAAAAAUCAAUUCUAAAAUAAACUUAACUAUUGUAAUAAAAUAUUUUUAUAUAAUAAAAAAAGAAAUUAUAGAAAAGACUUAUUGGAUAUAUUUCCAAUUUUCGACAUUCAUAAAAUAAAAAAUAAAAAAAAAGUGGUCCUAAUAAUUUAUUUAUACAAAAACAAAAAAUGGUCCUAUUAAUUUACCUCACAUUUGAAAUGUGUUAUAUGUAAUAAUAUUAAUAUCUUUAUCAAUUUUGGACUUUCACCUUUCCCAUCUCUAUAAAUUUGCAUGCAGAACUAAAGCAACACAUAUCAACACAAUCGGUAUAACCAUGAAAACCACAACAGCUUCGGUGUUUCUUCUUUUCAUCAUCUUCUCGAUCACACCAUCGUCCUUUUCGUUUGGUGUGGCCAACACUACAAACGCUCCUGUGCUCGACAGUGAUGGCAACGAGCUCCGCACUGGCACCCCAUACUUCGUUGUGUCGUCGAUAUGGGGUGCUGGUGGUGGGGGGCUUGACCCAGGCAGGCCUAGAGGAAAGCCAUGCCCGGAAGUCGUUGCUCAAAGAGGAUCUGGUGACAAUGGUAUUCCGGUGAUAUUUUCUAAUUCGGACUCCAAAGAUGGCGUUGUUCGCCUAUCCUCUGACAUAAACAUAGCGUUCGUUCCCCUCAGACCCAAAUUUUGCGAAACAACAACGGUGUGGAAGGUCGCUGAUUACGACCACUCAGCCGGAAAAUGGUGGGUGAUAACCGAUGGGGUUAAAGGGAACCCAGGUGCCAACACUUUGACCAGUUGGUUUAGAAUAGAGAAGACGACUACUGAUUUUGAUUACACAUUUAAGUACUGCCCCGCAGUAUGUGGAACAUGCCCAGCCUUAUGCAACAAAAUUGUGAGAGACUUUGAUGGAGAAAUGGUACGUUUGGCUCUCACCACUGGCCAUGGAUGGCCAUUUAUCUUUAAGAAAGUUGGAAAAUCAGCCAUGGAGAUUGAACAAGUUGUUCAUAAUUAGAUUGAAAGCAAUCAUUAUGCAUGAACUAGUAGUUACUACAUAAUAUUAGCUUCAAGUAAAUAAUGCUGAGGGAACUUAUUGUUAAGAUUGCCUUGUUUGAAGCGGCAGCAUGUAUAUAUAUAUGCUUGCUUACAAGGUUUGUCUCUCAGAGUCCUCCUCUUUGUACUCUUUUCAGCUUAAUGAAUAAACUGUUUACUUAUUUACUUCUUUUGUUGCCAUUGAUUCUAGUAGCAUUCGACUCAUUAACUUGGAUACAUUACCUUGUAAUUAACCAAAAAGUUAUGUGUAUAUGUAUAAAGAGUGUGUGAGAGAAAAAAUAGAAUACCAAGUACCAAGUGAAAAAUGUUAAUACUAGGAUUAUUCAAAGCGAUUUCAAUGAACAGAAAUGGAAUAGUCGUCGGGUGGUUAGGGCAUUUUAUCUUUAGAGAUAAAGAAGGUUGGUUCAUGUUCGGAGUUUGUGGCUACUCAUUUAAUAAUAUCGUUUUUAAAGUUUAAACUUGUAUCACAUUUUAAACACGUAAUGUAUCUUACCAUUACAUCCAACAAUAUUAACCAUUUACUCUAUUGUAUUGUAUUCUAUUCUAUUAUUAAUUAAUGAUUAUGAUAUGUAUUAAGUUUAAGAUGAAUUUUCUCAGUAAUGUAUAUCAAUGAAAUCAAAUAUUUGUAUUUAAAGUUUUAACUCCACAUUAACUUUUUCUUUAUUUUGUCCGUUUGCUGGCGAUGAUUAGGAGAUUAAUGGUUGGUAUUUGUGGUUAGUAGCUUAUAACUCGAGGGUUGAUAGUGGCCCGACUCCACUUAAAUAAAAAAUUUUACAUUUAAAUUUCUUUAUAAUUUAUAAAAUUUUAAAUUAAUAAUAAAAAAAUUAUAUUUUAACUCUCUAAAAUUAAUAAAAAUGAUAAAAAUGUAGAAGUAAAUUUAUACAAUUAAUGAUAAUAAUGAUAAGAAGUUGUUUCCUAUCACAUGGAAAUUUAUGGCAUCUUCCAUUUGGUUUUAUAUUUGUCCAUUUGCUUGGUUAAGAGUUGAAAGACAAACUAUAAUUAAAUAUACAAAACCAAACGAAUUUCAAGGGUUUUCUCUUCAAUUAUUGUCGAAUUUAGCUAAUUAUUAGUAAUAUUUAUUAUUUAAUUAUAAAAAUUAUAAAAUAGUGACUUAAUUAUAAAUAUAUAUAUAUAUAUAAAAUAGCCAUCUAAUUAUUUAAUUUUUUCUUUUUUAUCAUCACCGGAAUAAUGGUGGUAAUUUUUAUAAUUGACAUAAUAGUAACUUUAACCAUUAAUAAUUAUACAUUAUGUCAAUUUAGUCUUGAUUCUAAAAAAUUUAACCUUUGACAUUUACACAUAUAUAAUUUGAUAUUUUUAUAAUUUUAUUUUUUACUAAAAAUAAAUCAUGAAAAUAAUAAAAUAUGCAUAAAAAUAAAAAUACAGCUACCGACUAUAUCUCUUAUUGUAGAUUUAUAACAAUUAUCUUUUCAUAAAGAUAUUUUAUUAUAAAAUAUAUAAUAAGCACUUCCCUGUAACAAAUAAAAUUGUAGUAAACAAAUGAAAUUAUUAUAAAGAAGAAUUUUCUAUUUUCAUAAUAAUAAUAAUAAUAAAAGAAAAGAAAAAAGUGGUUCUAUUAAUUCACCUCACAUUUGAAAUAUGUUAUAUGUAAUAAUAUUAAUGUCUUUAUCAAUUUUGGUGGUUCAUCCUUUCCCAUCUCUAUAAAUUUGCAUGCAGAACUAAAGCAACACAUAUCAACACAAUCUGUAUAACCAUGAAAACCACAACAGCUUCGGUGUUUCUUCUUUUCAUCAUCUUCUCAAUCACACCAUUGUCCUUUUCGUUUGGUGUGGCCAACACUACAAACGCUCCUGUGCUCGACAGUGAUGGCAACGAGCUCCGCACAGGCACCCCAUACUUCGUUGUGUCGUCGAUAUGGGGUGCUGGUGGUGGGGGGCUUGCCCUAGGCAUGCCUAGAGGAAAGCCAUGCCCGGAAGUCGUUGCUCAAAGAGGAUCCGGUGACGAUGGUAUUCCGGUGAUAUUUUCUAAUUCGGACUCCAACGAUGGCGUUGUUCGCCUAUCCUCUGACAUAAACAUAGAGUUCAUUCCCCUCAGACCCAGAUUUUGCCAAACAACAACGGUGUGGAAGGUCGAUGAUUACGACCACUCAGCCGGAAAAUGGUGGGUGAUAACCGAUGGGGUUAAAGGGAACCCAGGUGCCAACACUUUGACCAGUUGGUUUAGAAUAGAGAAGGCGGGUGAUCUUGAUUACACAUUUAAGUACUGCCCCGCUGUACGUGGAACAUGCCCAGCCUUAUGCAACAAAAUUACGAGAGACUCAGAUGGAGAAAUGAUACGUUUGGCUCUCUCCGCUGGCCAUGGAUGGCCAUUUUUCUUUAAGAAACUUCAAACAUCAGCCAUGGAGAUUGAACAAGUUGUUCAUAAUUAGAUUGAAAGCAAUCAUUAUGCAUGAACUAGUAGUUACUAUACAAUAUUAGCUUCAAGUAAAUAAUGCUGAGAGAACUGAUUGUUAAGAUUGCCUUGUUUGAAGCAGCAGCAUGUAUAUAUAUAUAUAUGCUUGCUUACAAGGUUUGUCUCUCAGAGUCCUUCUCUUUGUACUCUUUUCAGCUUAAUAUAUAAACUGUCUACUUAUUUACUUCUUUUAUUGCCAUUGAUUCUAGUAGUAUUAGACUCAUUAACUUGGAUACAUUGUCUUGUAAGAGAUAGCUUAUCUCUUAACAACUGUUUGGGUCAACAAAAUUAAUGUAUAUAUGAAAACGAAUAUUGAAUUUGGAUGUCCAAUCAAUUUUUUUUAAUUAAUUAAUUAAAAAGAAUUGUUUUAAUUCAAAAAAUCUAAAAGAAUUUGAUAAAAAAUGUGGAAGGGCACACUUGUAUGAUGAAUAGUAAUGAUAAUAAUCGUUUUCCUAGCACAAGUAUGGGAUUCGUCCAUUUGGUUUUAUAUUUAUCCACUUGCCUGAGUGUUUAAGAGUUAAAAGGACAAAACUAUUAAGUAGAAAACACCAAACGAAUAUGAAGGCUUUUGUCUUCUUCAAUUAGUAUGACCUAUAUUUCUUAUUAAACUUCGUAUUUUACAUUCAAUAUCAUCAUCACAAUCAUUUUAAUUUAUUUUCAUGAAUAAACUUUUAUGUCCCAUUUUAAUUGAAUCAUUAAAAAUUAUUAAUUGAAUUUUUUUUAAGUCAAGUGAUACUAAUUUGAUUUUUUUAAAAAAGUUGUUUGAAUUAAUUUGAUUUUCGUGUCAUAAUUGACAUAAAUGGCCAUUGUGAAUGGCAACAUCAAUAGUUAUUGAGUACAGCGGCUAAAAUUUUCAGUUAAAAAAAAAGAAUGAAAGGAAAACAAAAAGAAAAACGUGGAAAGAAAGAAAGAAAGAAUAAUAAUAAUAAUAAAUAAAUAAAAUAGAAUUGUGGGGGCGAUGCUUUUGAACAAAUCUUGAUUUAAACUAUAUAAAGAAAAUAUGUGUUAUAUAUAUAAUUAAUUAUGUACUUAUACUUAAUAUAUUAUAUAUCUAAUGUCAUAUUUUCAUAUUCUCAGAAAGUGGUGACAUACAAAUACUUGAUUCGAUUUAUUUCUUUAGCUCCCCGUGAAUUGUAUGUUUGUAACAUUAGGGACAGAAUUUCUUCAAUUAUCCAAUUGACUGGACGUAUUGUGUCGAUUUUUUUUUAGUAAUAUACCUAGAAAUACCCGUUGAUUCUUUAUAAACGCUGUUUCGAACACAACUGGUACACUCUAAAAUAAUUUACUUGAACAUCAUUACUCUUAGCCAUGAACCUCCUUUGAGUUUUUAAUUCACCCAACUUUUCUAUUUUCCGAUCAAAAGCAAAGAAGAAAGGAAUGAAAAAAAAAGAAAGAAAUCAAAGUUGCUAACUCAAAACCAAAUCCUGAAAAUUUUCAUUUCAAUGAAUAUAGUAAGUAAAUAUAGAUUUAUAGUAAUAGCAAAUAAUAAGAAUUAAGUAAUAUAACGAUUUUUAAUUCUAUUUAGAAUCAAUUAAAAUAUUCAAUUAAAUAUUCAAUUAAAAUAAAUUAAACUGUAUAAAUUUUAUAAUUUUAAAUUAUUAUUUUUGUAUUAAUUUAAAAACAAAAUAAAUAUUAUAUACAAUGAUUUAGUUACAGCGUGUCAGCUUGAAGUCUAAGACUUUAUAACAUAUAAAUUUAAUAGAUAAUUAAUAACUAAAAAAUUAAAUAGCAAAAGCAUAACUGCGCCACUUCUCACCAUUUUAAUGUAUGCAACUUAUUAUAUAUUUAUAUAUAUUAUCAUUUUAUUUUAAAUAAUUUAAUUUUUAUAAAUUUAGGGAUAAAUCUCAAAAUUAUACAUGAACUUUAAUUUAAUAUGCAAUUGUAUAAAUAAACUUUAAUUUGGUACAAUUAUACACGUGAUACUUUAAUUGUGGUUUAAAUACUCACUUGAAACUUUAGUUUUGAUUUAAUAAUGCAUAUUUAAAUAAAUAAAUACAUCAAUUUUUUUAUAUUGGGUAAAUAUAAUUAUUUAUGUAUGCAAUAUAUAACAUAAAAUGAUGUUAUAUCAAUAAUUGUGUUAAUAAUUUUCAAGAAUUGGAUCAAAUCAAAAUUUUAUGUAUAAAAUUGAACAAAAUCAAAGUUAAUGUAUACAAUUGCACAUUAAACCAUAAUUCAUGUAUAUUUUUUUUGUAUAUAUCCCAUAAAUUUAUUUCAUUAACUUUUUACCUAUAUCAUAUAUAGAGUUGUUCGUGAACCGAGCCAAGGAAUGCCCACUCGAAAAAAUGAGAGGGUUUUGGAAAAAAAUAUAUGCCUAAAAAAUGGGCUUGGAUAAAAAGACAAGGCCCGUUUAGAAAAUGAACCGGCAUUGAGUAGGGUUUUUUUGUCCGGGCUCAGCCUAACCCGAAUUUUCAAUUAAAAAAAACCCUGUUGUUUUUGCUGCUAUUUUUCCAUAUCUUGGUGUUGUUUUCUCACUUUUUGCCGCUAUUUUAUUACCAUUUCACUAUUAUGUUACUACUAUUUUUUUUAAUGUUUGGAUAUAGUAUAAUAAUUGUUUUAUUGUUAAUUUUAUCACUAUUUUAGAGACAUUUGUUUGUUAUGUUGUACUUAUUUUAGUUUUUAUUUAAGUAUAAAAAAAUUUAAAAUUUAUUUUCAAUUUAUUGAUAAACAUGUAAUUUAAUAUUUUCAGUGUAUUUAUUGUAUUAUAUUUGUUAAAUUUAUAUAAAAUUAAAAUUAAAAAAAUAUGGACCGAGAUGGGAGUUUAACAAAAAUUUAGGCCCAUUUUUCAAGUCGGGCCGAUCUCNNNNNNNNNNNNNNNNNNNNNNNNNNNNNNNNNNNNNNNNNNNNNNNNNNNNNNNNNNNNNNNNNNNNNNNNNNNNNNNNNNNNNNNNNNNNNNNNNNNNNNNNNNNNNNNNNNNNNNNNNNNNNNNNNNNNNNNNNNNNNNNNNNNNNNNNNNNNNNNNNNNNNNNNNNNNNNNNNNNNNNNNNNNNNNNNNNNNNNNNNNNNNNNNNNNNNNNNNNNNNNNNNNNNNNNNNNNNNNNNNNNNNNNNNNNNNNNNNNNNNNNNNNNNNNNNNNNNNNNNNNNNNNNNNNNNNNNNNNNNNNNNNNNNNNNNNNNNNNNNNNNNNNNNNNNNNNNNNNNNNNNNNNNNNNNNNNNNNNNNNNNNNNNNNNNNNNNNNNNNNNNNNNNNNNNNNNNNNNNNNNNNNNNNNNNNNNNNNNNNNNNNNNNNNNNNNNNNNNNNNNNNNNNNNNNNNNNNNNNNNNNNNNNNNNNNNNNNNNNNNNNNNNNNNNNNNNNNNNNNNNNNNNNNNNNNNNNNNNNNNNNNNNNNNNNNNNNNNNNNNNNNNNNNNNNNNNNNNNNNNNNNNNNNNNNNNNNNNNNNNNNNNNNNNNNNNNNNNNNNNNNNNNNNNNNNNNNNNNNNNNNNNNNNNNNNNNNNNNNNNNNNNNNNNNNNNNNNNNNNNNNNNNNNNNNNNNNNNNNNNNNNNNNNNNNNNNNNNNNNNNNNNNNNNNNNNNNNNNNNNNNNNNNNNNNNNNNNNNNNNNNNNNNNNNNNNNNNNNNNNNNNNNNNNNNNNNNNNNNNNNNNNNNNNNNNNNNNNNNNNNNNNNNNNNNNNNNNNNNNNNNNNNNNNNNNNNNNNNNNNNNNNNNNNNNNNNNNNNNNNNNNNNNNNNNNNNNNNNNNNNNNNNNNNNNNNNNNNNNNNNNNNNNNNNNNNNNNNNNNNNNNNNNNNNNNNNNNNNNNNNNNNNNNNNNNNNNNNNNNNNNNNNNNNNNNNNNNNNNNNNNNNNNNNNNNNNNNNNNNNNNNNNNNNNNNNNNNNNNNNNNNNNNNNNNNNNNNNNNNNNNNNNNNNNNNNNNNNNNNNNNNNNNNNNNNNNNNNNNNNNNNNNNNNNNNNNNNNNNNNNNNNNNNNNNNNNNNNNNNNNNNNNNNNNNNNNNNNNNNNNNNNNNNNNNNNNNNNNNNNNNNNNNNNNNNNNNNNNNNNNNNNNNNNNNNNNNNNNNNNNNNNNNNNNNNNNNNNNNNNNNNNNNNNNNNNNNNNNNNNNNNNNNNNNNNNNNNNNNNNNNNNNNNNNNNNNNNNNNNNNNNNNNNNNNNNNNNNNNNNNNNNNNNNNNNNNNNNNNNNNNNNNNNNNNNNNNNNNNNNNNNNNNNNNNNNNNNNNNNNNNNNNNNNNNNNNNNNNNNNNNNNNNNNNNNNNNNNNNNNNNNNNNNNNNNNNNNNNNNNNNNNCCCAUCCCAUGAACAACUCUAAUUAUAUAUAUAUGUCAUUCUCUAAUAAUAAUAAUAAUAAUAAUAAUAAUAAUAAUAAGUGGAUAACAUAAAACUAGUAGUAAAGAGUAAGAAGACAAAGAAGAAUUAAGUGGAUAACAUAAAACGUGCGAAAACAUUUAUCUUCAAUUCUGACACAUAAAGCUAGUAUUUUUGGGUAAAGUAUAGAAAUGGUGAUUAAAUUAUUGUUGAUGUUCUAUUUUAAUUUUUAAUUUUUCUAUUUUAGUUAUUAAAUUAUUUGAAAUUAAAAUUUUUGGUUAUCAAAUGUUAACAGUAGUUUGAAAUUUAACAGAAAUAUUGAUGUGAACUUUUCUUAUUGAUUUAAUAAUAAAUUUAGCCUUCUAAUAUUUAUAUAUUCUAUUAAUUUGAUACUAAAUAUAAAAAUUUAACAAAUUUAACCUUCAAUAUUUACAAAUUUUGUUAUUUUAAUUCAAAUUCUAAAAAAAAAUUCAAUAAAUUUAACCCUCAACAUUUAAAAAAUUGAUAAAUUUCAAUUUUUAAAAUUUUGUAAAUUCCUAAAAUAUAAAGCAUCAUUCUCCACCUCAUAGGAUUCCAUGUAAAUGGAUUUUCUUGAAUUCUUUACCAAGUUGUCUUGAGUUUAAUUUCUUCUUAUUUAGUUUGUGGAAUAAAUGGCAUAUAGUUAGAUGUCACUGCAGCUGACAAUGAAAGGUUUGACAAAGUUGAUAAAUUCAGAGCUUUUGAUGCUGAGCUUCAAAUCAGUCUUGCCUCCACUCACCCAAGAAAUCAACUUUACAAUUUUUAUUGAGUCUUAACUCGAUUAAUAUGAGUAUUGUUAUCAAUAUAGGAGGAAGUGAAUUUUAGUGCGUUGAAACACAUUAUCUUCUUAUUGAUGAAUUGAGGAGGGGCUAUGAAUAGUUUUAAAUAUUAUAUUAAAAAAGCAGAGAUAAUUGAAACCUACAAUAAUAUUGUUCAAAAAAAUUACCUAAAAACACGAAAUCUUACUCCCUGAAUUUUCUAGAAACACAAAUAUUUCUCCCUGCCUUUGAUGGUGUAUACAUGCAUGGCCAUGUGUGAGCUCCUGCAUUUUAACUAAUCAACACAGAUAAUACCCUCAAUGAGACAUUAAAAUUAACUCUUUUUUUUUGUUUUUUCAUAAAAUUUAUAAUUUUGUAUUUCAAUGAAAAAAUCUAAAUCUAAGUUGAUCCGAGUCCAAAAAAAUCUGAAGCUGUAAAAAGUUUGAUCUGAGGCUGCUCAUUUGCCACCUCUAAUAACCAUUUGAUAGAGGUUUAAUAUAAAGGAAUUUAGAUUUUAGGAAUUUACAAAAUUUUUAAAAUUAAUUUUUUAUUUGUAAAUGCUAAGGGAUAAAUCUAUUGAAGUUUUUAAAAUUUGAACUGAAAUGUCAAAAUUUGUAAACAUUGAAGGCUAAAUUUGUUUAUUUUUUCUAUUUAAGACCAAUCUGAUAGAAUGUGUACACAUUAGAAGACUAAAUUUAUUAUUAGACCAAUAAAAAAAUGCCCAACUUAACGCUUUCUCAAAUUUCAAACCGAUGUUAAUAUUCAAUGACCAAAAUUUUUUAUUUCAAAUAGUUUAGUGACCAGAAUAGAAAAAAAAAUUAAAAGUUUGAUGACCAAAAUAGAACGCGGAUAAUAAUUUAAUGAUAUUUUUAUACUUUAUCUGUUUUUUUAUGAUUAUUUAUACAUAUCAAGUGUAGCUAAUUUAGGGAAAAGAAUCAAUGGUUAAGGUUGUUGUUGAUACUUAAUUAUCAGCGUCCAAAUUUUGCUAAUGUAAUUUUCCUUAUCAUAGUUUGUAUCUUAAUUUUGUUACCAAAAAAAUAUUAGUAAUAAAUAAUAUAUGCUCGAGAAAUGUACGUAUGAUUGAUUUAAACAAUACAUGUUGGAGUAAUUUACUGAUGGAUUUAAAAUAAAAUUUAAAAAUAAAAUAAAAUUUUAAAAAUCCAAAAGUAUUUUUUCUUUUAAAAAAAUUUAAAAAUGAUUUUUAAAUUAUUUACAUGAUUGAUUUAAAGGAUUUUUUUUCUAUUAAUUAUUUUUAUAUUAAAUUUAUUUUACUUUAUGUAUAACAUUUAAAGGGUUUGUAUAUAUGCUAACUCGCGAGUCAAUUAAAAUUUGUAUUAUAUUCAUUGAAUUUUUUAAAAAUAUAUUAUUUAUUUAUUUAUUUAUUUAUUUAUUUAUUUGAGACCCAUGAUAAACUUGUAUUUAAAGUUAUUGGUGCACACUAUAAAUUCAUAUAUUGAAAAUGAUAGGUGCUAAAAGUAACAUGUUUUAGUCUCAUUCUUAAUGUGUUUUUGGAUGAUUAUUCGAUAUAAAAAAGUUAAUUUUAUGCUCCUAAACUUUUCAAUUUACAUUCUACACUUAAUAGAGCAUUUAGGAGCAAAAGAAGCGAAAAACGAGCGAAAAUAAAAAAAAAAUAGGAGCAAGUCUCAAGAGCCACACAGGCUGAGCCAUUCCACACGGGUUGGACACAUAACCGAGUGAGCCACACGACCAUGUGCUAGACUGUGUGGAAAUCGCAAACUACACUCCAAACGGCAUGAAAACACAUUAAUUUUAAGGUUUUUUAAGCAUUUUAAUACCUAUACAUGACAAAGAUAAGAAGAGGGGAGAGAGCCGUCAGAAAAUAUUAAAGAAAACAACUUGAAAAACACCAUUGAAACCAACUUUGAAGCAAAUUUUCAUCAAGAUUGAAGAUCACAUUUUGAUUUCUUUGAAGUUUAUUAUGAGUUUCUUUAUUUAUUGUGGUUAUACUGACUUUAGGAUGUUUUUAUUUGCUAUCAUGAACGAAUUUUCUAAAUACCUAAGGAGAUGAAUCCUAUCAUGAAUUAUGUUAUUUGAUUUCUAUUUUUACGUAAUAAAGACUUAGAUCUUAUUCUCAAUUAUGUGUGCUUAAUUUUUGGUUUAAUAUUUCUAGACUAUUAAUCCAUGUUUGAUGUGCUUAAAUCAGAGGAGGAAUAAACCCUAUUUAAGAGUAGAUCUAGCGUAAAUGAGUGGAGUUGCAUGCAAUUCUAGAAAUAGGACAACAUAAAUCUACCGUAUUAGAUCCAAAUCUAAUAGGGGAAUCUAUAGAUCGAGUUAAUACGAUGAUAGAGGUUUUAAUUAGAAAUAAAUUUCAAUUAAUUAACCUAGUCUUGAAGAGAUAUAUUAGCAUAAUUUAGAGAUUUUUACAGAUCAAUAUACUAAGUGACGACGUUGCGUAAUAUAGAUUGAUAAUGACAGAUGAAGUCUAGGUAGAUUCUUUCCUAGGUAUUGUCUCGCUUCUUGGUUAUUAUUUGAUUAUUUUCUUGAUUUGUGCUUUGUUGUGUUAUUUAGUUAACUAAUUUAGUUAAUUUUAGUUUCAACCAAUCACUCCAAUUUAUCAGUUAAAUAAUAGAAAAUACGGUAAUUACUGGUACUUUUAGUCUUCGUAAAAACGAUAUCUUUGCUCACCAUAACUAUACCAUUAAUUGAUGUGCACUUGUCUGAGUUAGAUUUUUAGUUGGUUUACGACUGCAAUCAAAAAACUCAUUAAGUUAGCACAAACUAAGUUAAUUAUUCGUUGGUUGCUUUAUUUUUUUCCUGAAUUUUCGAUUUCAUCUUUCAUUUUGUACAAUAAUUUUGAUAUAAAAAUAUCAAAUUCUCGACCCUUAAUAUAUACCUUUGAAAUAUAAACAUAUGCAUCAAUUCUUUUAGGUUCCUCACAACUUACUUAUCCAAAAUUCUUGUAUCUUUCAGUUCUCCUGAUUGAAUCAAAAUUUGACUUCGUAAUUAUUUUUUAAGGACCUCAAACUAUCAAUUUAUAGCAUAAAUUUUCAAUAGCUUUCAUUCUUUACAAAUUGGUCCCUAAUUAAUCAACAAUGGUAUUAAACCUUAAGCUUAGGGUCCCGUUGUUUCACUGAAAAUGGCUUUCGAAAAAUAAUUUCUAGAAAAUGACUUACUUUCCUAGAAAAGUUAAUAUUUUCUGAUGUUUGGAUGAAUCAGUGUAAAAUAUUUUAUAUUGUUUGACAAAUUUCUUAAAAAUAUUCAUAAAAGCUGUUUUCAAUGAAACAAACAUGCAUUUGAGAUUUUCUUAUCUUUUCAUUGUUUAAUUAAGUUUAUCUUAUAUCUAUAAAUUUAUAUUUUACAUUUUUUUGCAUAUAAUAAAAAUAUAUAUUUUUUAAUUCAGGUUCACUACAAUGUCACUUUUUAGUUACAUGACUACCAAGUGAGUAUUUUUUUUAUUUAAAAAUGUGACAUCAACAAAAUUGACAAAAAAAAUUUUAGCAAUGUCAACAAUUGGACUUGAUUUUCAAAUCUGAAAAGUAGAGGGACUAAAUUCUUGAAAAUAAAAGUAUAGAGACUAAAUUGAAAAUUUGUGAAGAAUACAUAGACUUAUCACAUUUUUUAACUUUUAUACUACAAAAUAUUUAUCAUUAAUAUAUUUAUAAUUAUAAUAAAUAUUUAUUAUUAAAAUAUUAAUAUUAAAUAUUUCCAAUAAGAAGAAUAUUAUUUAAAAUUAUUAUUUUUAAAAAAUUUUAUUAAAAUAAAAUUGAAAUAUUAAAUAAUUUAUUAAAAUAAUUAAUUUUAUGACUAAAUAUAAAUAAUUAAAUAUGUAUGUUUAAUAAUAUUGGAAUAUAUAAUAUUUUAUAUUAAUAUUUUAAUUAUUUUUAAAAAUAAAAAUAAAAAUUAUUUUCAAUAUAAUAAUAUUAAUAUUGAUUUAAAUGAAUUUUUAUAUAAAAAUAAAAUUACCUAUAGAUGAGCUCUUUUUCCAGAAAAUGACUUACACUUUUCAAAAGGAUAAGUCAUUUUAUAGGAAAAAGAGUUCAAUUUUACAUUGACCUGUAAGUCAUUUUCCGAUGACCAAACUGUUUACUGUAAAACAAACAUAAGAAAAUACAGAAAAUAUUUUCUGUAAAACCUUUUACAUGUAAACAAACGGACCCUUAAUUCAAGCUUGUUCUAACAUAACCCACUUCACUAUUAGCAUGACUCUUCCUUAUACUAUGUUUAACCAUUAACCCUUCUCAUGAUUUCUAACAAAAAUUCUCUAAGUUCUCUUUAAUGGAAACUUCUAUUAGCUUCAACAAUAAGAAAUUCUAACCAUUGGGUUGGUUGUAUCAAGUUUCAUACUUUAAAAAACUAUAAAAAAAAUUAUUUAGAAAACAAUUUGUUUACCUUUGAUGGCCUUGAUGGAGAACAACUUGGUUUCUUCUUCUACUUAGUUUAAAGAAUGCAUGAAGAAGAAGAAGAUUUCCCCUCUCCCACUGUUUUAAAUAUAUAUAUAAAUAACCUAUUAAUCAAGGUAAUUAAGUCACUAAUUAACCUUAAUUAGCUAUGAUCUAAUGGCCAUAAACUUAUCAUGAGAAAAUUAGUGGAAAUGUGUGGCAUUGAUAAUGGUUUGCCAAUAAUCAAACUUUGGGCAUGGUAAUAUUGCAAUCAGGUUUUUGGUUUAAUUACACUUUUAAGUACUUGCUAAAUUCUGUAAUCAAUUCCCACUAGGUGGGUCACUUGAACAAUUGGGUCCAUGUAUUAUAGUUACAACUUAUCCAAUUUAAUCAAUUAAUGAUUUGACUUUAUAAUUUCAUGUACAACACACAAACUCCUCCGGUAAAUUCUCAAGCUAGCUUUAUUUAAAAAUUUGGCCUCAAAACCAGCUUUCCAAAUGUUCAUGAAAAUUGAGUUGUUACAUUAUGGUAUUUGUUUUGUUCAACUUAUUUGUCAGGCUCUAUUCCUUUGAACUUAUGUUCGUUGACUUCAGUGUUGCUUAAAUGAAAAUGUGGUGAACAAUCUUAUGGAUAGGAGUGUAUGAUUGAGUAUGUGUAACACCCCUAACCCACAUCCUUCGCCAAAUUAAAGUGACAGAGUGUUAUUAUACAAAACAGAACAUUCCAUGACAACACAUAAACAAUUAUGCAAAUUAUCACAAUCAUUAAUUAACCAUAUUAAAAUAUAACAUAAGUAUCCAUACGACCUUUAAAUCGAGCUUAUAUGGCCUUAAAAAUAGCUUGGGAUCAAUCUAGGAUCAAUUUGGAACAUAACAUAAAUUUUAAGAAAAAUCUAAAAAUUUUGGGAAACAUGGGUCACACAACCGUGUGUCCAGGCCGUGUGACAUACCCCAGACCUUGUGGGAAUUCAAAAUUAGGAAACGCAAUCAUGUCCUAACCCGUAUGUCUACCUGUGUGAAUAUUUGAAAUAGGGUCUCACAGUCGUGUCGAGGCCAUGUGCUAAACCAUGUAUAUAUUCAAAUUAUGAACACAUGGCCGUGUCGCAAGCCAUGUGCUAGACCGUGCUCAAAACUAUUUUGAGACACACAGCUGUGUCUUAGGCUGUGUGAAAUUUUCACUUUAGACAACAACACACAGCCGUGUGCCAGGCCAUGUACACCAAAAUGUACCUUAAAAAUCAAAUUUACCAAAACAUUUUUACUUAGGCAUCAAGAAACCUAAUUACCAUCAAUCAAACUCAUUCAAAACACAAUUAAACAGGUUCAAAACAUCCAUCCUAAGUGCCUAGCCAUUGUGCCCUCAUUGACAUCAUAAUUCAAUAAUCAAAUCAAUCAGAUUUAAACCAAGAUUUAAACAUUCAAAUUGUAAAAUCAUCAUUAACCAUUCAUACCAAAACACUGAUCAUUUCAAGUCAUAAACACCUAGCAAUAUUCACAUACUUUAUAAAGCUUAACUACCAAUACCAAAUAAGAUCCAUACACACAUACAUACCAAACAAAACACAUAUUCACAAGUAUCAUUCAAGAUUUACAACUUUACAUGUAAUUAACAUAAUUUCAAGUCACUUAUUACAUGUCAUACAACCCAAAACAAACACUAAACAAACUACCAAUAGUUUCUCGAAUAGUGUGAUUCUUGAAAUAAAAUUGAUCACCCAAAGCGUCAAAAAUAAAUCUACAAGAAAGCAUUGGAAGAGACACAAGAGUAAGCUUACUUAAGCUUAGUAAUUUCGACGGAUUUAAACAAUCAACUUACCGAAUAAACUUAUCUAAUAUAGGGUAUAGAAAGUCAUAAAUCAUAAUCAUGUCAUCCAUAAUCAGAUCACGAGUGAGUCUUAAACUUAAAUAUGAAUUAAUUAAUUCAAUCAAUUACAUUAUAUCAGUAAAUUAUACCCGAUGAACGUUGCAAUGGAUUUGGAUACACAGUUAACCAACCAAACACACCAAAUCACUCAAAUGAGCUAGCCAUCUGAAAGUACACAUGGGCACCAAGUGCCAAGCCCAUAGGCUAACCUCCCUCCGAAACACACCUUGUCACCAAGUGCCAAGCCCGUAGGCUUUACAUCCGCCCCCGAAACACACCUGAAGCACUACAAUAUAACGCGAUAGUUCGCAACAAAUGUUGAACUUCAAUAUAUUCAAUAAACAUGAAUAAGAUCAGAAUCAUCAUCUCCACAUCCACCAAUCUCGUAAAGCGCACGAUAUAACCUAUUGACAUGCCAAUUGUAUCCUAUCAUACAUUCAUCGGCUCACAUAUUUGUCAUUUAACAACAUUUAAUACAAUUUCUUUCCCAAAUCAUUUCACUUACCACAAUUCAAUACUUCCAUGUCAUUUAAUAAUUUCAAUCCACAAGUAAUUAAAUAUUUAAAUUAUACUAAAAUUAAACUGUAAAAACUCACUAGGGCCAAACUGUAGAAACAACAAAAGUUCAGGGACUAAUCAACAACCUUCCCUUUUUCCACAAUUAUCAACUUGAUCUUGAUCUAUAAUAUAAUUUAUUUCAAUUAUUAGCCUCAAUUUUCAUAUUCUAAUCAUUUCAAUACAUAUGAUCUCUUAUUUAUAAAUUUACACAAUUAUCCCAAAUUUUUACACAUUAUACAAUUUAAUCCCUAUGACCAAAUCAAGCUUAGUUCUACAAUUAAAUUCUCAAUCCAUAGAACUAAAUUUUAACCACAUCCAAAACAAUCCAUAUAUGCUAAAAUUUUCAAGAGUAACAUGUCUAUUUCAGUUAAAUCACUAAACAUCAAAUUUUGUAAAAAUCACUUUACAAACUCAAUACAUAUGGUCACCAAGCUUCAACGCAAACUAUUUACUACUACAAAUCUUCGAAAAUUUCAAUACAUAAUUUCUAUACUUUGAUAACUUCACAAAUAAACUCCAAAACUAGCUAAAUUCCAUUAUCAAUAGCUCAAAACUUAAAAUUUAUGAUGAAUAAACCAAGAAAAUACUUACAUGCAUUAAAAACUAACAAAAACCAAGAUCCCAAGCCUUAGAACAAUGGUGUUUCAGCCAAACCUAAGAAAAAUAAAGAAGAUGACCACUACCCCACUUUUGUUUUACUUUCCUUUUAUUAUUAUAAUAAUCUUUAUUUAUGAAAUUAUAACAUUAUAAAACACCAAUUUAAAUAUAUUUUUUUUCUCUCUUUACCGCCCAUAUUAACUAACUAUGGGCUAAUGGCAACAUAACCCCCCUUAGUUUACUAAUUUAAGCUAUUAUAUUAAAAUAAAUCUAUAAUAAGCAACUUUUCCACCUAUUACAAAUUAAUCCUUUUUCUUUAAUCAAUUCACUAUACGUUAAAUUUUCUAAACCAAAACUUAAUACGACACUGAUGACUUUGUAAAUAUUAAAUAAUUAAUAAUUCUAGACAGACACGUCGAAAGUGUAGUCCUAAAACUAUUAUUUUCGACACCGCUGAAAAUCGGACUGUUAUAGUAUGGUUCUACCUCUUAGGGGGAGACAUAUUCUAGUUUCCUUUGACUUGUUUAGAUGAUGUGUUAAUCAUUUGCUACUGGUUUUGUCAAAAUGCCAAAUGGUGAGAUUGUUUGAAACUUUGUUCAUGUACGAACAGUAGAUUAAACAAUGCUUAAUUUGAUGCAUUCAAAGAAUUUAUGUUGGCAUGUUUGACUUUAUAAUGAAAUGGCUUAUGAUUUAAUCUCAUUGAGUAGCAAAUGGGGAAGUGAUUUUGUGUUAUAACAUGUGAUGAUCAUUAUCUUUCAAUCAACUACCUUGAAGAAGAAUGGGAGGAGUUUGAACUUUUGUGGACUUUCGUAAUAUUUGAAGCUGCUAAGAUACUUGUUUAUAAAGAAUUUUAUGAUAUAACUAAUCAAAAUAAUUCAUGUCAUAAUUUUUGGAGUUUUAAACUUAUGAAGACUCUAGUAUUGGCCUAUAAAUAGGCAUAAUUACCGCACAUUGAAAAUAGGCUUUUGGAGGGUUUAAGUUGGAUGCUUUGGUGAAUUUUUCUUGUGUUUUAUAUAACACUCUUUUUUAAGUUUUUAUUGGGGGAUAUUUGCUUGAUGUAAGUGAGAUAUUUUGGAGAGAGUGAUUUGUAAUAAUUUAGGUUCAAUAUUGAAGUUGCAAAUAAUUAUAAGGUAAUGGUAAUUUGGACUUUAGUCAAUAGUUAAUCAAGACGAAUUGUAAAUACAAAUUAUUUUUUAAGCGAAACUCUACAGAAUAAAACUAGUGAACUCAAACUACUGAACUCAAACUACGCUAACAAAUAUUACAUAUUAUCUUUCCUUACUUUACUCGUUGCUUUACCUUAUUUUAAAAUUGUUUUGUCAUAAAUGUAUUAUGUUUGAACCUUUCCAAUCGAAAUAAAAAAAAUGAGAUUGAAAUUGUGAUAAAGCUAAAAAAAGUUACAACAAAUAUGAUUAAUAUUAUUUUUAUAUAUACUUAAUAAAAGUUAAAAAGGGAAUUACAUUUAUUGAAUAUUAUUUUAUUUAAUAAAAUAUAAUUACUAUAUUUUAUAUAAAAUUUAAAUAUUUUAUUGUUUGUUAGUUAAAUUUUAUUUUCUUUAUUUUCUUUAUGAAUAAAAUUAAUUUUCCUAAAAUUUGAGAUAAAAAAUGUUAUAUAGAAAAUUAAAUUAGUAAAAAGUUUAAAAAAAUCAAUUCUAAAAUAAACUUAACUAUUAUAAUAAAAUAUUUUUAUAUAAAAAAAGAAAUUAUAGAAAAGACUUAUUGAAUAUAUUUCCUAUUUUCGACAUUCAUAAAAAAAAAAAAAAGUGGUCCUAAUAAUUUAUUUAUACAAAACAAAAAAAAGUGGUCCUAUUAAUUCACCUCACAUUUGAAAUGUGUUAUAUGUAAUAAUAUUAAUAUCUUUAUCAAUUUUGGAGGUUCAUCCAUUCCCAUCUCUAUAAAUUUGCAUGCAGAACUAAAGCAACACAUAUCAACACAAUCUGUAUAACCAUGAAAACCACAACAGCUUCGGUGUUUCUUCUUUUCAUCAUCUUCUCAAUCACACCAUUGUCCUUUUCGUUUGGUGUGGCCAACACUACAAACGCUCCUGUGCUCGACAGUGAUGGCAACGAGCUCCGCACAGGCACCCCAUACUUCGUUGUGUCGUNNNNNNNNNNNNNNNNNNNNNNNNNNNNNNNNNNNNNNNNNNNNNNNNNNNNNNNNNNNNNNNNNNNNNNNNNNNNNNNNNNNNNNNNNNNNNNNNNNNNGGGGCUUGCCCUAGGCAUGCCUAGAGGAAACCCAUGCCCGGAAGUCGUUGCUCAAAGAGGAUCCGGUGACGAUGGUAUUCCGGUGAUAUUUUCUAAUUCGGACUCCAACGAUGGCGUUGUUCGCCUAUCCUCUGACAUAAACAUAGAGUUCAUUCCCCUCAGACCCAGAUUUUGCCAAACAACAACGGUGUGGAAGGUCGAUGAUUACGACCACUCAGCCGGAAAAUGGUGGGUGAUAACCGAUGGGGUUAAAGGGAACCCAGGUGCCAACACUUUGACCAGUUGGUUUAGAAUAGAGAAGGCGAGUCAUCUUGAUUACACAUUUAAGUACUGCCCCGCAGUAUGUGGAACAUGCCCGGCUUUAUGCAACAAAAUUGCGAGAGACUUGGAUGGAGAAAUGAUGCGUUUGGCUCUCUCCACUGACCAUGGAUGGCCAUUUUUCUUUAAGAAACUUCAAACAUCAGCCAUGGAGAUUGAACAAGUUGUUCAUAAUUAGAUUGAAAGCAAUCAUUAUGCAUGAACUAGUAGUUACUAUACAAUAUUAGCUUCAAGUAAAUAAUGCUGAGAGAACUGAUUGUUAAGAUUGCCAUGUUUGAAGCAGAAGCAUGCAUAUAUAUAUGCUUGCCUACAAGGUUUGUCUCUCAGAGUCCUCUUUGUACUCUUUUCAGCUUAAUAUAUAAACUGUCUACUUAUUUACUUCUUUUAUUAAUGCCAUUGAUUCUAGUAGUAUUAGACUCAUUAACUUGGAUACAUUGUCUUGUAAUUAACCCAAAAAUUAUAUAUAUAUCAAAAAAAAAAAAGAGAGUGAGAGAGGAAAAUAGACUAGCAAGUAACAAGCGAAAAAUGGUAAUACUAGGGUUAUUUAGAGUGGUUUCAAUGCACAACCGGAAUGAAUUGUUACCUUAUCUUUAGAGUCAAAGAAGGGUUCGUGACUAGUCUUUCAACAAUACUAUUUUCAAGGUUCGAACCUGUAUUAUCCUUUAAAUACGUAAUGUAUUUUAUCAUUACACUCAAUAAUAUUAGUAAUUUGCUUUAUUCUAUUCUUAAUUAAUAAUUAUGAUAUAUAUAAAGUUUAAGAUGGAUUUUCUUAUUCAUAUAUAUCAAUUAAAUCAAAUAUUUGUAUUUAAAGUUUUAACCGAACAUUAACUUUUUUUUUUAAUUUCUUCGUUUGUUGGUGGUGAUUAGGAGAUUGAUGGCCGGUCUUUGUGAUUGGUAGCUUUUAACACAAUGGCGAAGCUAAGGAGGCUUUAAAUGUUUAAAUGAUUUUUUUUUUCAAUUGAAACUUCUUUAUAAUUUAUAAAAUUUUAAAUUAAUAAUAAUAAAAUUACAUUUUAAUUUUUUAAAAAUGAUAAAAACGUGGAAGCACAUUUGUACGAUUAAUAAUAAUGAUAAUAUUUUUCCUACCACAUGGAAGUUUAUGGAAACACCAUUGGGUUUUGUAUUUAUGUUUUAUUCGACCCUCUUAUAAGUUUUACUGGGGAGAUUUGCUUGAUUGUAAGUGAGGUAUUUUGCGGAGAGUGAUUUAUAAUAAUUUAAAAUUAAUAUUGGGGUUACAAAUAACUAUGGGAGUAAAGUAGUUUAGACUUUAGCUAAUAAUUGAUCAAGAUGGAUUGUAGAAUAAAAUCAUUUUCGAAGCAAAAUUUUAUAAAAUUAGGAAAUCUGAAUUACGUUAACAAAUAUUGAUAUUAUCUUUCUUCACUUUAGUCCUUGCUUCACCUUAUCUCAAAAUUAUUCUAUAAUAAUCUAUUUUGUCUCAACCUUUUCAACAGAAUUUAAAAUGCAACUAUUUCUAACAAGUGCAAACCAAAAACUUUUUCACAUACCAAUAAAUGGCAAGCAACCAUACCGUGGGCCCAAUGUCCCAACAAUCAUCUAAACAUUUUUUUUUCUUUUUUAAAUAAUAUGUAAUAAUUUAUAUACCAUAAAUGAAUAUUAAUUAAAAUAAUAUAAACAAAAUAGGACUCUUUAAUAUAAUAUGGAUCCAAAAUGUUUCAUAUUUGAAAUGCAGUUUUUGAUAAUUUCACAUUUCAUAUUUUAUCUUAGAACAAAAAGAAAAUUUGAAUUUAAUAUUUGGACUAUUGAUCAAUGGUGUUUAUUAUAUUUCAAGACUAUCAGAUUAAUCUGUCGAUACUACUUAUAUGGUAUGGUUUAAAUGGGUGUGUGUAUAUAGAAAUUUGAAAUUCUAUUGUAUCAAAGAAAAUUUUUUUUAAAAAUAAAAUAAAAAGGAAUUUGAAAUUUAAAAUUUGAGAUCAAAAUAAAAAAAUGAGACUUGUUAUAAACCAUAAGGCUCAAAAAAGGUUACAACAAAUAUGGUUAAUAUUAUUUUUAUAUAUACUUAAUAAAAGUUUAAAAUAUCGAAUUUGUAAUAUUAUUUUUAUUUAAUAAAAUAUAAUUAAUAUAUUUUAUAUAAAAUUUAAAUAUUUUAUUGAAAUAUUAUGUUAGGUAAAUUUUAUUAAUUUUAUUUUCUUUAUAAAUAAAAUUAAUUUUAUUAAAAUUUGAGAUAAGAUAAUUAAAUUAAUAAAAGGUAUACUUCAUAUUUUAUAGUUAUUAUAAAUAAAAAAUUAUUAUAAAAAUAAAAAAAAAGAAUUCUACAACAUAAUGAAAUAUUUUUAUUAAAAAAAACAGAAAUGAUUGAUGGAAUAUAUUUCCAAUUUUCGACGUUCAUUAAAAAAAAAAAAGAGUGGUCCUAAUAAUUGAUUUAUUGGGGGAAAAAAAGUGGUCCUACUAAUUUACCUCACAUUUGAAAUGUGUUAUAUGUAAUAAUAUUAAUAUCUUUAUCAAUUUUGGAGGUUCAUCCUUUCCCAUCUCUAUAAAUUCGCAUCGAGAAAUAAAGCAAUACAUCAACGCAAUCUGUAUAACCAUGAAAACCACAACAGCUUCAGUGUUUCUUCUUUUCAUCAUCUUCUCAGUCACACCAUCAUCUUUUUUGUUUGGUGUAGCCAACGCUACAAACGAACCUGUACUCGACAUUGAUGGCAACGAGGUUCAAACAGGCACCCCAUAUUAGGUUGUGUCGUCCAUAUGGGGUGCUGGUGGUGGGGGGCUUGCCCUAGGCAGGCCUAGCGGAAACCCAUGCCCGGAAGUCGUUGCUCAAAGACGAUCCAGUGACGAUGGUAUUCCGGUGAUAUUUUCUAAUUCGGACUCCAACGAUGGCGUUGUUCGCCUAUCCUCUGACAUAAACAUAGAGUUCAUUCCCCUCAGACCCAAACUUUGCCGAACAACAACGGUGUGGAAGGUCGAUGAUUACGACCAUUCAGCCGGAAAAUGGUGGGUGAUAACGGAUGGGGUUAAAGGGAACCCAGGUGCCAACACUUUGACCAGUUGGUUUAGGAUAGAGAAGGCGGGUGAUCUUGAUUACACAUUUAAGUACUGCCCCGCAGUAUGUGGAACAUGCCCAGCUUUAUGCAACAAAAUUACGAGAGACUCAGAUGGAGAAAUGGUACGUUUGGCUCUCUCCACUGGCAAUGGAUGGCCAUUUUACUUUAAGAAAGUUGGAAAAUCAGCCAUGGAGAUUCAACAAGUUGCUCGUAAUUAGAUUGAAAGCAAUCAUUAUGCAUGAACUAGUAGUUACUACAUAAUAUUAGCUUCAAGUAAAUAAUGCUGAGAGAACUUAUUGUUAAGAUUGCCUUGUUUGAAGCGGCAGCAUGUAUAUAUAUAUGCUUGCUUACAAGGUUAAUUUGUCUCUCAGAGUCCU
RNAcentral lists this long non-coding RNA (101510 nucleotides) under Gossypium raimondii (Peruvian cotton). RNAcentral describes it as "long non-coding RNA (GRAI_LNC009649)". Lineage: Eukaryota; Viridiplantae; Streptophyta; Magnoliopsida; Malvales; Malvaceae. The record is from RNAcentral.